RNAcentral lists this long non-coding RNA (95126 nucleotides) under Medicago truncatula (barrel medic). RNAcentral describes it as "long non-coding RNA (MTRU_LNC000306)". The stretch from base 83237 to 83396 matches the Rfam family "MIR2606 microRNA precursor family". The record is from RNAcentral. Lineage: Eukaryota; Viridiplantae; Streptophyta; Magnoliopsida; Fabales; Fabaceae.
UCUCUUUCUUCUCUCACUGCAUUUCCCUCAAGUGGACUACCCACUUCAUUGCAAUCACUUCAUAUUGUAAAAUGUGAGAAUUUAUCCUUCCUACCUCCUGAAACGUGGAGCAAUUACACAUCACUUGUGAGUCUUUAUUUAAUUCAUAGUUGUGAUGCACUUACAUCCUUUCCACUUGAUGGUUUCCCUGUCCUCCAAACACUUCAGAUAUGGAAUUGUAGGAGUCUGGUUUCCAUUUAUAUUUCAGAAAGGUCUUCACCUCGGUCGUCGAGCCUCGAAUCACUUCAUAUCGAAUCCCAUGAUUCAAUUGAAUUAUUUGAAGUCAAGCUUAAGAUGGACAUGCUCACAGCUCUUGAAAGGUUGAAUCUAAAAUGUGCAGAGUUGUCAUUUUGUGAAGGAGUUUGUCUACCUCCCAAAUUACAAUCAAUUACGAUUUCAUCCCAAAGAACAAAGCCAUCUGUAACGGAAUGGGGUCUCCAAUAUUUGACAGCACUUUCCAACUUGAGUAUUGAAAAGGGUGAUGAUAUAGUUAACACCUUGAUGAAGGAGUCAUUGCUACCCAUCUCCCUUGUGUAUCUAUAUAUCAGGGAUUUCGAUGAAAUGAAGUCCUUUGAUGGAAAUGGGCUUCGACACCUCUCCUCUCUCCAAACUCUCUGUUUUUGGAAUUGUCAUCAACUUGAGACAUUGCCAGAAAACUGCCUCCCUUCCUCGCUGAAAUCACUUAGAUUGUGGGAUUGUAAAAAGCUUGAGUCAUUACCAGAAGACAGCCUCACUGACUCUCUUAGGGAACUCUGCAUUUGGAAUUGCCCAUUGUUAGAAGAAAGGUAUAAAAGGAAGGAACAUUGGUCCAAAAUUGCUCACAUCCCUUUCAUAGAUAUAAAUCAUGAAGUCACAAUAUGAUAGACAAGUUGUGUUCCCAUUUCAGGUAUGUUCCACAGUUCCUACCAGAAAGCCAAUAAUCAAUCAUCUGUACGACACACCUCUUAAUAUUUUCAUAUCAUCUCAUGGGUCCUCUGCUACGUAUGUUUUUUUUUAAAAGAUGAAUUUUUAAAGACCAAUUUUUGUAUACAUUUUGCACACAAUAUUUUAUUUUUUAUUUUUAUUUUAUUUUAUUUCCAGAAUCAAUUAAUGUAGCUCGGGCAGUAUGAUAUAUAACUACAUAAGUCAUGCCGGAAAACUGGUUUCUUAUUUAUUUUUGGGCUUAUAAAACUAUCUUUGGAAAAAGCUGUAACUGCUACAUUAAUCAGCUCAUUUGGUCAAUUGAAGCUAAUCAAAGGAAAAUGCUUAUUUCAUCUUUUCAGGAGAUCAAAGGCCUAGCUAUGUGGAUGAUAAUCAGCUCAUUUCGUGAAUUGAAGCCAGAUGCAUAGUUGCCAUUCAUUGCCACAAGAUUUAAUUUACUCAGCUGCUAUAGUCAGAUCAUAUAGUUGAUCCUGGUUGAGACCUUAAGAUCCAUUUUCGUUUCAUUUCUCUUCGAGAAAGUGUAUAUAUAUAUUUCAUCUGAAAGAAUGAUCUGAAUGAAUAUUUGAUCUUCUAAGUAACUGGUUCUUUCACUGCUAAGAAAUCUGCAUCCUUCUUCAUCGACAAAACCUUUACAAGCUAAACAAACUUCCUUGCUGUAUAAGUCAUCUUUUUAAGUUUCACUGCUAAGGCCAAAACUUGUCUACUGAGAUGGUAAAGUUUCUUAAGAAUACAAAACAAAUUACCCUUUUGUUACCUUUGUCAUAAACAAUGCCUCCAAUUUUGUUCCCUUGUUCAUCAAUAAACUCCUAUCUACCAGUUACUAACUAGUCCCUUGCUGAUACUGUCUAACUACUUUUUUCUAAAUCACCAUCUUUUGAUUUUUGUACAUUCUUUACCAAACAAUUUCACUUCCUGGUUUAUUUAUUAUGUGCAAACUGUUAGCCAAUUUCAAUUUUAUUAAUUGAACUGUCACUCACAUAUAAAUAAGGAAUUACCAAUUGAAAAAAGAAAGUAAAUAUAUAUUGUCACGAUUCUUCUUGUAAACUUGCAGUAGAUAUUGCUGCAAUCUGUAUGAGCCGGUCAGACAGAAUAGAAUGCAGUAGGGUUUGUAAUACUAUUAACAUUCACCGUUUGAAAUCUUUUGUUCGACUUCUUUGUAUGUUGGUAAAUGGAAUAAGUUGAAGUAGAUCACUAAAAAUCCAUGUUGUUCUUGUUCUAAAUAUUGGCAACUUGCUUAAGUAACAUAAUAUAGAUUGAUGCUCUUGAUCCUAUUAUAUUGCAUAAAUAUUGGCAACUUGCUUUUCAACUAGGGGUGGCAAUAGGAUCCAUCAAAUCGAUAUCCAUCCAAUCCAUCCACCAAACAAAAACAAUAGUUAAUGGAUUGGAUUUAAUCCAUCCAUUUAAAAUUAUGGAUACAUCCAAUCCAUCCACCUUAUUUUAAAAAUCCAUUGGAUCACCUAAAUAUGAAUAAUAAUCCAUUGGAUAUAAAAUUAUUUUAAACAUGAUUUAAAUUAAUUUUGUUAAUAAAUAAAAAAAAAGUUAUGUUUUUAAUUAUGGGGGCCUAAAAAAAAAAAUUCUUAUUUGAAAAUUGCUUUUUUGACAAUGAAUACUUCCUAUUGACACAAGUAAAUGACUCUUUUACCCCAGCGGCAGUUAACUGUCGUUAAGCUAUGCGCCGGCGGUUAACAACCGCUGGCUUUUCAGCGGUAGUUAAUGUAACAACCAAAUAUUUUAUAUAAAUUUGUUCUUUGUAGUAAUUUUUCUUGCCUAUUAUUUAUUAAAUAACUUAUUUUAUGUGCAAUGAAUUAAGAAAAAUUAUAGUACCCUUCUUUUAAUUAAAUUCUUAUAAUCUAAAAUUUAUUUUUUAUUGAAAUGUAACCUAUAAGAUUUUAAAUUAACUAUUUAUAAUUAUAGUUUAUUCUAUCAUAUUCCAGUACAUUUUAUUUAUCUUAACUUCCUUAUAAUUGCCAGUAGGAUUUCUACAUUAGUUUACAUGGUGAAGCCUUAUAGUUAUACCCUUCAAUUCCUUGACAUGAGUUUGAUCGUUGUCACCUAAAAAUCCAAUUUUAAACCUCUCUCUUUGGUUGGUUUCAAUGACUCCGUCUAUGCACUUCCUUCCAACAUUAAACAAACUAGUAUAGUGACCCGUGCCAGCACGGGGAAAUAAAAAACUUUUUUGAUCAUAUGUAUAGAUUUUAUAUUAUGUUAUCUUAAAGUUAUAAUUGUGGUUAUAAUUUAAAUUCGAUAUUAAAAAAAUAUCAUCUUAAUUUUGUAUAUAUUUUGAAAUAUCCAAACAUUGCAUAUAACGAUAAAAGUAUUUGGAUUACUAUACUUGUACUAAUUAUUUGUAGUAUAAGAUGCACUCAUUGUUAAACAUAGCAUAUGUAAUAUUUUUGCAAAAAUAUGCUGACGUACUGUAUAAUAAUAUUUGUUGACAAAAUGUAUUUUAUUAAUCAUAAAAACUAAAAAAAAUGUAUUUUUUUUUAUAAAAUAGUCAGUGUCGCAUGCAUACACGUAGUCGGUAAAUGCAAACGUUUAAUUUUUUACGUGUGUAUAUAAAUAUAGUUUGGGCUACAGAAACGCCGAUUGUUAUUUGUUUUUAAUUUUUACAAAACAAAUGGUCUAAUGUAAAUAUUGUAUUUUAGGGUAACAACGAUGUAAAAAAAAGGUUUCGCGGAUUGUUAAACGUGAAAAGUGCAUGAAUUAAUAGUCAAUGGCAUGAGGAUCUGCUUAUAUAGAAAUUGCAUGUCUAUAAUGACCAGUACGCCUUACAAAGAAAUUAAAAAUAAAACGACUUCCAAAUAAUAGGAAACUUUAGUUUUCUAAAUUAUAGCAACAACAAUUCUAAAACAUAACCAAUGAUCAUACUUUUUGAAAAACUUCACGAUACACAACAUUUGUGGUCUCCUUACAAACAUUAUUAUCUUCAUCCAUGAUGAGCAGCUUUAGACCUUCUCUUGAAGUUACUUGAGAGACAGCGACAUAAAGUUGUCCAUGCGUGAACACAGGCUUAGGAAGAUAAACCCCCACUCGAGAUAAAGAUUGACCCUGACUUUUAUCUAUUGUCAUUGCAAAACAAAGCGUCAAUGGAAAUUGCCUGCGCCUGAAUUUGAAGGGUAGUCCUGGAUCACUCAGAAUAAGAUUCAUCCUGGGAAUGAAUACCCUGGUACUUGCCCUUUUUCCUGUAAUUACGGUAGCAGCUAUUGUGCUCUUCCCUAGAUGUGUAAUUGCCAGCCUCGUACCACUACACAGUCCAUUGGCCUGAUCAAUGUUUCUCAUCAGCAUAACUGGACAUCCCAACCUUAGUUUCAACCGGUGAUUUGGAAUUCCAGAGCUCUUAAUACCAUUAAGAAAUUCCUUUGUGAACCAUUCGCUUUGGGCAUCAGAAUUUUCACCCGAUCGACAAACAGAAUGAGAGCUUAAAUAAUAUUUCUCUUCACCUGGAAUCAGUGACAUCAUAUAUUCAUUAAUAUGCUCAAUUGAAUCAAGUGUUGGCGCGAGUAUUCCCCUUUCUUGGAAAAAUAGCGGGUCACUAAGGUUAUCAUUCAAAUUGGGAUACACAAAGACAUCAACAGAUUUGUUGUGUCUGAUAUAAGCAAAUCUUCGAAAAUUUAUACCUUCGUUUCACCAUUCUCAUCUAAAGCGUCGUUGCCGUCUUCAAUUGAGAGUAUCCACUUGCCAAAAUUAGCAAUUUCUUCUUGCUCUGCACGUACCGAAGAUGCACCUAAUCUCAUAUUAACAAUAAGCCUCAACACAUUACAAUAAGCCCAUAUCUUUGAUGAAUUGAUUGAGGCAUCAACAAUAUCCUGCCUCGUUCCUUUUCAGACAACAUGCAAUAUCUUCUUGAAAUCACCACAUAAAACUAUUGUCAUUCCACCAAAAGGUCUAAACUCGUUUAAGGGAUCAUUCCUAGACAUGAUAUCACGCAUUGAUCAGUCAACUUCCUCAAAAGACCAUUGGAGCCCCAUCCCAAAUUAUCAAUUUUACAGUACGCACCAGGUCUGCCCUAUGACUAUCCUUCUCCAGCGUAAGCGAUGAUGCCUCAUUAAUCUCAAUAGGGACUGUCAGCGUCGAGUGCGCGGUUCUUCCACUGGUAAUAGAAGAGCUGUUAUACCGCUGGAUGCAGCAUUUAAUACAAUUAACCUUUUUCAUCUAACAACAGCCGACAAUGUUUUCCAUGUAAUUAACCCCUUUAAAAAGUUAUGUGUAAUUAUUCAUUGAUCCAACCUAAUGAAACUUGAUUGCAUCGGGUAAUAGAUUAUAAUGAAGACUGACUCAUCCCGUGAACACCUGUAGGCGUGGAUGCUAAAAUAUGUUUGCUUAAUUUUUUUUUUUUAAAUAGGUAUCAUCCAUAUUUAAUUUUUUUUAUACCCAUGACGAUCAUAAACUUAUGUUUGCUUAAAUUUAAUUUUUUUUUUAUUGAAUGAUUUUUCUUACAAACGACGAAGGAGUUAAAUGGUUAUAUCUCCUAUGUUAGUGGUCAUUUACUAUUGAUUGAUCUUAUUUCCCUCAUCAAUGAAAGUCUCUUCAUUUCAUUAAAAAACAAUGACAUGUUAAAAGUGCUCAUCCCACUUUUACUUAAAAAAAGAUUAUUUUUAAGGACAAAAAACAGGUAUAUUUUUAUUUUAUUUUCCAGGAGAAGGAGAUGGUUUGCAUGGUAUAAUAUGAGUUAGACUACCCGUUGUACUCUCUUUUAUUAUGUAUUAUUUUUCUUAUUAAAACUCAAACAUUAAAUAUCCAAUUGUCAUUCUUUAUCUUUUGAUAAAAUAUCUUUUUUUAAUUCUGAUUUAAUGCACAUUACGAUUAUAGAAAUCAAUACUUUUUUAAUGAUUUCUAUAUUAAAAAAAAAUCUACAAUAAAAACAAUAAAAAUUCAAAUUCCUGUAAAUAAAAAAACUAUAAUAAUCAUUUAUAAGUAUAUUAGAAAUUUUCACAACUAAUUAGUUACCUUAUUUUUAACUUUCAGUUAAAAUUUAAGGUUGACCAUAAUUUUUUUCCGUUAAAUUUUAAAUUAGCAACCACAUAAUAUCAAAUAAGUUAUUUGUCCCAAAUUUUUUAUUCCAUACUUUGAUUGAUUCUCUUGAUUCCAAGAACUUGCUUGGUUUGAUUUUUUUUUCAUGAUGGUUCAAUGAUCUAUUGUUUACCAAGAAUAGUAGAAACAUGAAUUGAAGAACGGAAUGAGGGUCAAGAUUAAAUAGAAAUAAGAAAAAUGAGACAUACAUAUUCAUUAUUGAGUGAUUUAAAAUAUUCCUUGAAUUAACCAAGUUGCUUGGGCUCCAGUGGCAAGGAGCUCCUUCUAAGGACGUACCCGGGGAAUAUCGGGUUCGAUUCUCAGGGGAACAACGCUUGGCCAGUGCGCAUGCCUCUACGCACGAGCCGGAAUGGUCGUCCACCUUUGGUGGGUUGGAAACCGGUGCGGAAAAAAAAAAACUCUAAUUUGUUUUUUGUGAUUGCCUUGAUUGAAAUAUUUCAAAUUUUCUACAAUUUUUUUUACCUUUAAUUCAUGAAUUUUAUUUUUUUAGACCAGAUUACAGUUUAUAAGUGUGGUUAUAAUAAGCCAAAAUUAGUAUAGUGACCCGUGCCAAGCACGGGAAAUAAAAAACUUUUUUAUCAAAUGUAUAGAUUUUAUAUUAUGUUAUCUUACAAUUAUAAGUGUGGUUAUAAUUUAAAUUUCACAUGAAAAAAAAAUAUCAUCUUAAUUUUGUAUAUAUUUUGAAAUAUGUCUAAACAUUGCACAUAAGGAUUAAAGUAUUUGGAUUUAUACUUAUAAAAUAUAUCUGUAGUAUAAGAUGUACUUAUUGUUAAACUUAGCAUAUGUAAUAUUUUGGCAAAAAUACGGUGACGUAUUUGUUGACAUAAUGUAUUAUAUUAAUCAUAAAAAAUAAAAUAUUUUGUAUUUUUUUAUAUAAUAGUCGGUGUCAAAUGUAGACACUUAGUCGGUGAAUGCAAACGUUAAAUUUUUUACAUGUGUGUGUAAAUAUAGUUUGGGCUACAGAAACGCUGAUUGUUCUUUGUUUUUAUUUUUUACAAAACCAAUGGUCUAAUGUAAAUAUUUUUUUUAUUCUCAUGUUUGUUAUACCUGAAAAGUUCAUCAAUUAAAAGUCAAUUGUAGAAGGAUCUGUUUAUAUAAAAAUUGCAUGUCAUGUAAUGACCAGUAAGCCUUACACUGAAAUAAAAAAAAAAACGAUUUCCGAACACCCAAAUAAAUCAAAUGCCUAGCCUAUUAGAGUCUUGUAAGAGCGCAUAACCUUCGUUAAAUAAAUCAAGACUAAAUAACUUUUUCAUUUCCUUUAUAUAUAUAUAUAUAUAUAUAUAUAUAUAUAUAUAUAUAUUUCUUAAACAAUAAAUUUUCUCUCUUUAUCUUUAAUACACUAAACUUGAUCCAAACCUUGUCUAUCUUUCCCGUCCCUUAGCAAGAUUAUAUACAUAUUUUUCUCCCUACUUGAUGUCAAAAGAUUGGUAUAACCCAUCAAAAGCUUGUCUUCUUACUUUGUUCAAUGCCUUCUUCGUCUCAUCCUUAGAUCUCUUAUAACUUUCCCAUAUUUUCCCACAUUUACACCUAGACUACUCUUGAAAACAUUCCCUUUUGAUUCUCCCUUUUACAUUAAUCACUUUCAUUCCACCAUCAAACUCAUUUACCCAUAGAUCCAAAAACUUUUUAUUCUCUUAGUGUCUCUUUUGAUACUUUUCUAAUCUCAUGUGUCAUCUUGUCCUACAUGAUUUGGGCUUCCAUGUAGCUUCGCAAAACCUUGCUUUAAAAUCUUAUGUUUGAAGAGACUUUGUUUUUCACCUUUUAAGUGCCACCACUUGAUCCUUGGAGCCUAAUCAUGGCUUCUUCUUUCUCUCCUUUGAACCCUUACUUCCAUAACCAAUAAUAUAUGAUGGGUUGUCAAAUUCUCUCCAAGUAAGGCUUUACACUCCAAACAAAAUUUUCUGUUAGAAUUUCUAAUAAGAAAUAAACUCCCUACGUGCCCAUUUAUAGCCCCUCAUGGAAAAUUAUUUUCUCCUAGUAGUAUAUUGUGAAUUAAGUCUCCUAAAUCCUCCUAAAAACUUACUUUAAGGUGUUUUUCCAACUCUACCCGAGGUGCAUAAGCACUAUUAACAUUAAAGAGGUAUUGUUCCACUAUAAAUUUUAAGAAUAUGAUAUGAUAUUAUAUCAUUUUACAUCUAUAAUAUCCUUUCUCCAUUCCUUAUCCACUAUAAUGCCUACCACAUUUCUCGACAUAACUUAUAACACUAUGUAUUGUUCCACUUCAAAUUUUACGGUAUGAUCUCAUAUCUUUUUUACAUCCACAAUAUCCUUCUUUCAUUCAUUAUUCACAAUAACACCUACUUCAUUCCCCACAAUUAUUAGAUAGAAAAAUUAUUGGUUAGACCAUAAUUAUCUUCCAGUCGAAGUCCGGAUCAUUGGGAUUCCCUUCUCCAAAAAAUGAGAAGGCUAACAUCAAAAGAUCUAAGCGGUUAAUGUUGAUAAAAAAAAAAAACUAAUUGAUUCAUGUAUGUAUGUAUUUAUAUAUAUUUGUGUGGAUGAAUGUGUAAAUACUAUUGAAAUUCAGACUUACAACAUAGAGAUGUCCAACUUAAAAACUAUCAUAUUUAAAUAAAUUAAAUAAUUUUUUAUCUACAUACUCAUUUAAAAUCCAAAUGAUAAAUUAAAAUUUCAAAUGUUAGUAAUCCUAAUCCAUGAUAAUAAUUAUGAAUUGCAAAUAUUUAUUGUGAUUUUCUAAAAAAGUAAAAACUUAGUUUGCAUGUAUUUGCAAUUAAACCAUUAAGUAAUUUUUUUUAGAUUUAAUUACUGGAAAGGAGUCAGAAAAUAAGGAGUGUGAUGUUUUAGUAAAAAAUAAAAAAUAAAAUCAAAUUGUUUGGGCUCCACUGGCAAUGAGCUCCUUUCAAGGACGUAUCCGGGGAAUAUCGGGUUCGAUUCCCAAGAGAACAAUGCUUGGCCAAUGCUAAGCAUGACAACAAUACUCGUAUCCGUGGGUACCCGACCAUACCAACCCCAAUUUGACGGGUUUUCUCCACUUUGACUGGGUUUGGGUAUGGGUUUGGGUUUUCCCUGGUUUCAAAACAUGGGUAUGGGACGGGUAACGGGGUUAUAUGCACCCACCCCGAACCCAUACCCAUACCCAUCCCGAAUAUAAAAAAUUACUUUUUUUACUCCUUUUUAUAUAAAUACAAACACAAACCUAGAUCAUUUCACUCUGGUCCGAACGACAAAUGUCAUUGUCAGACGACACUUUUAUGGGUUUUCUCUCAAGCAGUCAUUGGGGGUUAGAAAAAAGAACUUUUUUUUUUAUUAAAAAAUGAUUCACAGCGGGUAUGGGGAUGGGAUACCCGAACGCGUCGGGGACGGGGACGGGAUUCAAUUUCUUAUCACCGUUGGAUAUGGGUAGGGUAACGGGUAAGUAUAUGGGAAUCGGGGAUGGGGAUGUGGAAGGUAAAACUCGUCCCCACCGAGCCGCAUUGCCAUGUCUAGCAAGUGCACAUGCCUCUACGCACGAGGCAGAUUAAUCGCUCACCAUUGGUGGGUCGGAAACCGGUGCGAAAGCAAAAAAAAUAUAUAUAAAAAAAAAGCAUGAUGUUAUUAUAAAAAGGAGUGCGAAGAUCAAAGUAGUCAAAGGAAUAUAAUGUAAUGUAACCGAAGUCUAAUAAGAAGUUGUGUAAAUAUGACACAAAUAUUAUAGUUGUCAAUGUGAUCUUUUAUUGAAUUAGUAUAAAUAUAAUGGAAUUUCGAGAAUUAUAUAUGCUCCAAAUGACAUUUAAUAAUAAAAGAGACUUGUUACCAUUUCAUCAAAGUGUUCUUGGGUAUGAUAUUAUAUAAUGUUUAAGAUUAUGUUGUAUAAAUAUUUUUUUUUUGGUACAAUAUGUUGUAUAAAAUUUAUUUGAUACUCAUACGAACUUCGCAAGUGAGUCAAAUAUUUCAGAAGAUCAAAAUCGAUUUAAAUGACAUUAAUACAUUAAAAUCAAAUAGUUCUAUCAGUUUAAAUGAAAUUUAAUUUUUAAAUGAUGUGAUUGUCGUUACCAUUUACGGUACGUAUUGAUAUCUGAAUUUAAGUUCGAGAUAUUUUAUAGGGUCUGAGUUUAAAUUUGAUAUUUAAAUUUAGAAUUGUUUCCUUUAUCAAGAACACAUUUGUUACAAUUUUCACUAUUUUUUUUUAAUGAGUUAUCAAUUUUGAUUAAUGAAUUUUUUUAUGUGAUUCCUAUAUUUAAUUUUUUUUGUUGAACUUAUAGAUAUAGUACAUUUGAUGUACGAUAAUUUAAUAAUAUUACGAAGAACAACAAAAUAAAUCUCUAACUUAUAGAUAUAGUACAUUUGAUGUACGAUAAUUUAAUAUUAUUACGAAGAACAACAAAAAACAUAUGAAUUUGAUUUAUAUAAUUUUUAUAUAGAGAUUUAAAAUUGUCUUAUUUUUGGGUGAUGUUUAUAUUUUUAAAAUUAUAUUUAUACCAAUAAGAUUCGAAAAAUAUAUUUUAAUAUAUUUAACGUUUUUAUAUAUGCUUAAAGUUAUGUUUGUAUAAUUUUUUUUUGGUAAUAUAUAUAAAUUUAUUUAAUAUAUACAAACUUCUCAAAUAAGUUGACUAUCUGAAGAAAAAAAAAUAUACUCCCUCCGUCCCUAAUUAUAAGAUCCUUUUGAAAAAAAAAUUGUCCCUUUUUAUAAGACCCUUUGUUAUUUCCAACUACAUUAAUUAUUUCUUUACAUACAUGCCCCUAUUUAUUAUACAUAUUUUUCUUCAAUCAGCAAUAAAUAGCAUAUGGAAAACAUAAACUAACUCUCUCUCUUCAGGAUAAAAUUGUAAAAACAAUAGUGAUUACAAACAGCUUUAAUGCAAAUAUCCACUUUCUUAAUUCCCGUAAUUUUAGCAAAAGGGUCUUAUAAUUAGGGACGGAUGUAGUAGUUUACAUAUCAUUAAUGCAUUAAAAUCAUGUGAUUCUCCUUCCUUUCUCCAAUAAAUGUUAUUUCAUACGUAUAUACAAACUUCUCAAAUAAUAUCUGAAAAAAAAUAGUUUACAUAUCAUUAAUGCAUUAAAAUCAUGUGAUUCUCUUUCCUUUCUCCAAUAAAUGUAUAAGAUAAUCUAGUAAUGGUUUUAAAUUAAUUUAAUCAAAAUAGUGUGAUUCACAUUACCUUUUAAAAUUAAUAAUGGUUUUGUGUGAAUGUUGAAUAAUUAAGUUUGUUAAUAUCUUAUCAAACUACUAUUUGUAUAGACCAAUUUUCGUUGUAUAUUCGAUUUAUGCAAAGAAAAGAGCAACAUCGUUGUGUUAGAAAGAAUGAAAACAAUAGGAAGAAAAAACCACAAAGAUAAAAUACAUCGAUCAUAGAAUAAAUAAAUUAAUAAUAACAGAUGUCCAACUCGAAUUUUUCAUUACACCCAUAACCAAAUUUAUAUAAUAUUCAAUAAAAUCUUAUCAAUAUUAGAAUCUAAAGAAAAAAAAUCAUGAUAAACAUAUGAGUUCUUACGGCCUGUUUUUGUUGAUGCACAUCAAAGUUGAAAGUACAACAUAAUCAUUAAUCUAUAGAAACACCACUAUUUUGGAAUGUGAAAUAUCAUUUACGAUACAAAUUAAAUUGUAUUUUUAAAACUAAUUACAUGAAUAGUUGUGCAAAAGAAUAAUCAUCACUUAAAAAUUAAUAAAAUUCAUUCUAAUCAAAGUGUUUAAUCCAAUUUCUUCAGAGUUCACACCGUAUGUUGAUUCUUUCAUCAGAUUCCUCAUUUGAGAUCCACUUCUGCAACAAUUAAAAUCAGGUGAAUAAAGAUCAAGAUGAACUGAAGGUAGGAAAAUAGAGAGAAGUUCGUUUAAUUGUUUUUCCAAUUGAAAAAAAUAUCUAAAAUCAAACAAUAUUUAAGAAUUAGAUCUAUGAAAAAAAUGGGAAUAAGAAGAAAAAAUUAAUAAAAUGAAAGAGUGAUAUCGAGUAGUUUUUCAAAAUUUUAUCAUGAAUCUCGAAAUUGUGUGAAAAUGUUAACUUAACAGCAUAAUUUAUAGCAAAAAGAUGUGAAAUUUGUGAGUUGUAAGACCAUCCACAAUGGUGAGUGCUUCAACUAUUUAACACCACAUUAAUAUAUGGGUGGCUAUGGAAGCACCAUCUCUUCAUUUUUCUUUAAUAAAUCUUAAUAAAAUAAAUAAAUGUUGUUAAAAUUUAAUGAUAUAAAAUUAUUUGUGGGACCUAUUGAAUAAUUUAUUGAGGUGCUGGGUUGGAGAAAAGUGGUGCUUAUUAAGUAUUACCGUAAAAUGAGUGAUGCGUCAAAAAAAUUAUUCCCUUAAUUUAUGGAUGUGGUAAUUGAAAAUAAAAUGAUACAAUAAUUUUAAAAAAAUAUAUAUGAUUAAAAUUAGGAAGAAAUUUAUAGUCAACAUGUAUGAAGGCUAACGACUCGAACCCUGAUAUUCCAGCUUUCUUUAGAAAGGGAUAUAUCAGAGAUCAAUGUUGACCAAUUAGUCUAAUUUAUCAUAUAUUUUUUAGGACAAUUACGUAAAACAAUCAAAUUCUACCUCAUGUCUUAGAUAUUAAACAAAAUAUAAUAGUAUUUUUCUUUUUAUUUUGGUAAAUGAUAGCAAUAGCUUUGUGGUCGAAAAAAAUAAAAAAAAAAUAAAAAACUGGUCUAAGGUUUUUUUUCGGCCAAUAUACCAUUCAAUCCCAAUAAUUCCAAAAACUUUUUUUUUUUUUGGUCAAAUAAAAAAGAGACACAUUAUAAGGAAGUAAUAUCUUCUCCAAUUAACCAUGAUAUUAUUUGAAAUAUCUUCUCCAAUUAACUAAUACUAAAAGCUAUUAAAAUUAUCUACCCAAAAAAAAAAAAAAGCUAUUAAAAUUCUUCCAAACUAACAAUGUACAGUAAACAUAUAGGUAUAAACAAAUAGUAACCUUCUUCAAAACAAAAAAAAAAAAUACUAAUUGAAAUUUAGCAUUAAAGUUUAAAUCAGUCGGUCAAAUUCGAGUGCCACGUGUAUUUAUAAAUUUGUGUUUAGUAAAUUUUUAUUUAUAAAAAAGAAUAUGAUUAAAAUAAAAAAAUUGCAUAAAUAAAAUUCACAUAAAUUUCAAUAGAAUAAAAAUUCACAAUUCAUGUCUCUCAAAUAAAAUUUGUAUCAAUUACAAAUACAAUUCAUAUCUCUAAACAAUCAUGACCGGUCUAAUUUUUUAAUUGUAUAUGAAACAAUGUAAAGAUUACACGUUAUACAACAGAAAAUCAGAAAAUAAACAUGUCUUAAAUCUUAAAUUAGCAUUUCCUGGUAUCUCUCACGAAUCAUAGGAAGACAAAUGAAACCAUGAUACUUCUAUUUUGCAACAAAGAAUAAACAACGAAAAAUAACUAAAAUGAAAAGGAAAAAAAGAAGUGAUGAGAGUGUGUGAUUUGCAAUAGUGUAGAUUCAGAUGUCUAAUUUAUAGACAUAUUUCACGGGUACUUUGGUAAUAUGAAAUAAACAUUUUUUUUUUGUGUUUUCCUUCAAUAUAAUAAUUUUUUUGUACCUAAUUUUUUGUAACACGUUUUAAAUAAAUUUGACCAAAAGCAUUUAUAGGUAAUUAUGAUUUUUUUAAAACGUUUUUAUAAAUAGAUCACAAACGCAUCCAAAUGAUUAAUGGUCCCCAAUAAAUCAAUAAAGUUUACUUUUAUUGACUAAUAAAACACAUGCACCAUUAUCCAGAAGUCCUAGCUCAAUUGGUAAAAUGCCGAAAUUGUUAUGCCGGAUGCCAUGACCGGGGUUCGAACUCUGGUACCUUCACUUGUGUGUGUGAGUUUAUAAUGGCUUUGCCAUUUCGCCUAUCUACCAAAAAAAAAAAAAAAACACAUGCACCAUUUUUUCUUUCGUUCCAUUUUUUUAAGAAAACUAAUAUAUAUAUUAUUGCCGAACAGAGAGGGAUCAAUUUAUUGCAAUUCAAAAAGUAUCACGUUCAAAUUUGUUGUUUCUCCACAAUCAGCCAUUUAAUUCCAAUAAAUUCCAAAAACUUUUAUUUUUUCGGUCAAAUAAAAAAACUCGGUCAAAUAAAAGCUGCACACCUGAUAGACGUUUGCAUGGUUUAUAAGAAUUUUUCCUAUCCCAAAAUGAACACUUUGAGGAAAUAAAAUCUUUUCCAAUCAACCAUGAUUGGAUUGCCAUAUUAUUGUUAAUCAGACGUUUAUGUUAGUAUUUGACGACUGAUACACUAUUAAUUCAAAUUAGCUCAAAUUCCCACUCCUUUUCCAAUGAGCCAAAAAAAAUUAGACUGCUGCUAGUCACACCAAAAAAAAAAACAAGUUACACCCUUAGAAUGACUAAUAUACCCUUAAAUUGAACAUAAGUAAACUUAAUUUACAUUAACCUAAAUUGAACAUAAGUAAACUUAAUUUACAUUAACCUAAAUUGAAAGUAAGUAAACUGAAUUUACAUUAACCUAGAUUGAACAUAAGUAAACUUGAUUUAACGUAAGUAAACUGAAUUUACACUAACCUCUUAUAUACAUACACGUAAGUAAACUGAAUUUACACUAACCUAGAUUGAACAUAAGUAAACUAAAUUUACAUUAACCUAAAUUGAACAUAAGUAAACUUAAUUUACAUUGAACAUAAGUAAACUUAAUUUACAUUAACUAGAUUGAACGUAAGUAAACUGAAUUUACAUUAAUCUAGAUUGAACAUAAGUAAACUUAAUUUACAUUAACCUAGAUUGUAAGUAAACUGAAUUUACAUUAACCUAGAUUGAACAUAAGUAAAUUUAAUUUACAUUAACCUAGAUUGAAGAUAAGUAAACUUAAUUUACACUAACCUAAAUUGAACAUAUCUCAUAUCAAAACAAACAAUAAACAAAUAGAAACUCAUCGAAAAUGAAAUUCAUAAAAUUCACUAACCUUUAUGAAUAUAGUACAGAUCAAUAACAAAGAUGUUGAUUCAGAUAUUGGUUGCACAUCUAUGGUGAUUUGUGGAUGAAAGAGGGUAAGGGUUCAUAAUGAUCAUAAAAGAUGAGUUUUUAAAAAUUUACAUGAAGAGGGCAAUUUUGGUAUUAUUGUAAAAUUUUAAAUAAAUUUGGGUGUAACUUGUUUUUUUUUAGGGUGUAACUAGCACCAGUCAAAAAAUUAUUAUAGUUGAAAUAUGAUAUUAUUUAAAGCAAUAUCGUUAAAAUUUUAUUCUUUAAUUUACUAAAAAAAAUAAAUCAUUCCUUGAUAUCAAUUACAAAAUAUAUGAUAAUAAAAUUAUCUCACAAUAUUAUUAGUCCACUAUCAUCAUAAAAAUAAGAAUAAACAUUUGUUCAUUUUAUUAAUUCAUAAAAAAAUAUUAUUUGAUUUGCAAAUAAAACAAUUUGAUAUGGUAUCAACCGGUCAAUGUUACAACAAUAUUUUUUUAUUAAAAAAUCAUUAUUAAUUUUUUUUUGAGAGAAUUUAUAUAUUGACUUACAUUAUAAUACAACUAAUUUUGUCAAAAAAAAAAUUAUAAUACAAAUAAUAUAAUAUAGUAAUCUAAUACUACCUCCGGUCCUAUUUACAAGAGACAAUUUACUUUUUAGAUACAUUGAAUAAUUUAUGUAUUUGGUUUAGGUUCUUGACUAGAUACAUACAUUAUUCAAUGUAUCUAAAAAGUCAAUUGUCUCUUGUAAAUAGGACCGGAGGGAGUAUAAUUUAUACACAUGGUUCCAAAUACUAAUUACAAAAGUUAACACGGAAAGUUAUAAUAAUGCAAAGUUAUAAUAAUUCCAAAAUUAAUGCAUAAGAAUAAAACAAUAUAAGAGUGCCACAUGUCGUGACUUCAUGAAAUUCUAAAACAUUGAAAUGUAGUGGCACAUGUCAAGAGCAAAAGAGUAGAGAAUUAUUUCCAUAAAAGUCUAUGAAAUGGGUCAUAAAUUUAUAUUAUAUAGAUAGAUUAUAUAGAUUUAAGUAGCUUUGAUCCUUUGACCAAGUUUGAAGAACAAUUAUUUGCCUGAAUUAAGAAUAUUAAUCCUUCCCCAUUUUAAAUCUAUUCCACGACGUAAUUUAUGUCAAAUAAAAGAGAUUGAUCAAUUUGUUUCCUCUUAUUGCCAAAAUUCAAUGAAAACCAUUUUUGUUGGCUUUCAUCCCACGGUUUCUCUCUUUCUCUCAUUACAAGUGUAUAAUCUUUUCCUAUCCUUAUGAUUUUGACCAAAUAGAAGCCAUUGAUUGUCUUCUUGAUUUAGAUAAAGUCAACCAUAAUACUAUAAUAUUCUUCAUUUUGAUUUCCUCAUAACUCCAAAUUAUUACCCUUAAUAUAUGUCUUACGUUUUCAAUUAUUCUACAACACCUUAUCAUAUAUUUAAAAUCCCUUGGUCAAUUCCAAGAGGGCAUGUGUAAGAAAUCAGAAAACGAAACCUCGCAUAGCUAGCCUUCUAAAUAUCCUUAGCUUUGGAAGCUUACGCCCAUCAUCAUUGCCAUCAACAUCAUCUCACCAAAAUUCUAAGUCUCGGUCCACUAUACUCUUUAGAAGGUCUUAGGAGCCUUAAAGACUUGCUUGUGCGUUCGGUUCGGAAUCAAUCCUAGUACGUCUUGUGUCGAAGGAGAAUCACUCAAAGGUAAGGGCGGUAUUCUGUAUAAUUAUAUAUUCAUAAUCUUAUAACUUAUAAGUUAAUCUGAACGUAGAACCCUUAUCCUAAUAAGAUGAGAAGACUUGAAUAUAAAUAAAAGAAUGGAAUAUAUAAUUUUUAUUGCAUUUCAUGUUUGAUGAAAAGGUCUCAUCUUUUGUGGCAUAGCAUGACGUUAUGAUUUGACUCUCUUGUGCUUUAGAGAAAAUGCUUUGAUAAAUGUGAUGAAUAUUUUGAAAGAGAGUUUGAAUAUCUUAGUUGAUGUUGUGAAAAUGGUGAUGAUUUCAAAGAGUGUGCAUCAUGCAUGGCAUGACAUGUAAUUGUGUCAUAGGGUGCCGUAAGGGCGAUUUACUCUGGUGCCGUAAGGGCGAUUUACUCUUGUGCCGAGAGGACAUUUAUUAUGUGCCGAAAGGGCAAUUUAUUCUUGUGCCAAUUGGGGCGAUAUCCGGAUCAUGGUCAAGUUGCAUCUCAUGCAUCAUUUGCAUAAAAAUCGUAUUUUGAUUUCUGUUAUUUGUAUUGAGCUUUUGACUCUUAUCUGGUGAGUGUCUUACUGUUCUUUUUAUCUUGUGCCUUUAUGUCUAUAUAAUUGUAUUUUUGUGGUUUAAGAAUACUGAUCCCUUACAACCAAUAUUUUAGGUAUUGAUGAGUUUGAAGAUUUGAAGAAAGUAUGAUGUUAAGUUUGCACGCGCGCGGGAAAUAAAUUUGGGUUUUUCAUAAAUUGUAAUUUAAAAUAUUUUUGAGGUUCAUUUUAGUUUCUUGUAAUAAUCCAAUUUAAUGAAUAAUUUCUAUUAUUUUACUUUAAUAGUUAGCUUCUAAAUAUCCUUUCUAUUAAUUAUCUUUUAUUUUCAAAAGCAAAUAUACUCAUAUUUUCUAAAGAAUAAAUAAUAUUUAGGUAAUGUCUUGGAUUAAAAUCCGGGGCAUUACAGUUAACUUCCGUUGUGUUCGUGAUAUAUGAACAGAACAGUAUAGGAGUUUCUAAAACUCCAUUGUUAUUGUUAUGUUUUUUGCUUCCAUAGGUGCGAAUUUCACAAAGCAUAAGCCAUUCUAAGCCAAUUUCAAGCACAAAAUCAAGUAAGGUUUUUGAAUCAUAUUGCAUUGCUAUUUUGUGAUUGAUUUGUUAGUUUUUUUUUGUUAAAUUGCGAUUAUAGAGGUUUAUUGAUUUUAUGAUGUUCUGAUAGUUUAGGUUGUUUGAAUUGUUAGGUUUAGGUUAGAAUUGUUUAGAUUGUUAGAAUUGUAGAAUUGUUAUGAAAUUAUGGUAGAAUUUUUAGGAUUAGAUGAAUUGUUGUAUAAUCGUUGCGAUUAGUUUAGGUUUGUUAUGAAAUUUUGUUGUUAUGAAUUUGUGAUAGAAUUGUUACGAUUAGUUACAGUAUAAUUUUUAGGAUGAGUUUAGGUUUUGAUGAAUUAUUGUAGAAUUGGUACGACAUGAUGUAGGUUUUGAUCGUCGAUUUGUUUAUGUAGAUAUGUCUCAGAAUCAAGGAAACGUUGAGUUGAACAAGAAGAAGAAGGGUGACGACAAGAAGAAAGAAAAAUCACUGAUGACAUGGCACAGAAUCACAUGUGAUGGAUCCGUCAAAAAGAAGGAUUCGAAGGUGCUGGUGUAUAAUCAUUCGAGGUUGAGGAGGAGCGGGAGGACAUGCUAUAUUGUCCUUAGCCAAAAGCAGGUGCCCCAUGGAUUGUCGAGGACAACCCAAUUGACUUGUGUGAUGCGGAAGAUGAUUGAAUGUAAUGUGUUGUAAUAUCUAAUUGUUUUGGAUCUUUUUUUAUGUUUUUUUAUGGUAAAUUUUGCUUGACAUAUUGGUACUUUGAAUAAAUUCGCGUUUUGAAUAAUUUCAAUUAAAAUCGCAUUUGGAAUAAUUUCAAUUAAAGUCGUGUUUCGAAUAAUUGCGUAUUCGAAUAAAAACUAAUUAAAUCUAACGUGAAUUCAAUUAAUUAAAAUUGCGUAAUGAAUAAAUAAAAUCAAAAAGUAAAUAAAUAAAAUAAUUAUUGUUCCAUUCAAAACAAAAUGUAUUAUGCACAUUCAACUAUACAUGUUAUCACAUUACAUUGUAUUACAUUACAUUCCAGAAUGUACCUUCCAACUGCAACAAUUAUCUUACCCUUGAAUGAGGCAAAUUCAAACUUGUUAAACAGCAGGACUCCAACAUCCGAUCAACAUCUUGAAUUAUGGUAUUCAGGUGUCAAAAGAACGAGAUGCAUUCCUUGACACUUCAAUACCAGUAUUCAAGAUGCUUAUUGAAUGCUGGAUUCCUGCCGUUUAACAAGUUUGAAUUACCCAAUUCAAAGGAAGACAAUUGUUGCAGUUGGACGUUUGUACCUUCCAACUACAACAAUUUUGUUACCUUUCAAUAGGAUAAAUUCAAACUUGCCAAGCAGCAGGACUCCAAUGUUCGACCGACAUUCCCAUAAUUCCAUUCAAAAGAUUAAAUUCUUGUUAGAUUUGGUUUAAAUGACGGUAUUCAAGUGUCAAAAGAAUGAGGUCCAUUCAUUGACACUUCAAUGAAUGGACAAUUGUUGUAGCUGGAAGGUGCAUUCAUUCAGUACCUAAUGACGAUCUUCUGGCGGAAUCAAACUUUUGAUGAUAUUUCAGUUGAUCUCAGCAACGUCACCCGCAUAUCGAUCCACUGGAACAUGUGCUCCCAAAACAUGCUCAUCACGUUUUCGUCGUUCGUUAAUUCCACCCAAUUGAAUGAUACUCUCCCCUCGUCGAGCGUUGGACAUUUAUACCGAAUGUAUUCCACCCUCCUUGUGUCUCUCAAGUUUACUCCUUGGUUGAAUUCAGCCAGUUCAUCCUUGAGACCUCUUAACGUUACACCAAUGCACUAAACCUUCAACCUCUGAGGUUCUCCGCCGUUGAAUUGUGCAUGAACGUCGAUCCACCCGGCCAUUGUUUCAAAUCUACACAAUUAGAAAUUAAAAAUAAUCAAUGAAAAACUCAUUCAAACACUUGUAGUGAAAAGUUGACAUAAACCAUAAAAAUCCUAAACAAACCCUAAAAAAUUUAUAAAAAUUUGAAAAAAUAUAUAAAUUUAAGCAUUAUAACAGGUAUUCAUAAUAUAUGUUAAUAACAUUUCAGAUCUACAACAUAAUUAUAUUAAAAACAAAUAUUCAAACCCUAAAAAAUUUAUAAAAUUCGAAAAAAAAUAUAAAUUCAAGCAAUAUAACUUCAUUAUAACAUGUAUUCAUAAUAUAUGUUAAUAACAUUUCAGAUCUACAAUAUAAUUAUAUUAAAAACAAAAAUUCAAAAUUUAAUAAUUAAACAACAAAUAAAAUUAUAAACAUAUAAACACAUAUACUAACUAAAAUGUAUGACAAUAGCAUAAGUGAUAACUUACUUGCGAUUUCGUAGAAGAAAUUUUGGAUGAUUUGGUAGAGUUUUUUUAGAGAGAGUGAGUGAAAAUUUGAGAGAAAUAUGGUGAAGGUGAUGAUGGAGUGAGUGAGUGUCUGGGUUAUGGCUACUGACUUGAAUAUAUCACGAACACAAUGACAGUUAACUGCUGCUGGAAAUCCAGCGGUUCUUAACUGUCGGUGCACAGCCUAACGGCAGUUAACUGCUGUUAGGGGUAAAAACGUCAUUUACUUGUGUUAAUAGGAAGUAUUCUAUGUCAGAAAAGCAAUUUUCUUCUUAUUUUUUCCUCAAAUGUUGGUCCAUAAGAUUCAGCUCACUCAAUUAAAAAAAAUCGGCCCAUUAAAAAAAAAAUCAACAUAAUGUCAGCAUCUAUGGCCACCGGAGCUCCGCCGGACAGCCACCAUCCAUCGCCAUGACUUUGCCGGAGCUCCGUUGUGGAUCGCCGGAAAAUCUAGAUUUCCGGCCAUAUCGCCGCCGCCCACGACCGUACCAGUCGCCGGAGAACUUGUCGGUCAACGUUGGUGUCCGGUGGUCAACGCCGGUACACCACCACCUUUAAUUUAUUUAUUUUAGUAAUAGAUGGAUUGGAGGGACAUAAAACUUAAUGGAUGGAUUAGAUAUUUUUUUUUUCAAAAAAGAAUUGGUGGAUUUUAAUGGACUAAUGGAUUUUUUUGAUCCAUCCAUUAGGAUCCAAAUCCAUAUCCAUCCAUUUUGCCACCCCUAUUUUCAACUAGUCUUGUUGCAACUAUUAAUUCUAAGAGUCACAACAAUGCAGUUUUUUGUUUGAGACUUCUUCUCUGUUAUGCCAAAAUAAAAGUUUUGUUUACCAAAGUAAGACAGGACUAAUAAUUUGAAAAAUGAAAUUAUUGUAAAAUUUUGAUAUUAUUGUAAAAUUUCAAGUAAAUUUAGGUCUAACCAGCAAUACAUGGGGUGUAACUAGAAAAAUUCAUAAUAUAAUGAUCUAUAUUGACUUAGGUCUAACCAGCAAUAUAUGGAUUAGGAUUUUAAAAGAUAAUUUGUAUGAAAAAUCUAGUGGAUUUUAAAAGACUAUGUAAGAUUUUAAAAGAUUCUCAAGAUUUGUAAUUUGGAUUUCAAAGGAUUUAUAUUCAAAGAUUUUAUAAGAUUUUAAAAGACUAUGAGAUUUCAAAAGACUAUGAGAUUUCAAAGGAUUUAUAUCAACAAGCCAAUUGUGUUUUCUUCUAGAUGCUUAUGAGAUGUUUUUUUUCUUUCCAACACUGUGUAUUACAUCAUGAUAUUCAUUUCUAAAUUAUAAAAGACUUUGAAGCCGUCUUACAUAUUAAAAAUGGUUUUAGACACAGAGUCAUCUUAAAAGAAAAUUAGUUUGAAACAGAACUAAUAAAUUGAACAAAUAGCUAAAAUUUUACGAGAAUGAAAAUUAAUACGUCCAACAUUGAAGCAGUCUUGCAUUUUUUUUCCUUUCCAUAAUAACAAUAAUUUGGUUGAAAAGGUACAGUGAUUUAAAAAUGACCGUCCUUUCAAAACAAAACAAAAAAAAAUGCAAGACUGCUUCAAAGUUUAUAAGCCUCACAAUCCACCAACAUUAUUUCGGUGAAGGUAGCUCAAACUAUAUUGACUGAAAGUUUUCUACACCCAAAAUAAUGUUCACCUGGAAUAAUGUUCUAUGCAUCUUGAAACUAAUGGGAAAAUGAAUCUCGUUGAAUACCACAAGAUUUAUUUAUAUUUUAUAAAAGUCUUGAUUGAAUACUGUUGAGUUUGUCUUCAAAUUUGUGGUUUGGAAGAACAGGGAAAUCGUGACACGAUUUUGGUAUCGUGACGCGAUUUCGGAUGCCGUGAGUUAGGGUUGCAGGGGUGCAAAUCGUGACACGAUUUUGGGAAAAUCGUGACACGAUCAAGAAACUUGCUCGUUAAGUAUCCUUGAUAAGGACUGGUCGUUCCUUGGGACGGACGCAAAUCGUGACACGAUUGGGCAAAUCGUGACACGAUUGGAACAGAGGAAGACUAGUACUUAAGUGUUCUUGUGCAGAUUUGAAGAGAGGGUUGAAAGAGAGAGACUUGGGAAAUCAAAGGGGAAGCUCUAGAGUUUAGGGUUCUUUGAUUAGAGUACCUCUUGGGUUGAAAACAUGGGAAACACCUUGUAGAGAGAAUCAUUGAGUGUCUUGGUGAGAUUGGGAAAGGGGUAGAAAUUAGGGUUUGUUCAUAGUGAACAUUGUCAAGCUAAUUUCUUGUAACCUCUUGUAUUCCUUUUGUAAAGAACUCAUUUGAUAGUGGAUUGGAGAGUACAAACUCUCCUCCAGAGUAGGUCAAGUUUGGACCGAACUGGGUGACCAAUCUCUUUGUGUUUAUUGUUUUCUUCUUCCCUCUCCUUGUUUAUCUUGUGUUUAGUUGCUUUGUUUCACACUUGUUUCCUAGAUUGGAUCUAGGUGGUGUUUGUUGUUUCUUGCUUGCUCAAUAAGCUUGGUUUGGUGGUUACCACUCUCCGUCGCUCCACACAUCAUUAUUCUUUGUAUUGGUGUGGUUCGAUCCGGACCUUGGAGGUUCGGGGAUUCACAACAAUUGGCGCCCACCGUGGGGCAAUGGUAGUGAUUUGGUUUAGUGUGUACCAUGGGUUCAAAGUGGGAUAUUGAGAAGUUCACCGGGCUCAACGAUUUUGGGUUGUGGAAGGUGAAGAUGCAAGCGGUGUUGAUUCAACAAAAGUGUGAGAAAGCUUUGAAGGGUGAAGGCGGUUUGCCGGACACCAUGUCACAAGAGGAGAAGACCGAGAUGGUGGACAAGGCGAGGAGCGCCAUUGUCCUGUGCCUCGGGGACAAAGUUUUGAGGGAUGUCGCGAAGGAACCAACUGCGGCAUCGAUAUGGUCUAAGUUGGAAUCGUUGUAUAUGACCAAGUCGUUGGCUCAUAGGCAAUUCCUUAAGCAACAACUCUACUCAUUCAAGAUGGUGGAGUCAAAGACCGUGAUGGAGCAAUUGGCGGAGUUCAACAAGAUCCUCGACGAUUUGGAGAACAUUGAGGUGCAACUUGAGGACGAAGACAAGGCUAUACUCUUGUUGUGCGCACUACCGAGGUCAUUUGAAUCCUUUAAGGAUACCAUGCUCUAUGGCAAAGAAGGCACUGUCACCUUGGAAGAAGUUCAAGCGGCUUUAAGAACCAAGGAGUUGACCAAGUCUAAGGACUUGAGAGCGGAUGAAAACAGUGAAGGCCUUAGUGUGUCAAAAGGAAAUGGUGGAGGUAGAGGCAGCCGGGGAAGCUCAAAGAGCGGAAACAAGGAUAAGUAUAAGUGCUUUAAGUGUCACAAGUUGGGGCACUUCAAGAGGGAUUGUCCGGAGGAAGAUGAUAGCUCCGCGCAAGUUGUGUCUGAGGAGUAUGGAGAUGCGGGUGCUUUGAUGGUGAGUUGUUGGGAGGAAGGUGAAGGUGAGGGUUCUCACCUUGGAGUUGAUUCCUUGUAGAUGGUAUGGUUCGUCUGGAGAGACGUUAAACACUCAACGUCAGCCUGGAGAGGCGGUGGUGAGAAUACUCGUGGUUAGUCUGGAGAGGCGGUGGUAACAAUACUCGUGAUCAACCUUUGAGGUGGAGUGGCAAGGCGGAAGCAUAGUGGAAGUACUCAUUUGGAAGUUGAGGUAGAGAAAGCUCAACUUGAGGUGGAGUUGGUGACUCCGGAAAUGGUACGGCUAUGGAGGCUUUGGGAGUUUAUGCUCUAGUGGUGAGCAUGUGGAUUCUUCAUGAGGACGGAUGGUAUUCCGGGGUUUGAAGAAUGUAUGGGGUGGCUUGUGUGAUUGCCUAAAAGGCCAAGGGUGAUCGGAUGCAAGGUGAUCUUCGAGGAGGCGGGAGACGUUCCGUGGUUGAAGAUGGUUUGGUGAAAAAUGAAGACUUGUGGAGCAACUUGGUGUAGAGUUGGAUGCAAGGGAAAAGGAAGAUUGGUGGUUGAUGGUUAAAGUGGCAUCAUCACCAAAUUAGAAGUCAAGGUGGAGAAAUGUUGAGUUUGUCUUCAAAUUUGUGGUUUGGAAGAACAGGGAAAUCGUGACACGAUUUUGGUAUCGUGACGCGAUUUCGGAUGCCGUGAGUUAGGGUUGCAGGGGUGCAAAUCGUGACACGAUUUUGGGAAAAUCGUGACACGAUCAAGAAACUUGCUCGUUAAGUAUCCUUGAUAAGGACUGGUCGUUCCUUGGGACGUACGCAAAUCGUGACACGAUUGGGCAAAUCGUGACACGAUUGGAACAGAGGAAGACUAGUACUUAAGUGUUCUUGUGCAGAUUUGAAGAGAGGGUUGAAAGAGAGAGACUUGGGAAAUCAAAGGGGAAGCUCUAGAGUUUAGGGUUCUUUGAUUAGAGUACCUCUUGGGUUGAAAACAUGGGAAACACCUUGUAGAGAGAAUCAUUGAGUGUCUUGGUGAGAUUGGGAAAGGGGUAGAAAUUAGGGUUUGUUCAUAGUGAACAUUGUCAAGCUAAUUUCUUGUAACCUCUUGUAUUCCUUUUGUAAAGAACUCAUUUGAUAGUGGAUUGGAGAGUACAAACUCUCCUCCAGAGUAGGUCAAGUUUGGACCGAACUGGGUGACCAAUCUCUUUGUGUUUAUUGUUUUCUUCUUCCCUCUCCUUGUUUAUCUUGUGUUUAGUUGCUUUGUUUCACACUUGUUUCCUAGAUUGGAUCUAGGUGGUGUUUGUUGUUUCUUGCUUGCUCAAUAAGCUUGGUUUGGUGGUUACCACUCUCCGUCGCUCCACACAUCAUUAUUCUUUGUAUUGGUGUGGUUCGAUCCGGACCUUGGAGGUUCGGGGAUUCACAACAAUUGGCGCCCACCGUGGGGCAAUGGUAGUGAUUUGGUUUAGUGUGUACCAUGGGUUCAAAGUGGGAUAUUGAGAAGUUCACCGGGCUCAACGAUUUUGGGUUGUGGAAGGUGAAGAUGCAAGCGGUGUUGAUUCAACAAAAGUGUGAGAAAGCUUUGAAGGGUGAAGGCGGUUUGCCGGACACCAUGUCACAAGAGGAGAAGACCGAGAUGGUGGACAAGGCGAGGAGUGCCAUUGUCCUGUGCCUCGGGGACAAAGUUUUGAGGGAUGUCGCGAAGGAACCAACUGCGGCAUCGAUAUGGUCUAAGUUGGAAUCGUUGUAUAUGACCAAGUCGUUGGCUCAUAGGCAAUUCCUUAAGCAACAACUCUACUCAUUCAAGAUGGUGGAUUUAAAGACCGUGAUGGAGCAAUUGGCGGAGUUCAACAAGAUCCUCGACGAUUUGGAGAACAUUGAGGUGCAACUUGAGGACGAAGACAAGGCUAUACUCUUGUUGUGCGCACUACCGAGGUCAUUUGAAUCCUUUAAGGAUACCAUGCUCUAUGGCAAAGAAGGCACUGUCACCUUGGAAGAAGUUCAAGCGGCUUUAAGAACCAAGGAGUUGACCAAGUCUAAGGACUUGAGAGCGGAUGAAAACAGUGAAGGCCUUAGUGUGUCAAAAGGAAAUGGUGGAGGUAGAGGCAGCCGGGGAAGCUCAAAGAGCGGAAACAAGGAUAAGUAUAAGUGCUUUAAGUGUCACAAGUUGGGGCACUUCAAGAGGGAUUGUCCGGAGGAAGAUGAUAGCUCCGCGCAAGUUGUGUCCGAGGAGUAUGGAGAUGCGGGUGCUUUGAUGGUGAGUUGUUGGGAGGAAGGUGAAGGUGAGGGUUCUCACCUUGGAGUUGAUUCCUUGUAGAUGGUAUGGUUCGUCUGGAGAGACGUUAAACACUCAACGUCAGCCUGGAGAGGCGGUGGUGAGAAUACUCGUGGUUAGUCUGGAGAGGCGGUGGUAACAAUACUCGUGAUCAACCUUUGAGGUGGAGUGGCAAGGCGGAAGCAUAGUGGAAGUACUCAUUUGGAAGUUGAGGUAGAGAAAGCUCAACUUGAGGUGGAGUUGGUGACUCCGGAAAUGGUACGGCUAUGGAGGCUUUGGGAGUUUAUGCUCUAGUGGUGAGCAUGUGGAUUCUUCAUGAGGACGGAUGGUAUUCCGGGGUUUGAAGAAUGUAUGGGGUGGCUUGUGUGAUUGCCUAAAAGGCCAAGGGUGAUCGGAUGCAAGGUGAUCUUCGAGGAGGCGGGAGACGUUCCGUGGUUGAAGAUGGUUUGGUGAAAAAUGAAGACUUGUGGAGCAACUUGGUGUAGAGUUGGAUGCAAGGGAAAAGGAAGAUUGGUGGUUGAUGGUUAAAGUGGCAUCAUCACCAAAUUAGAAGUCAAGGUGGAGAAAUGUUGAGUUUGUCUUCAAAUUUGUGGUUUGGAAGAACAGGGAAAUCGUGACACGAUUUUGGUAUCGUGACGCGAUUUCGGAUGCCGUGAGUUAGGGUUGCAGGGGUGCAAAUCGUGACACGAUUUUGGGAAAAUCGUGACACGAUCAAGAAACUUGCUCGUUAAGUAUCCUUGAUAAGGACUGGUCGUUCCUUGGGACGUACGCAAAUCGUGACACGAUUGGGCAAAUCGUGACACGAUUGGAACAGAGGAAGACUAGUACUUAAGUGUUCUUGUGCAGAUUUGAAGAGAGGGUUGAAAGAGAGAGACUUGGGAAAUCAAAGGGGAAGCUCUAGAGUUUAGGGUUCUUUGAUUAGAGUACCUCUUGGGUUGAAAACAUGGGAAACACCUUGUAGAGAGAAUCAUUGAGUGUCUUGGUGAGAUUGGGAAAGGGGUAGAAAUUAGGGUUUGUUCAUAGUGAACAUUGUCAAGCUAAUUUCUUGUAACCUCUUGUAUUCCUUUUGUAAAGAACUCAUUUGAUAGUGGAUUGGAGAGUACAAACUCUCCUCCAGAGUAGGUCAAGUUUGGACCGAACUGGGUGACCAAUCUCUUUGUGUUUAUUGUUUUCUUCUUCCCUCUCCUUGUUUAUCUUGUGUUUAGUUGCUUUGUUUCACACUUGUUUCCUAGAUUGGAUCUAGGUGGUGUUUGUUGUUUCUUGCUUGCUCAAUAAGCUUGGUUUGGUGGUUACCACUCUCCGUCGCUCCACACAUCAUUAUUCUUUGUAUUGGUGUGGUUCGAUCCGGACCUUGGAGGUUCGGGGAUUCACAACAAUUGGCGCCCACCGUGGGGCAAUGGUAGUGAUUUGGUUUAGUGUGUACCAUGGGUUCAAAGUGGGAUAUUGAGAAGUUCACCGGGCUCAACGAUUUUGGGUUGUGGAAGGUGAAGAUGCAAGCGGUGUUGAUUCAACAAAAGUGUGAGAAAGCUUUGAAGGGUGAAGGCGGUUUGCCGGACACCAUGUCACAAGAGGAGAAGACCGAGAUGGUGGACAAGGCGAGGAGCGCCAUUGUCCUGUGCCUCGGGGACAAAGUUUUGAGGGAUGUCGCGAAGGAACCAACUGCGGCAUCGAUAUGGUCUAAGUUGGAAUCGUUGUAUAUGACCAAGUCGUUGGCUCAUAGGCAAUUCCUUAAGCAACAACUCUACUCAUUCAAGAUGGUGGAGUCAAAGACCGUGAUGGAGCAAUUGGCGGAGUUCAACAAGAUCCUCGACGAUUUGGAGAACAUUGAGGUGCAACUUGAGGACGAAGACAAGGCUAUACUCUUGUUGUGCGCACUACCGAGGUCAUUUGAAUCCUUUAAGGAUACCAUGCUCUAUGGCAAAGAAGGCACUGUCACCUUGGAAGAAGUUCAAGCGGCUUUAAGAACCAAGGAGUUGACCAAGUCUAAGGACUUGAGAGCGGAUGAAAACAGUGAAGGCCUUAGUGUGUCAAAAGGAAAUGGUGGAGGUAGAGGCAGCCGGGGAAGCUCAAAGAGCGGAAACAAGGAUAAGUAUAAGUGCUUUAAGUGUCACAAGUUGGGGCACUUCAAGAGGGAUUGUCCGGAGGAAGAUGAUAGCUCCGCGCAAGUUGUGUCUGAGGAGUAUGGAGAUGCGGGUGCUUUGAUGGUGAGUUGUUGGGAGGAAGGUGAAGGUGAGGGUUCUCACCUUGGAGUUGAUUCCUUGUAGAUGGUAUGGUUCGUCUGGAGAGACGUUAAACACUCAACGUCAGCCUGGAGAGGCGGUGGUGAGAAUACUCGUGGUUAGUCUGGAGAGGCGGUGGUAACAAUACUCGUGAUCAACCUUUGAGGUGGAGUGGCAAGGCGGAAGCAUAGUGGAAGUACUCAUUUGGAAGUUGAGGUAGAGAAAGCUCAACUUGAGGUGGAGUUGGUGACUCCGGAAAUGGUACGGCUAUGGAGGCUUUGGGAGUUUAUGCUCUAGUGGUGAGCAUGUGGAUUCUUCAUGAGGACGGAUGGUAUUCCGGGGUUUGAAGAAUGUAUGGGGUGGCUUGUGUGAUUGCCUAAAAGGCCAAGGGUGAUCGGAUGCAAGGUGAUCUUCGAGGAGGCGGGAGACGUUCCGUGGUUGAAGAUGGUUUGGUGAAAAAUGAAGACUUGUGGAGCAACUUGGUGUAGAGUUGGAUGCAAGGGAAAAGGAAGAUUGGUGGUUGAUGGUUAAAGUGGCAUCAUCACCAAAUUAGAAGUCAAGGUGGAGAAAUGUUGAGUUUGUCUUCAAAUUUGUGGUUUGGAAGAACAGGGAAAUCGUGACACGAUUUUGGUAUCGUGACGCGAUUUCGGAUGCCGUGAGUUAGGGUUGCAGGGGUGCAAAUCGUGACACGAUUUUGGGAAAAUCGUGACACGAUCAAGAAACUUGCUCGUUAAGUAUCCUUGAUAAGGACUGGUCGUUCCUUGGGACGUACGCAAAUCGUGACACGAUUGGGCAAAUCGUGACACGAUUGGAACAGAGGAAGACUAGUACUUAAGUGUUCUUGUGCAGAUUUGAAGAGAGGGUUGAAAGAGAGAGACUUGGGAAAUCAAAGGGGAAGCUCUAGAGUUUAGGGUUCUUUGAUUAGAGUACCUCUUGGGUUGAAAACAUGGGAAACACCUUGUAGAGAGAAUCAUUGAGUGUCUUGGUGAGAUUGGGAAAGGGGUAGAAAUUAGGGUUUGUUCAUAGUGAACAUUGUCAAGCUAAUUUCUUGUAACCUCUUGUAUUCCUUUUGUAAAGAACUCAUUUGAUAGUGGAUUGGAGAGUACAAACUCUCCUCCAGAGUAGGUCAAGUUUGGACCGAACUGGGUGACCAAUCUCUUUGUGUUUAUUGUUUUCUUCUUCCCUCUCCUUGUUUAUCUUGUGUUUAGUUGCUUUGUUUCACACUUGUUUCCUAGAUUGGAUCUAGGUGGUGUUUGUUGUUUCUUGCUUGCUCAAUAAGCUUGGUUUGGUGGUUACCACUCUCCGUCGCUCCACACAUCAUUAUUCUUUGUAUUGGUGUGGUUCGAUCCGGACCUUGGAGGUUCGGGGAUUCACAACAAUUGGCGCCCACCGUGGGGCAAUGGUAGUGAUUUGGUUUAGUGUGUACCAUGGGUUCAAAGUGGGAUAUUGAGAAGUUCACCGGGCUCAACGAUUUUGGGUUGUGGAAGGUGAAGAUGCAAGCGGUGUUGAUUCAACAAAAGUGUGAGAAAGCUUUGAAGGGUGAAGGCGGUUUGCCGGACACCAUGUCACAAGAGGAGAAGACCGAGAUGGUGGACAAGGCGAGGAGCGCCAUUGUCCUGUGCCUCGGGGACAAAGUUUUGAGGGAUGUCGCGAAGGAACCAACUGCGGCAUCGAUAUGGUCUAAGUUGGAAUCGUUGUAUAUGACCAAGUCGUUGGCUCAUAGGCAAUUCCUUAAGCAACAACUCUACUCAUUCAAGAUGGUGGAGUCAAAGACCGUGAUGGAGCAAUUGGCGGAGUUCAACAAGAUCCUCGACGAUUUGGAGAACAUUGAGGUGCAACUUGAGGACGAAGACAAGGCUAUACUCUUGUUGUGCGCACUACCGAGGUCAUUUGAAUCCUUUAAGGAUACCAUGCUCUAUGGCAAAGAAGGCACUGUCACCUUGGAAGAAGUUCAAGCGGCUUUAAGAACCAAGGAGUUGACCAAGUCUAAGGACUUGAGAGCGGAUGAAAACAGUGAAGGCCUUAGUGUGUCAAAAGGAAAUGGUGGAGGUAGAGGCAGCCGGGGAAGCUCAAAGAGCGGAAACAAGGAUAAGUAUAAGUGCUUUAAGUGUCACAAGUUGGGGCACUUCAAGAGGGAUUGUCCGGAGGAAGAUGAUAGCUCCGCGCAAGUUGUGUCUGAGGAGUAUGGAGAUGCGGGUGCUUUGAUGGUGAGUUGUUGGGAGGAAGGUGAAGGUGAGGGUUCUCACCUUGGAGUUGAUUCCUUGUAGAUGGUAUGGUUCGUCUGGAGAGACGUUAAACACUCAACGUCAGCCUGGAGAGGCGGUGGUGAGAAUACUCGUGGUUAGUCUGGAGAGGCGGUGGUAACAAUACUCGUGAUCAACCUUUGAGGUGGAGUGGCAAGGCGGAAGCAUAGUGGAAGUACUCAUUUGGAAGUUGAGGUAGAGAAAGCUCAACUUGAGGUGGAGUUGGUGACUCCGGAAAUGGUACGGCUAUGGAGGCUUUGGGAGUUUAUGCUCUAGUGGUGAGCAUGUGGAUUCUUCAUGAGGACGGAUGGUAUUCCGGGGUUUGAAGAAUGUAUGGGGUGGCUUGUGUGAUUGCCUAAAAGGCCAAGGGUGAUCGGAUGCAAGGUGAUCUUCGAGGAGGCGGGAGACGUUCCGUGGUUGAAGAUGGUUUGGUGAAAAAUGAAGACUUGUGGAGCAACUUGGUGUAGAGUUGGAUGCAAGGGAAAAGGAAGAUUGGUGGUUGAUGGUUAAAGUGGCAUCAUCACCAAAUUAGAAGUCAAGGUGGAGAAAUGUUGAGUUUGUCUUCAAAUUUGUGGUUUGGAAGAACAGGGAAAUCGUGACACGAUUUUGGUAUCGUGACGCGAUUUCGGAUGCCGUGAGUUAGGGUUGCAGGGGUGCAAAUCGUGACACGAUUUUGGGAAAAUCGUGACACGAUCAAGAAACUUGCUCGUUAAGUAUCCUUGAUAAGGACUGGUCGUUCCUUGGGACGUACGCAAAUCGUGACACGAUUGGGCAAAUCGUGACACGAUUGGAACAGAGGAAGACUAGUACUUAAGUGUUCUUGUGCAGAUUUGAAGAGAGGGUUGAAAGAGAGAGACUUGGGAAAUCAAAGGGGAAGCUCUAGAGUUUAGGGUUCUUUGAUUAGAGUACCUCUUGGGUUGAAAACAUGGGAAACACCUUGUAGAGAGAAUCAUUGAGUGUCUUGGUGAGAUUGGGAAAGGGGUAGAAAUUAGGGUUUGUUCAUAGUGAACAUUGUCAAGCUAAUUUCUUGUAACCUCUUGUAUUCCUUUUGUAAAGAACUCAUUUGAUAGUGGAUUGGAGAGUACAAACUCUCCUCCAGAGUAGGUCAAGUUUGGACCGAACUGGGUGACCAAUCUCUUUGUGUUUAUUGUUUUCUUCUUCCCUCUCCUUGUUUAUCUUGUGUUUAGUUGCUUUGUUUCACACUUGUUUCCUAGAUUGGAUCUAGGUGGUGUUUGUUGUUUCUUGCUUGCUCAAUAAGCUUGGUUUGGUGGUUACCACUCUCCGUCGCUCCACACAUCAUUAUUCUUUGUAUUGGUGUGGUUCGAUCCGGACCUUGGAGGUUCGGGGAUUCACAACAAUUGGCGCCCACCGUGGGGCAAUGGUAGUGAUUUGGUUUAGUGUGUACCAUGGGUUCAAAGUGGGAUAUUGAGAAGUUCACCGGGCUCAACGAUUUUGGGUUGUGGAAGGUGAAGAUGCAAGCGGUGUUGAUUCAACAAAAGUGUGAGAAAGCUUUGAAGGGUGAAGGCGGUUUGCCGGACACCAUGUCACAAGAGGAGAAGACCGAGAUGGUGGACAAGGCGAGGAGCGCCAUUGUCCUGUGCCUCGGGGACAAAGUUUUGAGGGAUGUCGCGAAGGAACCAACUGCGGCAUCGAUAUGGUCUAAGUUGGAAUCGUUGUAUAUGACCAAGUCGUUGGCUCAUAGGCAAUUCCUUAAGCAACAACUCUACUCAUUCAAGAUGGUGGAGUCAAAGACCGUGAUGGAGCAAUUGGCGGAGUUCAACAAGAUCCUCGACGAUUUGGAGAACAUUGAGGUGCAACUUGAGGACGAAGACAAGGCUAUACUCUUGUUGUGCGCACUACCGAGGUCAUUUGAAUCCUUUAAGGAUACCAUGCUCUAUGGCAAAGAAGGCACUGUCACCUUGGAAGAAGUUCAAGCGGCUUUAAGAACCAAGGAGUUGACCAAGUCUAAGGACUUGAGAGCGGAUGAAAACAGUGAAGGCCUUAGUGUGUCAAAAGGAAAUGGUGGAGGUAGAGGCAGCCGGGGAAGCUCAAAGAGCGGAAACAAGGAUAAGUAUAAGUGCUUUAAGUGUCACAAGUUGGGGCACUUCAAGAGGGAUUGUCCGGAGGAAGAUGAUAGCUCCGCGCAAGUUGUGUCUGAGGAGUAUGGAGAUGCGGGUGCUUUGAUGGUGAGUUGUUGGGAGGAAGGUGAAGGUGAGGGUUCUCACCUUGGAGUUGAUUCCUUGUAGAUGGUAUGGUUCGUCUGGAGAGACGUUAAACACUCAACGUCAGCCUGGAGAGGCGGUGGUGAGAAUACUCGUGGUUAGUCUGGAGAGGCGGUGGUAACAAUACUCGUGAUCAACCUUUGAGGUGGAGUGGCAAGGCGGAAGCAUAGUGGAAGUACUCAUUUGGAAGUUGAGGUAGAGAAAGCUCAACUUGAGGUGGAGUUGGUGACUCCGGAAAUGGUACGGCUAUGGAGGCUUUGGGAGUUUAUGCUCUAGUGGUGAGCAUGUGGAUUCUUCAUGAGGACGGAUGGUAUUCCGGGGUUUGAAGAAUGUAUGGGGUGGCUUGUGUGAUUGCCUAAAAGGCCAAGGGUGAUCGGAUGCAAGGUGAUCUUCGAGGAGGCGGGAGACGUUCCGUGGUUGAAGAUGGUUUGGUGAAAAAUGAAGACUUGUGGAGCAACUUGGUGUAGAGUUGGAUGCAAGGGAAAAGGAAGAUUGGUGGUUGAUGGUUAAAGUGGCAUCAUCACCAAAUUAGAAGUCAAGGUGGAGAAAUGUUGAGUUUGUCUUCAAAUUUGUGGUUUGGAAGAACAGGGAAAUCGUGACACGAUUUUGGUAUCGUGACGCGAUUUCGGAUGCCGUGAGUUAGGGUUGCAGGGGUGCAAAUCGUGACACGAUUUUGGGAAAAUCGUGACACGAUCAAGAAACUUGCUCGUUAAGUAUCCUUGAUAAGGACUGGUCGUUCCUUGGGACGGACGCAAAUCGUGACACGAUUGGGCAAAUCGUGACACGAUUGGAACAGAGGAAGACUAGUACUUAAGUGUUCUUGUGCAGAUUUGAAGAGAGGGUUGAAAGAGAGAGACUUGGGAAAUCAAAGGGGAAGCUCUAGAGUUUAGGGUUCUUUGAUUAGAGUACCUCUUGGGUUGAAAACAUGGGAAACACCUUGUAGAGAGAAUCAUUGAGUGUCUUGGUGAGAUUGGGAAAGGGGUAGAAAUUAGGGUUUGUUCAUAGUGAACAUUGUCAAGCUAAUUUCUUGUAACCUCUUGUAUUCCUUUUGUAAAGAACUCAUUUGUAACCUCCAGAGUAGGUCAAGUUUGGACCGAACUGGGUGACCAAUCUCUUUGUGUUUAUUGUUUUCUUCUUCCCUCUCCUUGUUUAUCUUGUGUUUAGUUGCUUUGUUUCACACUUGUUUCCUAGAUUGGAUCUAGGUGGUGUUUGUUGUUUCUUGCUUGCUCAAUAAGCUUGGUUUGGUGGUUACCACUCUCCGUCGCUCCACACAUCAUUAUUCUUUGUAUUGGUGUGGUUCGAUCCGGACCUUGGAGGUUCGGGGAUUCACAACAAAUACCACAAAACUUUUUUAUAAUGAAAAAGUCUUUUAAAAUCCCUUGAAAUCUCAAUUCAAUACACCCUCCUUAAAUAUUCAAUCAGUUCACUUUUAAAUGUCAUUUUAGAAAAUUAGUCUCCAAUUAUGAAAGGUUGAAUCACCGCCGAGGUUUUGCGUUAUCACCAUUUGUGAUCCCAAAGGUAUUUGUUAUUCUAUCUCAUUUUUUUCUAUUAUUAUUGUCAUUAUUAUUAUUACUAUUUUUUUGUGGUCAAACUUAGUUUCCCAAGAAUAAAAUUAGGCAAGACAACAAAAUCGGUAAUCCGUCGAAACCCACACCGAGUUGAGCCGUUUGUCUCUUUUCGACUGAGUUUGGAUAUGAGUUUAGGUUUUUUCUUACUUCAAAAUAUAGUUAUGAGAUAGAAGUACCCACCCCAAACUCUUCUCGAAUAUUGAAAAUUAUUGAUAAGCAAACUCUGAAUGUCACAGUGACAUUUUCCUAGUUUACAAUCGACAAAUACACAUGGUGUUGGAUGUGUUUUCCUACCCCAACUGGAUUAUAUUAAUGGAAUUUCUAAUAGUAUGAUUGGGUUUGGGAAAAAAGAAUUGAACGAGGAGCGAUACACGGUGAACAUAUCAUGUAGAAUUCUGCAAAGUGACAAUUUGACAAUAAGGAUGACUUAUCUGUCAGCUUUACCACUCUUACCCCUAAAAAACAAACUUUGUCUUAAUAGGGGAGCGAAUGGGAUUAGAGACCUAGUAAACGAUGGAUACUAGGUAGAGUAGUGAUAGUUUUGCUAUGACAUUUUGUUACCGUUUGACCGUUACAUAGACUUUUGCUUCUGAAAAAGAUAUUUUAAAGUAAAAUGACUUAUAUAUUGAAACUUAGAAUAUAAUAAACCCUUCUGCAUGGAGAAGAAGAGUAGCCAUCCGAAUUCAAGGCGAGUUUGGGGCUUGAAAAACUUAUUCGUUAUAAAAAAUUAUUUCACUGUAGGGGUGGGGACAAGGAUACUUGAACCUGUCGAGGACGAGGAUAAGGUUCAAAUCCCCAUUUUCGUCAAAGAUCGGGUAAGACAACGAAUAAGUGUAUGAGAUUUGGGGACCUAGGCGAGGAAGGUGAAAUUCUUACCUUGCUCAAUUGUCAUGCCUAAAUAAAAUCCGGAGUAGUUUUGACGUUUUUAUAACAGGUCACCAACUAGUACUUGACUUUGAGUUUUUUAUUUUUUUAUUUUUAUUUUAUUUCAAAGGCUAAAUUUACCCGUAAACAAAUUGUGAAGCACUAAAUUGGAUCUCCAUUAUUAUUAUUAUUAUUAUUAUUAUUAUUAUUAUUAUUAUUAGUAUAUUUUUUUGGGUAGAGUAUUGAUAAGGUUACACUGCUUUGAACAAGAAGAUCUUUAAUGUUUUGAACAAGAAGAUCUUUAAUGUUUUGAAUUAGCACGACAUGGACAUGGUACUUCACACUGGGACCAUUGAUAAGGUUGAUGCAGAGAAGUGAAUUAGAGUAGCAAACAAGUUCAUUGAUACCCCAAGUUCUUGGCCAAGAUCAGACAUUGGUAAAUAGCAAAUAAUUUCGCGUGCGUUAUAUCAGAAGAUCCUGGAAUGUUCCCAGAAAAUCAAGAUUGUUAUUAUUCUACUUUAUGUGUCUCUCAUCUGAAACACCAUUAGCAUGAGGAGAGAAACUAGACUUAAGAACAUCCACCUUAUUCUUGAUGUUAAAUGAAAGACGGUUAAUGGACCAAGUUUCAAGCACAUCAAGUUACGAUACCUCCAAUACACCAGACACCAGCUGAGAACAGGAAUGCAAUCAAACCUAUAGAACCACCCUUGAGCAAAUCUUUCCGUUAAAUUGCUUUUUUUUUCUUCUUCUUUCGCAUUCCUAUCUAUAUUCUAUUUUGUCUAUUAUUAUAUCAGUGUUUAUAUAAGGUUUGCUUAAAUACCUAUUUGGUCCUUUAACUUUAAAACCGGUCAAUUUUACCUCUUAAUAUAUUUUAAAAAUUCAGUUUGAUCCCUUAACUUUAAAACCGAUUAAUUCGUCCCUUAACUUCAGCAAAUUAAUUCAACUUGGUCCCUUAACUUAUAAAAAAAUAUUAUCAUUUUCAUCGAUUAAGAAACCAAGUUGCACUAAAUUGCAUAAGUUAAGAGACCAAAUUGAGCAAUUUUUAAGUGUAGUGACCAAACUAAACUUUUAAAAUAAGUUAAGGUGCCAAAUUGAUCAAAGUUCAAGUUAAGAGACCAAAUUGAACUUUUAAAUUAAGUUAAGGGACCAAAGUGUUAUUUAAGCUAAAUAUAUUCAUCUUUGUAAUUAUAUUAUCAAUUCAAACAAACAAUUUCAAUAACUUGAAACCUUUUGAAAAGGUCACCAUCACUGCAAUUCUCUUUUUUUGGUUUUUGGUUCAAUUCAAGCUUCCCUUGGAAUGGGAUUAGUAUCCUAAGCUCAGAACAUAUCCUCAGCAGUAGACAAAGUGAUUUACAUUUCUUCAUAAGGCAGGGGCUUAUUUAAAUGUCUAGGUGGCUGAAUUGGACUAAAAUGUCAAAAUUGUCUAAAUAAAAUCAAUGAGCUUGGCUUAACCAAAGUCUGAAAUUUUAGCCAUGAAAUAAUCAUCUAGAAGCACAUUUUCAGGCUUGAUGUCACAAUGAACAAUCUGUGUCAUAAUCUUAAUGCUGAUAUUAAAUCUUGUAUUCCAGUCUAAAUGAAAUUCAGCUUUUUUCUUCUUGAUAUCCAUUUCUUUAUUGGACAUAUACACAUAAACUGAAUGCCUAUGAGUUCCUUCUGUACAAAAUCCUUUAAGGGGGUAAGGUAAUAAAUGCUACCGAUGAUGCUAACUUUAGCUCUGAACUCUUUCUUCACUUGACCAAUAAUACCUUCCAAUUUCUUCACAGCCAAUUGAGUCUCAUCAAGUAUUGAGUACCAACCCAAAAUCCCCUUGGCAUACCAGUUAAUUGACCAAUAAUAACUUCAAUAUCUUUAUGUCGGUAACAUAUUGGCAUACCAGUUAAAUUUCCGAGAAAUUUUCUUCUCAGAGAUUCAGGUAAAUUUUUCUUUUUCAAGUAGUAUCUAGCCCCAACAAAGAGCUGAACGAUAUUACAAGCAACUUUAAUUUGACAAUAACGACAAACUUCUAUGGAAGGACAUUGCAAGACAAGAGAAAUUUCCACGACAAUAUGUUUGAAAACCAGACAAAUCGGUUUUCUAAAAGGGAUGUAGAAAUGAAUUGCAAAGUAACAAGUCCGUCAUCACCUUUCAGAAAUUCAGUAGAUUUUUCUGAUUUAUCAUCACAACUGGAAACAACCAAGGACAGCUAGACAUAAGGUUGAUUGUGAAUAUGAUAUAGCCAUGAAGGGAUCAUAUCGUUGAUGUGUACCAAAAAGAUCUUGUGGUAUUCUUGUUGAUGAAUCACUGUUUAUUCCACCAUUGUUGAGAGUAGAGAAAGUAAUAAAACCAUCCCUUCCGAAAACUGCAAUCCAAGUUGCUUUCACACAUGCAUCAGCAUAGAAAGUAAAUUGCAACAACAAAGACAUCUUCUCGUCAUACAAUCUCCAUAAAUUGUUACUGAUAUUUGCAGUAGCCAAAACAUUAUUGUCCUUAUCAAUUGUUUUGCGGUUACCCUUCUGCAUAGUCUAGUAAGUCAGUGGAGUUUCCAAACCAGCAGAAACAAUAGCAUUACCAGAUUUUAUCUGAAGAACAUAGGUCGAGUUAUUUGGAAUAGGUUCACUUGUAAGUUUCUUUACCUCUUUGAAUUUCUUUGAAGUCGUCAAAGUUGUUGGGAGAAUAAAAACUUUGCCAAAGUACCAUACUAUUGUUGUUUCCAAGCAAAACUAAUUUUAUUUUAUUUUUAUAGAUAGACGAAAUGGCAAAGCCAUUAUAAACUCACACGCACAAGUGCAGGUGUUGGGGUUCGAACCCCGACCAUGGCAUCCAGCCUAACAAUUUUGACAUUUUUGUCAGUUGAGCUAGGACUUGUGGAGAAAAUCAUAUUGUGAAAAUAUUUCCCUAAUUUUGCAUACAUUUGUACAAAACUCAAACAGAACACUCUAAACCCUAUGGAAAUGGAUAAAUUAAUUAAUAAUAAUUUGCAUAUGUUAUUUGUUAUAUUAAUUAUUAAAAGUGAUUUUAGUGAAUGAACAUUUUGUGAUGAACCUGCCAUCAAGGUAGUGCCAAGCAACUAUGGAAUGUGUGAAGUCAUUCUAUUCCUCAAACCUCCUUCUUCUUCCUUCUCUGCUUAGCCAGAAAAUUUCUUAGUUAAUUUCAAUUUACAUUCCCUAGUUGUAAUUGCCUUCCAGCUUUUACAGUGAAAGUUGAACUUUCUACUUCUCAAUUUCCAUAAAAGCAGAACCAGCAAAGAGUUCAACUGGACAUGGUACAGGUGCAGGGGUCCCACUCCCAGGACUGCAUGGAGUGAGAAUGAGCAAGGACAUGAAAAGUGAUCAACUCUUGUGAGUAAUUUCGUUGUUUGAAUGUUUUAGACACAUAUCAAUCAAUACAACACGAUUUUACUGUAAAUCAUCUUCACUUAAUUUUAGCUUUAUAAUAUGCUUUCUUAAUUAAGUUAACAUUGAUUACUUCACUCAACACUCUUUGACGUUGUUAAAGAACUCAUAGUUGAGAGAUAAGAUUUCUUCCUCGAUAUAACGAUUGAAGAAAAAUGAGUCGUUGUUGAUUAAUAUUAAUCGACUGUUUGCAUAAAUUCUGUUCACGUCAAUAAUUUCAUAUUGCAUUCAUAGUUGUGUGAGAAGUUGCAUAUUUUUUUUGGUAGCAAUAACGUCUCUAAUCAUGUUUUUAUUAAUAUAUGAAGAUUAAUUUCACAUGAAUAGAGCCGGCAACAAGCUGCACCGCUACAUAUAUUUGAUAGGAUUGAAGAUGUAAUUUGGUGUUUAAACAUAAUGAAAGAUUGCAUAUGUUGGUGUCCCUUUUAUAAAUCUUCAAAUUGUGCUAUUUCAUAUUAGGAAACUUUUAUUACCAGAACAGAAACUUUGGUGAUUUGUCAAGAAUAAAUAAAUAAAUUAAGUAUGAUACAAAUUAUAAUAAUUAGGAUAAAUAAAAAAAUCUUUCACAUUUGACUUUAACUUCUGUAGCUUAUUCAAGUACAGAUCUUUUCUUAACGGCAAAAGGUACUAUAGUGUUAUGAAAAUAUUUCCACUAAAAAUUUAUCUGUUAACAUAUCCAAUUUUUUUAUAAAAGACUUACAUUGAUGCAAAUUGAGUUCACAGUGAUCAAAGUAUUUUGGAACAUGAGUAACUCAUUUUUUUAUUUUUUUAUGAUAUGAACUAGAUUCUUUCAUCUUCAUUAUUCUAUAAAAAAGCAAAUGAUAUACUCCGUUUUCUGAUUAAAAGCUUUUUGAUUGUGUGAUCAGGUCGUUUUCGACUUUCGUUUCUUUGCACUCCUUGCUGUUGGAGGUUCCUUGACUGGCUCAGAAAGGUGCUAUAAUGUUGUUUUUAUGUUUCCAUAGAAAGAUCAAGGACUUGUUUGGAUUAGGUCAUUAUCUACUGACAUAUGCAUUUUUCGGACUAUUGGAAAGAGAUUAUGGGAACAACUUAUGACAUGUAUAUAAGCUAUUUUUAAGUUAUUUCUAUAAGCUCUCUAAGUGAUUCUAUAAGCUCUCUAGUGUAUAGUUUUGUAUUGCAUUUGUAUGUUACUGAUUCCACAACACAAAUUCAACCCUUGAAUCGCAUGGUCACAUGGUUCAAAUGUCAGUAAACAUGGGAAUGAGUUCUCUCAUGUUAAAACUCCACAUGAUUUUUUUUUUUUUUUUUUUUUUUUUUAAGUUCCAACUUUUUGAUUAAACAAACGAAGGAGCCUGAACACGGCUUACAACAAUGGCAGGUUCAAUGGAUGUUACUACACCAGCUCUGUUGACACAAUUCACCACAAUGAGAGCAUCACAGGAGAGCUUCAAGCUUUGGAUGCCUAACCUCACUGCCACUUGAAGCGCCCAUGUCACUCGUAGUGCUUCGGCCAAGCAAGGGUCUACUUCCACCGAAUCCAAUUUGCACUUGUGAUGAGUAAUUAUUCCUGUCUGUGUCUGGUUUUUCAGAAUCAGCCCCCAUCCUGUUUGUCCGUUUGAAAAACAUCCAGCAUCCACAAACAUAUGAUGGGAUAUAUCCUGGCACGUGCCAUCAUUGUCCCUCCUUUGGCGGGGUGGUUGAGGCCUUUGCUUGACAUUUGCUGCAUUGAACUCCUGAAUAAACUGAAUAGCUGUGUGAGCUAAAUUAACAGGGUCUGUAGUGGCCCCAUUAAAAACAGCUUGAUUUCUAGCGUACCAAAGCUUCCAGAGGAUAGUGCAGAACAGCUGCGAGUCAUCCUUAACAGCACAAGAUAGCCAAUCUAACAAAUAGCUAUGCAGGUCCAUAUUAAAGGGAGCAUGGGAACGCAAAGGCGAUGCAAACAGUGCUAGUUUGGACAAAUUACAGUUCAUGAAUAAAUGUUCCACAGUCUCUGCUUCAGAAUGACAUAAAGGGCAGGAGGUGUCUAGAACAAUACCUUUCCUCUGUUGGUUGUGUCUAUUUGGGAGAAUGUUCUUUGCCAAGCGCCACAUGAAGUUUUUGAUCUUGUUGGGGAUUGGUGCUUUGCAAAUUUCAUUCCAUAGUCUUUCGUUCCUGCGUUGGGAUGGUCCUAGCUGAAGAUUUUCUCUGAUUCUGCUCAAUAAGUGGUAUGCUGUGUAGCAACCAUUUUUCUCCCAGCGCCAGCAAAUCUUGUCUUUUGGAAGGGAUUGGGAUAUAGGAAUACUUACAAUUUUAACGCUUCUUGAAAAUAUUAUAAAUUAAGGUCCUAUUCCGUUGUAUAGUAUCUGGAUCCAGAAGUUCUUCCACCAAGGCUUCCUGCCUCAAAGUACAGUUAUCGCUCUUUGAUGUCAAAAUUUCGAGGUUUGGCAUCCUUCCAAAAUUUGAUGCUUUUACCAUCUCCGUAUAUUAAUCUGCCACCUUUCUCAACCCCCUCUCUUGCGCUGAUAAUGCUUCUCCACCCAUAACUUGGUUGAUAUCUGGCCUUUGCCUCCAAGAACGUACCUCUAGGAUCGUACCUGCUCUUUAACACCUUUUCUAGAAGGGAAUCAUCUCCAUUGGAGAGCCUCCAACAAUGCUUUCCUAGCAAAGCUUUGUUAAAUCACAUGAAAAUUUUGUAGUUACAUGAGAGUGACAAUUUCACAUACAAUUUUCAAGUGAAAAGAUAAUGUAAAAUUUUAACAUGAGAGCAUUCAUUCCCAUUACUAGUGACUUAGUAAUAAUGAUAUGAACUGUGAAUUGAUUUUUCUUAUUUUCUGUUAUUAAAUCCCCUUUAGUGAUAAUUUUACUUUUGAUUAAGAAUGUUUUCUGAUAAGUAUUGGUGAAAUAAUAGAGCUAGUGUCAUAUUAAUAAACUUAUUCAUGUAUCAUGGUCAUUUUAGGGCUGUGUCAAAGGAGUUCACACUGGAAAUAUGGUUCUGCGCUUGGUUGAAAUGAAUCUUUAUGACUAAUUUCUGAUAAGAUUUAGUUUUUACUUGCAUUUAGCCUUCUUUAUGACAAUAAAAUAAAUGAAUCUUGCUGCUGCAGAUGUUUAUCUUGCUGGUACUGUUAUGUUGAUUUUUAUAAUGGGUUUAUAUGGAUUGUUUAUCAGCAACAUACCUCAUGACAUUUCACGUUCUGUGGACCGUUCCCUUAAAGGAUCCUCUCUCUGGAAUGUUUGCUUUGAAGGUAAUCGUAAACCCUAUAUUCAUGUAGGGGGUACGGUCGCGGUCCUCCACUCACUCUAUGAGUAAAUCUCGUCAGUUACUCCGUUUCAUAGCUCUAUAGAUUUUAAUUUUAUCGAUUCAGCUGUUGAAUUAUCUUAACAAAAAUGUAUAUAUUGUUUGAAAAGUAUAUUCAAGCAAUAAUCAAUACCUACAUUCAGAAAGCUUCCAAUAUGCAAUCAGUACCUCGUAUGCUAUGCUUCAUUAGGUUUUAUAUCACAUAAAAUUCUCAAGAAAUGCUUUUCCCUAAUUAUUUCUUUAGAUGGUUGAAACAAAAAUUGAAAUUUCAAAAGCAAAUUACACAUCAAAAUAUUAAUGUCUUGCUUCCACAGCAGAAUUUCAUGUUCUUUUCUUAUGUGAACAUCCGCACAGUUAAUCAAUUAUUUGUUAACAUAUUGUUUUAAAUCAAAAUAGUACAUGGUUGAAACUUCAAAAAGAUGCAAGUUGCAUUUUAUGUGUGCAACAUUUCUUUGUAUAUUUAUUAUUGAGCCAACAAACAACUAUUAUUAGUUAUUACUAUUAUUAUUCAGACGUCAGUCUUCUUGACUCUUACAAAUCAUCACUUAUCUUUCAAUUUAAUUUAAAGUUUUUUUUUCCUUUCCCUGCUUUACUUUACAAAUCAUCACUUAUCUGUUUUUUGUGGUGACAUAUUUAUUAAUUUUCAAAUAUCUUUAAAAAUUAUCAUAAAAAAAUAUUCAAAAGAUAUUAUAUGACAUAAUUGGAAGAAGUGGCCUCAAAUAAUAACAAUUCACAACAUUAUUUUUCUCGGAAACUAUAUUUGACUGAGGUUGUGUCAAGUCUUUGUUUUGGGGCCAUGCAAUAAUAUCAUAUUUUUUUCCCAUAAAGUGUGUGUUUUGAAAUAUCAUUUACAUUCAAACCUUCAUUUAGUAAAUUCUAUAUUUAAAAUAUCGGUACAAUAUUUCCUUGUAUCAAUUAUUUUGUGGGAUGUGGGUCCAAUAUUAACCACUACUGAGCUUUACUUUCCAGCUUUCAAAUUUUGUUUCUUCAUUAAUUCACAUACAUAUAAGUCUUCUUGAGUCUACCCUUUACAAUAUGCACUUCCAACCACUCAAAAACAGCGCUGUUAGUGUUAUCCAUUCAUUCACAAGCGAGUCUUCUUUGAGUCUUUAACAAGAUCCAUACCAUAGUUUCUAUCCCUUAAUCUUCAUAGCUCUUACUUUCCAUCAAAAUUCCAUACUAUUUUCUACAAGUUCCAUACCUUAGUUGCUGGUUUGCUUUAAUAAGAUCAACUGAAGAUGGCUGCAACUAUGAUAGGAGGUGCUUUUCUCCAUGCAACUGUUCAGACCUUAGUUGAGAAACUUACUUCAACUGAGUUUCUUGAUUACAUCAAAAACACAAAUCUGAAUGUAUCACUCUUCAGACAGUUACAAACAACCAUGCUCAAUCUUCAGGCUGUACUAGAUGAUGCAGAGGAGAAGCAGAUCAGCAAUCCCCAUGUCAGACAGUGGCUUGAUAACUUGAAAGAUGCUGUCUUUGAUGCCGAGGACUUGCUCAACGAAAUCAGUUACGAUUCACUGCGAUGCAAGGUGGAGAAUGCACAAGCUCAAAACAAAACUAAUCAGGUGUUGAACUUCCUUUCAUCUCCUUUUAAUAGCUUCUACAAAGAGAUCAAUUCUCAAACGAAGAUCAUGUGUGAAAGGUUGCAAUUGUUUGCACAGAAUAAAGAUGUACUUGGUCUGCAAACUAAAAUUGCUAGAGUAAUUUCUCGUAGAACACCUUCAAGUUCAGUGGUAAAUGAAUCUGAGAUGGUUGGUAUGGAGCGUGACAAAGAGACAAUAAUGAACAUGUUGCUAUCAGGGAUGGGCGGAACCCAUAAUAAGAUAGGUGUUGUUGCAAUUUUGGGCAUGGGAGGUUUAGGAAAAACUACCCUUGCCCAACUUGUUUACAAUGAUUAUAAAGUUCGAUACCAUUUUGAUUUGCAGGCAUGGGCUUGUGUGUCUGAGGAUUUUGAUAUUAUGAGAGUAACCAAGUCUCUCCUUGAAUCGAUCACUUCUAGAACUUGGGAUAACAAUGAUCUUGAUGUCCUUCGAGUUGAGUUAAAAAAAAACUCGAGGGAUAAAAGAUUUUUGUUUGUGUUAGAUGAUAUGUGGAAUGACAAUUAUAGUGAUUGGGAUGAACUUGUAAGUCCCUUCAUUGAUGGAAAGCAUGGAAGCAUGGUGAUUAUAACAACACGCCAACAAAAAGUUGCAGAGGUGGCACGCACAUUUCCUAUACAUAUAUUAGAACCUUUAUCAAAUGAAGAUUGUUGGUAUUUACUUUCAAAGCAUGCAUUGAGAGUUGGUGAGUUUCACCAUAGUACAAACUCAACCCUUGAAGAAAUAGGCAGGAAGAUUGCAAGAAAGUGUGGAGGAUUGCCAAUAGCUGCUAAAACAAUAGGAGGACUUCUAGGUUCAAAGGUAGAUAUAAUAGAGUGGACAACAAUUUUGAAUAGUAAUGUAUGGAACUUACCAAAUGAUAAAAUUCUUCCUGCUUUGCAUUUGAGUUAUCAAUGUCUUCCCUCUCAUUUGAAAAUAUGUUUUGCAUAUUGUUCAAUUUUUCCAAAGGGUCACACACUUGACAGGAAGAAAUUGGUUUUGCUGUGGAUGGCAGAAGGCUUUCUUGAUUAUUCACAUGGGGAGAAAACGAUGGAAGAAUUAGGUGGUGAUUGCUUUGCUGAAUUAUUGUCCAGAUCCUUAAUUCAACAAUCAAAUGAUAAUGGUCGUGGAGAAAAGUUUUUCAUGCAUGACCUUGUCAAUGAUUUGGCUACAGUCGUAUCUGGAAAAAGUUGUUGCAGGUUUGAAUGUGGUGAUAUCUCUGAAAAUGUUCGUCAUGUUUCAUAUAUUCAAGAAGAGUAUGAUAUUGUAACAAAGUUUAAGCCUUUCCACAAUUUGAAAUGCUUGCGAACCUUUCUACCUAUUCACGUUUGGAGGUGCAACAAUUACUUAUCCUUUAAGGUAGUUGAUGAUUUGCUACCAUCACUCAAAAGGUUGCGCGUGUUAUCUCUAUCAAAGUAUAAAAACAUCACCAAGCUACCUGAUGAUACAAUUGGCAAGUUAGUGCAAUUGCGAAAUCUAGAUCUCUCAUUCACUGAAAUUGAAAGCUUGCCUUAUGCAACAUGUAACCUUUACAAUUUGCAGACCUUGAUUUUAUCAAGUUGUGAGGGUCUCACUAAAUUACCAGUACAUAUUGGAAAUUUAGUACAAUUGCAGUAUCUAGAUCUCUCCUUCACUGAAAUCGAAAGCUUGCCUGAUGCAACAUGCAACCUUUACAAUUUGAAGACCUUGAUUUUAUCAAGUUGUGAGAGUCUCACUGAAUUGCCGCUACAUAUUGGAAAUUUAGUCAGUUUACGUCACCUUGAUAUAAGUGAGACUAACAUAAGUAAGUUGCCUAUGGAAAUGCUGAAACUAACAAACCUUCAAACUCUAACCCUUUUUUUAGUGGGUAAGCCCUAUGUAGGGUUAAGUAUCAAAGAGCUAAGUAGAUUCACAAACCUACGGCGAAAACUUGUUAUUAAGAACUUGGAAAAUAUUGUUGAUGCCACAGAGGCAUGUGAUGCCAACCUUAAAAGCAAAGACCAAAUUGAGGAGUUAGAGAUGAUAUGGGGAAAGCAAAGUGAAGAUUCACAAAAAGUGAAAGUAUUGCUCGAUAUGUUGCAACCACCAAUAAAUUUGAAGAGUCUGAAUAUUUGCUUGUAUGGUGGGACAAGCUUUUCGAGUUGGUUAGGAAAUUCUUCGUUUUGUAACUUGGUAUCCCUCGUAAUCACUGAUUGUGAAUAUUGUGUGAUACUUCCACCACUUGGGCAACUACCUUCUCUCAAGGACCUAGAAAUAUUUGGAAUGAAGAUGUUGGAGACAAUUGGCCCGGAGUUCUAUUAUGUCCAGAUUGAAGAAGGCUCUGAAUCUUUCUUCCAACCAUUUCCAUCCCUUGAGCGCAUAAAAUUUAACAACAUGCCAAAUUGGAAUCAAUGGCUUCCCUUUGAAGGAAUAAAUUUUGUUUUUCCUCGACUUAGAACUAUGGAGUUAGAUGAUUGUCCUGAACUAAAGGGGCAUUUUCCUAGCGACCUUCCUUGCAUAGAAGAAAUUAUGAUAAAAGGUUGUGCGAAUCUAUUGGAAACACCACCUACUUUGGAUUGGUUGCCGUCAGUAAAAAAAAUUAAUAUCAAUGGUCUUGGGAGUGAUGCUUCAAGUAUGAUGUUCCCUUUUUACUCUCUUCAAAAGUUGACCAUAGACGGUUUUUCAUCUCCGAUGUCUUUCCCAAUAGGCGGUCUUCCAAACACCUUGAAAUUUCUCAUAAUCAGUAACUGUGAGAAUCUAGAGUUCCUUCCUCAUGAAUACUUGGACAAUUCCACAUAUCUUGAGGAAUUAACAAUAUCUUAUAGCUGUAAUUCAAUGAUAUCAUUUACCUUGGGAUCUCUCCCUAUCCUCAAGAGUAUGUUUUUUGAGGGUUGUAAAAAUCUGAAAUCGAUAUCAAUUGCAGAAGACGCGUCAGAGAAGAGUCUCUCAUUUCUUAGAAGCAUUAAAAUAUGGGACUGUAAUGAACUUGAAUCAUUUCCCUCAGGUGGAUUGGCUACUCCAAACCUUGUUUAUAUUGCAUUGUGGAAGUGUGAGAAGCUUCAUUCACUGCCAGAAGCAAUGACCGAUCUUACUGGCCUUAAAGAAAUGGAAAUUGAUAAUCUACCAAAUGUUCAAUCUUUUGUCAUAGAUGAUUUGCCUAGCAGUUUACAGGAACUGACUGUUGGCUCUGUUGGAGGGAUUAUGUGGAAAACUGAGCCAACUUGGGAACAUCUCACUUGUCUUUCAGUGUUGCGAAUAAGCGGUAAUGAUAUGGUGAACUCGCUAAUGGCGUCAUUGCUACCUGCAUCUCUUCUGAGACUACGCGUUUGUGGUCUUACUGAUACAAACUUGGAUGGGAAGUGGUUUUUACAUCUCAGUUCUCUCCGAAACCUUGAGAUUGUUAACGCUCCCAAACUCGAGUCGUUGCCAAAUGAAGGAUUGCCUACCUCUAUUUCUGUACUAAGUUUAACUCGCUGUCCAUUACUUGAAGCAGGGUUGCAGAGCAAGCAAGAGUGGCGUAAGAUUCUUCACAUACCUGCCAUAAUUAUUGAUGACAAAUUAAUCACAUGAGUUUCAUAUCUUGGUGAGUCUCUGAAAUACUUCUUUUUGUUUCUUUCUUAUUAUGUAAGGGUCAAUUAAUAUUAUUAAUUCAAUAAUAACAUCAAAAUACAAAAUUAUAACUCUAACUGAAUUUUUUUAAUCAUAGUAUUAAAUUCUGUAUCACCCCUGCUUCUGCACAAUCUUGCUUCUGCACAAGAACUGUUUUAUUGACCAGGAACAGAUGUAAAUGAGAAAUAACAGCUGACCACAAAUAAGUUAGAUACUUUUUUUGUUUGUGAGUUGUGAUGUCAUAUAUAUUUGAAUGAGUUGGUUUUGUGUUCAUAGAAUAUCAUUUAUGCAUUAUCUAACUGUCUUUACUUAAUAUUGCUUCCUUGUGUUGGUUCCUUGUGAUUAUUCUUCUACCCUUUGCUUUGUAUGGCAGAUAAAGAUGCUUAAGAAAGUUAUUUGAUUCUAAAUUAUGUUUUGAUUUUGGGACUUUAUGUUUUGUUGUUUGCCAGUUCAUCAACCAGAUUUGGUGGCUUAGUUUUUAUUUUCAAUUUAUUUUAUCUCUGCCCUGUUUGCAGAUCGACCAAGGGCAUCAAGUGAGAUUGAUGGCUUGCAACAAGAUGGCAGCAGUGGAAUCUAAGGUACAAAUUUAGAUAUUAGUACAUGCAUGUUCUAAUUCUCUUAUUUCUUUCCAUCAAUAACAUGGUAUUUCUUUUUUUAUCUUCUUUCUUGUUUGUUAUUGGUCCUUCAAUAAAUCUUGUUUACUCAAUUUCAAAUCUGCAACCAAAUUACUUUCACAUCAGUAUUGUGUUUUCCCCCUCCCCAGUUUAAAUUUUACAAGUUCUUGUUCAGAAGUUGUCCCUUGUGUAGAUUUAUUUGUUGUUAGUAUUUAUUCUAGUCUCUCUUCAAGUAUUUUGCAGGAUUUAGAAAAUGAGGUACAAAUAUUCUUUGUGAAAAUAAGUGUUUUUGAUAUCAAUUGUGUUAAAGAUGCUGCUCAAAUUGCUAAUGUUAAUAGCUUUGGAUUAUCAAAAUUAAUUUAAUGAGUUUUUUCUGUUGUUCCUCUUUGGAACAAGAAUUCCAAAUAAAUAAGUGGCCACCUUGAGUAUCUUCAAUUACUUUCUUAUCUUUGUGAAACACUUCAUAAUUGUGAAAAGCUUGAGUAUCUUUUGUUAAUGCUUAUUUGAUUUUUUCAGGAGUGUGGGGUUCGUAGAUUUGUAUUGGCUGCAUUUUGUUAAAACAAGAGUUCUAACAAGAUGUCGGACAAGAUGUCUUGACAUGUUGGUGCGACAUCAUAGCGUGUCUUGUUUUGCUUUCUUGGAGACUGUAUUUUAAACGUGAGAUUCAUGAAGAUUCUCUGAAGAUUUGAUUCAUGUGGAGUUGACCAAGAAGCGUGUGGUUUCUAGAAGCAAUAAUAGGUAGUUUUGCUUUGACGUUUUCUUAAGUGUGAUGUUGUAACAUUUAAGGAAACAAUAUAUUUUCUUCAGAACUUUGUGUUGAAAAUCGUGUGGUUCAGCGGAUUAUUUGGCACGAGUUAUGCACCAAGCUCAUUCUGCACUCAAGCUAUAUAAAGGAAGACUCAAGACCUAAUUCACCAUUGAAGCCGUAGUUCAAAAAGUGUCAUUUUUAGGGUUUUAGUUUGUCCUUGUUAUUUGUGAGCCACUCUUGUAUCACGCGUUGAUGCAUAGAGUUGGACUGUAGUUGAGUUGUAAACUAUGAAUCACUCAAAGCUUCUAAGCACAAGUUGAAUCUCUGUUAGGAGUGUGUCUCCAUCACUGUUGUUAUUAUUGAGUCAAUCAUUGGGACUGUGGUUGAGAGGAAGGGAUAGAGGGAUCUCAUAUCUAGGAGAGUCUUAAAUUGAAGAUAGUUUUUAUGUAUGCUUCAAAUUAAUAUUAUCACAGUGAAUUUCCUUCCUAGCUUGGUAGCCCCUAGAUGUAGGUGACGUUGCACCGAACUGGGUUAACAAACAACUUGUGCAUUUUACUUCCUGCUUUUAUUAUUCACGAUUGUUGUUUGUUAUAUGUGUUGUCAUGACGUUCUGAAGUCAUUCUUGACAUCUCGCUUGUCCUAAGAUCGUGUAUAACAUUUUUAGUGCGUGCUAGAAUUUCAAUUGGCAUCAGAGCAGACACCCUAUUCUGUUUCUGGGUGAGCUCCAGGGAAAAUAUUUUCUGGUACAAUGGAAAAGUAAGGAGGACAAGUUAACAGACCACUUGUUUUGGAUGAGUCCAACUAUGACUAUUGGAAAGUGCGCAUGGUGGCAUUCCUUAAGUCUAUUGACAAUAUGACUUGGAAAUCUGUUGUAAAAGGUUGGGAUCAUCCUCUAGUUAAUGAUAAUGAUGGUAAGGACACAACUGAGAUGAAACCUGAAGAGGAAUGGUCAAAGGAGGAAGAUGAGCUUGCUCUUGGAAACUCCAAAGCCUUGAACAAAUUUUUUAAUGGAGUAGACAAAUAUAUGUUCAGAUUGAUAAAUAUUUGUACCGUGGCCAAGGAUGCUUGUGACAUCUUGAGAACUACACAUGAAGGUAUAUCUAAGGUUAAGAUGUCAAAAUUGCAGCUACUUACCACUAAAUUUGAAAACUUUAAGAAGAAAGAUGAUGAAUCCAUUCAAGACUUUCACAUGAUCCUGGAUAUUGCAAAUGCUUCUGGUGCUCUGGAGAAAAGAUGACUGAAGAGAAGCUUGUCGUAAAAAUUCUUAGGUCUCUUCCCAAGAAGUUUGAUAUGAAAGUAACUGCCAUCGAAGAAGCCCAAGAUAUUAAGAACAUGAAAGUUGAAGAACUUAUUGAGUCACUUCAAACUUCGCUUAAUUACUGUUUUCGCCCCCUAAGUUUUCAAAUGUUGUGAUUUUGGCCCCCUAAAAAAACAACUCUUUCCAAGCCCUCUAUGUUUACUUUCUAUUGCAAUUUUAGCCCCCCAAUUUUGACCCAGUAAACGUACACGUGGGCGCCACAUGUGUAAUUUUUUUUUUGUUUUUUUAAUUUAAAAAAAAUAUAUAUUAAUUUUUUUUAUUUUACACAUUUACAUGUGGCAUUUUUAUUUAUUUUAAAAAAAAAUUACACACGUGGCGUCCAUGUGUGCGCCACGUAUGUAUUGACUGGGUCAAAAUUAGGCUAGGGGGCUAAAAUUGGAACAGAAAGUAAACAUAAAGGGCUUGGAAAAAAUUGUUUUUUUUUAGGGGGAAAAAUCACAACAUUUGGAAACUUAGGGGCCAAAACAGUAAUUAAGCCUUCAAACUUUCGAAAUGGCUAUAAGUGAUAAGUCUGAAAAGAGAAAAACAAAAGCGUUGCUUUUGUGUCUAAUACCAGUGAUGAUCAAACUCAAGGUGACCGUUUUUUUUUUUUUUUUGAAAACUCGGUAUCCGAUCCAAGAAUCGACUAAUCCGAGGGGACCAAUCCCACCGUCCACUUGUGGGGGCCCCGUUUAAAGCCAGAGCAAGCUCUGUAUGGACUUAGCCCACCGAAAUUGGCACUAGAGGGAAUCAAACCUGAGCCCUCUGGAGGAGCAAACUCCAAGAUCCCAAGCCAACCCCAAAUGGGUUAAACUCAAGGUGACCUUGAAACUGAUGAAGGAAUAUCUCAUGAGAUGGUGCUUCUUGGAAGACAAUUUAACAAUAUCCUGAGCAAAAUGGAUAGAAAAAGCAGACCUAAUGUCAAGAACAUCUCGUCUAACAUUAGCAAAAACUUGCUUCAACAGAUUUUCUUGAUUACAUCAAAAACACCAAGCCAAAUGUCUCACUCUUGAGGCAGUCAUACAAACUGUUGCGAAUCCGAUGAAAAUCACACCAAUAACAACUUGAUGUGUGGAGCAAGGGAUAAUCAAGCAACCAAAACAAAGUGUAUGGGACAAUUAAAUACAAGCCAAAAGUAGAAAACAACGGCGAGAAGAACACAAAGAAGAGAAGAACACAAAAUAAUUUGUUGACCCAGUUCGGUCCAAAUUGACCUAGUCUUGGGGAGAGAGCAGCCCUCCGAUCCACUAUAUGAUGAGUAACGUUACAAAAGAGAAAUCAACGGGUUACAAGAAUAAGUCUCCCUCCUAAUUCUACCCAAAGUCCCAGCCUCUUCCCGUAACCAAGAGACUCGAUCCUAAUAGUGUUUCCCAAGGUGAAUCAACCCACAAACCCUAGUGUUUGUUCCAAAGAGACAAACUCUAUACAAACCCUAGUUUUGUUAUUGCCUUUCUAAACCCUUGUUCCAGCCCCCUCUAUCUCUCUCAAAGUUUGCUCCGAUACAAGGUCUAUAUUUAUAGUAAAAGCAUCGCUUAAAAUUUGGAACAAAUCUGCACUCAAAAAUAUGUUUCUGUUUUUCGCUGCCAGCGCACCAUCGUGCCACGAUGAGAGAUGGAAAUUAGACCCAGAUUCUAUGGGCACUCGCAAAAAAUACCCGCUAUGGGUAGGGUAAAACCCCGCUUUCAUGGGUCCGAGCUUGGGUAUGGGUAAUUACCCGCAAAUUUAUAUGGGUAUGGGCACGGGUAUGGGCACUGUACUACCCAGCCCCGCAACCCGCAUCUAUGUAUUUAUAUAAUAUUAUAAAUAAUUUAUUUAUUUUUGGUGUACAAUUAAUUAAUAAAUUUAACUAUUUAAGCCUAACCUUAAACCUAAAUCAAAUUAAUAAAAACUUUAGUAACAAUUUAUUAUGAUUUUAACAUGCAACUAGAACUUUUUAACGUAUAACUGAUGUAAGGUAUCUAUUUUUUUUUUCUUUCUAGGAAUAAUUUGGAUGUUUUUUUAUUUGGUUAAAUAUUACGAUUCAUAUUAUUUCGUAAGUUGAUUUAAAAAAAUUUGCAUCAUAGUUUUAUUUCAAGUGUGGUGAUUUUUAUUAUCUUUUCAUGGCUAAAGUGCGGGUAAUAGGUGAGGGUAUGAGCACUUAAGUACCCAUAGGGUAUGGGGAAGGGCACUAAAGUUGUUGCCCACGAGGGUAUGGGCACGGAUACAGACAUUUUUUACAAACGCGGGUAUGGAGAUGGAUACUGUAGUACCCUAUCCAUUGGGUACCCAUUGCCAUCCCUACACGAUGUGAUCCCAUCGUGCCACGAUUUUUCCAGUGCCUUGCCUCAAAACUGAAACCUCCAUCGUGCCACGUUGCCUUGCGAUCAUGCCACGAUUCCGCAUAAAUCUGAUUUUCAGUUAACUCUUACACAAACAACCAUGCUCAAUCUUCAGGCUGUACUAGAUGAUGCAAAGGAGAAGCAGAUCAGUAAUCCCCAUGUCAAACAGUGGCUUGAUAACUUGAAAGAUGUUUUCUUUGAUGCUGAAGAUUUGCUCCAAACACUUGACAUACGUGAUUGUAGGUGUUUGGAUUCCAUUUUUAUUUUAGAAAGUCCUUCAUGUCGGUCGUCAAGCCUCCAGCCACUUAAAAUCAAAUCCCAUAAAGCAAUUGGAUUGUUUAAAGUCAAGCUUAAGACGCUCACUGCUCUUGAACAGUGGGCUUUGACUUGUGGAGAGUUGUCAUUUUGUGAAGGAGUUUGCCUACCACUCUUUCAAGAUUGGUAAUUGAAAAGGAUGGUGAUAUAGUUAACACCUUGGUAAAAGAGCCGUUGCUAACCAUCUCCCUUGUGUCUCUGAAUAUUGGUGAUCUCUAUAACAUGAAGUCCUUUGAUGGAAAUGGGCUUCAACACCUCUCCUUUCUCGAAAUCUUCACUUUCGUAAUUGUCAACAACUUGAGCCAUUUCCUGAAAAUUGCGUUCCUUCCUCGCUGAAAUCACUUGAAAUUUGGAGUUGUGAAAGACUUGAAUCAUUACCGGAAGACUGCCUCCCUGAUUCUCUGAAGCGUCUGAGCAUCGUAUUUUUCCCUUUGUUAAAAGAAAGGUAUAAAAGGAAGGAACAUUGGUCCAAAAUUUCUCUCAUUCCUGUCAUAAAAAUAAAUGGCGAAAUCACAAUAUGAGCCAUGUUAAAGUACUGAUGAGAGAGAAGAGUUGCAUUCUUAUUUCAGGUACGUUUUUCAUUUACCUGCCUCGUCGAAAAUGAUUUAUCAUUUGUGUGUGCACAGUCCAAAGAGAUAUUAAUAACCAUAACAUAGUCCACUUCCAUAAUGAUGAUCUUUGAGGUUUUUAAGGUUCAUAUGAUGAUUAACACACUGAUCAAAACUGGACUCCACAUCAUUUAAUUACUUACGUCAUAGACUGUUCGACUAUUUGUUAAUAAAUUAUUGUAAGGAUUGCAAGAAAUCAAAUCUUAUACACAUAUCUUGAAUAAAUUUACACUGCCAGUUUUCUGCAUAAAUCAGUUUCUUUGUUAAUCAGCUGGAAUAACUCAUAAAAAUCAGUUUUCUGUAUUUUUUUAAGUUUAUUCUCUUGUUCAUCAAUAAACUCCUAUCUAGCAGUUACUAACUAGUCCCUUGCUGAUACUGUGCAACUACUUUUUUCUAAAUCACCAUCUUUUGAUUUGUAUACAUUCCCUGCCAAACAAUUUCACUUCCUGGUUUAUUCAUUUUGUGCAAACGGUUCGCCAAUUUCAAUUUUAUUAAUUGAAUUGCCAACUCCUACCUAUCAGUUACUAGUUCAUUAUGUUCAAACUGUUAGCAAAAGUCAGUUUGUGUUUCCUUAUCGUCGACUGUAUGAGCCGGUCAGACCGAGUAGAGUGUAGUAGGGUUUGCAAUAUUCUUCAGACCGAGUAGAGUGUAGUAGGGUUUGCAAUAUUCUUAAUUCGUAGUUAUGUGUAAGUGGAUGCUCAUAACAUUCAUCGUUUGAAAUAUUUUGUUCUACUGUUUUGUUUGUUGGUAUGUAGUAAUAUAAUAAAGAUUGAUGCUCUUGAUUCUACUUUUCAACUAGUCUUAGCUGCAACUAUUAAUUCCAAGAAUCACAACAAUGAAGUCCUAUCAGAUUUACUCAUUUCUUUUUUGUCUGCAUUAUUUACCACAGAAAAAGAAAAAAAUUGACCCUUUAGUAACUUUCUGCUUCACGACCCUUUGCUUCAUUUGCUGCUUCAUAACUUAAAAUUUGUAGAUAACAAAAAUAUAUCCUACUUUCCUUAAAAAAAGAAAAAGAAGAAAAAAUGCUAGUAAAUUUUGAAGAUGUAAGCUAUUAAGGACAAUUUCAAGAGCAAAUUACACAUCAAAAUGUCUUGCUUAACAUCCGUACAAUUAAUCAAAUAUUUGUUACAUGUACUAACAUAUUGUUUUAAACUUUUUGUAAAAUAAAAUAUUGCUCUAAACUUUUUCAAUUUUCAAAUAUGAUCAUUCAAAGAUAUUAAAUGAAAAUAAUUGAAAGAAGUGGCCCCUACUGAAAUAAAUUAUUCACAAAAUUAUUAUUAUUGGACACCAUAUUUGACUAUGUCAUUGGAUGUUUGUUUAAUAUGUCCCUUGGAUUGCUCAAAGGCCUCAAAAUAUAUUUUACUUUAACAGCGGGAUAAGUGGAAUUGUCUCUUCUACUUCAGAAAAAAUAUAUUGAAAUGGUACAUGGUUGAAAAUUCAAAGAUGCAAGUUGCAUUUUACGCGUACAACAUUUCCUUGUAUAUUAUUUUGUCAGAAGUAGAUCCAUUAACCAUUAUGAGCCAACAAACAAGUAUUAACCAUUCAUGACUCUUUCUUUGCUCCUUGCUUGCAAUUUGAUCUGAUCCAUAAACUAUUAUACACGAGUCUUACUUGCAAUUAUUGUUAUCCCCCAAUCUUCAUAGCUCUUAAUUUCUAUCAAAAUUCUGCUAUUAGCUACAAGUUCCUUACUUGCUAAUUUGCUCUAACAAUAUCCGAUAGAAGAUAUGGCUGCAAUAGGAAGUGCUUUUCUCUCUGCAACUAUUCAGACCUUGGUUGAGAAACUUGCUUCAACAGAGUUUCGUGAUUACAUCAAAAACACCAAGUUGAAUGUCUCACUCUCGAGGCAGCUGAAAACAACACUGCUCACUCUUCAAGUUGUGCUGGAUGAUGCGGAGGAGAAGCAGAUCAACAAUCCUGCUGUCAAACUAUGGCUUGAUGACUUGAAAGAUGCUGUCUUUGAUGCUGAGGACUUGCUCAGCGAAAUCAGUUAUGAUUCCCUUCGAUGCAAGGUGGAGAAUGCACAAGCUCAAAACAAAAGUUAUCAGGUGAUGAACUUCCUUUCAUCUCCUUUUAAUAGCUUCUACAGAGAGAUCAAUUCUCAAAUGAAGAUCAUGUGUGAAAGCUUGCAAUUGUUUGCACAGAAUAAAGAUAUACUUGGUCUGCAAACUAAAAUCGCAAGGGUUUCACAUAGAACUCCUUCAAGUUCGGUGGUAAAUGAAUCUGUCAUGGUGGGUAGGAAGGAUGAUAAAGAGACAAUAAUGAACAUGUUGCUUUCAAAGAGAGAAACAACCGACAAUAAUAUAGGUGUUGUUGCAAUUUUAGGCAUGGGAGGUUUAGGAAAAACUACCCUUGCCCAACUUGUUUACAAUGAUAAAGAAGUUCAACACCAUUUUGAUUUGAAGGCAUGGGUUUGUGUGUCUGAGGAUUUUGAUAUUAUGAGAGUAACAAAGUCUCUCCUUGAAUCUGUCACUUCGACAACUUCGGAUAGCAAUGAUCUUGGUGUCCUUCAAGUUGAGUUAAAGAAAAACUCGAGGGAGAAAAGAUUUUUGUUUGUGUUGGAUGAUCUGUGGAAUGACAAUUAUAAUGAUUGGAUUGCACUAGUAAGUCCCUUCAUUGAUGGAAAACCUGGAAGCAUGGUGAUUAUAACAACGCGCCAAGAAAAAGUAGCUGAGGUGGCACACACAUUUCCUAUACAUAAAUUAGAACUUCUGUCAAAUGAAGAUUGUUGGACUUUACUCUCAAAGCAUGCAUUGGGCAAUGAUAAGUUUCCCCAUAGUACAAACACAACCCUUGAAGCAAUUGGCCGGAAGAUUGCAAGGAAGUGUGGAGGAUUGCCAAUAGCUGCCAAAACACUAGGAGGACUUCUACGUUCAAAGGUAGAAAUAACAGAGUGGACUUCAAUUUUGAACAGCGACAUAUGGAACUUAUCAAAUGAUAAUAUUCUUCCUGCUUUGCAUUUGAGUUAUCAAUAUCUUCCCUGUCAUUUGAAAAGAUGUUUUGCAUAUUGUUCAAUUUUUCCAAAGGAUUACCCACUUGAUAGGAAGCAAUUGGUUUUGUUGUGGAUGGCAGAAGGCUUCCUUGAUUGUUCUCAUGGGGGAAAAGCGAUGGAGGAAUUAGGUGAUGAUUGCUUUGCUGAAUUGUUAUCGAGAUCGUUAAUUCAACAAUUAAGCAAUGAUGCUCGUGGAGAAAAGUUUGUCAUGCAUGACCUUGUCAACGAUUUGGCUACAGUCAUAUCUGGACAAAGUUGUUUCAGACUUGGAUGUGGUGACAUCCCUGAAAAGGUUCGUCAUGUUUCAUAUAAUCAAGAACUGUAUGACAUUUUCAUGAAGUUUGCGAAAUUAUUCAACUUCAAAGUCUUGCGAAGCUUCCUAUCUAUUUACCCCACAACGUCGUAUGAUAAAUACUUAUCCUUGAAGGUGGUUGAUGAUUUGCUACCAUCACAAAAAAGGUUGCGUCUGUUAUCACUAUCAGGGUAUGCAAACAUCACCAAGCUACCAGAUUCAAUUGGGAAUUUGGUGCUGUUGCGGUAUCUAGAUAUCUCCUUCACUGGAAUCGAAAGCUUACCUGAUACAAUAUGUAACCUUUACAAUUUACAGACCUUGAAUUUAUCAAACUGCUGGAGUCUCACUGAAUUACCAAUACAUAUUGGAAAUUUAGUCAGUUUACGUCACCUUGAUAUAAGUGGGACUAACAUUAAUGAGUUACCUUUGGAAAUUGGGGGACUAGAAAACCUUCAAACUCUCACCCUUUUUUUAGUUGGUAAGAACCACAUAGGGUUAAGUAUUAAAGAGCUAAGGAAAUUCCCAAACCUACAAGGAAAACUUACCAUCAAGAACCUGUAUAAUGUUGUUGAUGCCUGGGAGGCACGUGAUGCCAACUUGAAAAGCAAAGAGAAAAUUGAGGAGUUAGAGCUGAUAUGGGGAAAGCAAAGUGAAGACUCGCAAAAAGUGAAAGUUGUGCUCGAUAUGUUGCAACCUCCAAUAAAUCUGAAGAGCUUGAAUAUUUGCUUGUAUGGUGGGACAAGCUUUCCGAGUUGGUUGGGAAAUUCUUCGUUUUCUAACAUGGUAUCCCUCUGUAUCAGUAAUUGUGAAUAUUGUGUGACACUUCCACCCAUAGGUCAAUUACCUUCUCUCAAGGACCUAAAAAUAUGUGGUAUGAACAUGUUGGAGACAAUUGGUCCGGAGUUCUAUUAUGUCCAGGGAGAAGAAGGUUCUUGUUCUUCCUUCCAGCCAUUUCCAACCCUUGAGCGUAUAAAAUUCGACAACAUGCCAAAUUGGAAUGAAUGGCUUCCCUAUGAAGGCAUAAAAUUUGCUUUUCCUCGACUUAGAGCUAUGGAGUACACGUAAUUGUCGAGAACUAAGGGGACAUUUGCCUAGCAACCUUCCUUGCAUAAAAGAAAUUGUAAUAAAAGGUUGUUCUCAUCUAUUGGAAACAGAGCCAAACACUUUGCAUUGGUUGUCGUCAGUAAAGAAAAUUAAUAUCGAUGGGUUUGGUGAAAGGACCCAAUUGUCAUUGCUUGAGAGUGAUUCUCCAUGUAUGAUGGAAGAUGUAGUGAUUCGAAAGUGUGCUAAGCUAUUAGCUAUGCCAAAAAUGAUUCCAAGAAGCACUUGUCUUCAACACUUGAAACUCUAUUCUCUUUCAUCUAUCGCCGCAUUACCCUCAAGUGGUCUACCCACUUCAUUGCAAUCAAUUGAAAUUGAAUUUUGUUUGAAUUUAUCCUUCCUACCUCCUGAAACGUGGAGCAAUUACACAUCACUUGUGAGACUUUAUUUAAGUCAUAGCUGUGAUGCACUUACAUCCUUUCCACUUGAUGGUUUCCCUGCGCUCAAAUCACUUACCAUAGAUGGUUGUAGUAGUCUGGAUUCCAUUAAUGUUUUAGAAAUGUCUUCACCUCGGUCCUCGAGCCUCCAAUAUCUUGAGAUCAGAUCCCAUGAUUCAAUUGAAUUGUUUAAAGUCAAGCUUCAGAUGAACUCGCUCACCGCCCUUGAGAAGUUGUUUCUGAAAUGUCGAGGAGUGUUGUCAUUUUGUGAAGGAGUUUGUCUACCUCCCAAAUUACAAAAGAUUGUUAUUUUUUCCAAAAAAAUAACACCGCCGGUUACGGAAUGGGGUCUCCAAGAUCUAACCACUCUUUCCGAAUUGAUGAUUAAAGAGGCAGGUGAUAUAGUUAACAACUUGGUGACGGAGUCGUUGCUACCCAUCUCCCUUGUGUCUCUGGAUCUCUAUAAGAUGAAGUCCUUUGAUGGAAAUGGGCUUCGACACCUCUCCUCUCUCCAACGUCUCGAUUUCUGUCAAUGUCGACAGCUUCAGUCAUUGCCAGAAAACUGCCUCCCUUCCUCGCUGAAAACACUUCGAUUUGUGGAUUGUUAUGAGCUUGAGUCAUUGCCAGAAAACUGUCUCCCUUCCUCGCUGGAAAGCCUUGACUUUCAAAGUUGUAAUCAUCUGGAGUCAUUACCAGAAAACUGCCUCCCUUUGUCGCUGAAAUCACUUCGAUUUGCGAAUUGUGAAAAGCUUGAGUCAUUUCCAGACAACUGCCUCCCGUCCUCGCUGAAAUCACUUAGAUUGAGUGAUUGUAAAAUGCUUGAUUCAUUACCAGAAGACAGCCUCCCUUCAUCUCUUAUCACUCUGUACAUUAUGGGAUGCCCAUUGUUAGAAGAAAGGUAUAAAAGGAAGGAACAUUGGUCCAAAAUUUCUCACAUCCCUGUCAUCACAAUAAACAACCAACGCACAAUAUGAUAGACAAGCUGUGCUCCUGUUUCAGGUACGUUUUCAAAUCAUUUCAUGGGUCAAUAAUUCAAUAUUAAAAUGCAAUAAUCAACACAAAGCCAAUAAUCAAUCUCUGUUAUUGAUUGUGAUAACAAUCCAAAGAUAUCUCAAAAUAUUUUCAUAUUGGCAACUAAUUAAUCUCUGCUAUGUAUGUAGUUUUGAAGGACAAAUUCUCAUUGGUCCAAAAUUACUCACCAUAUGAGGACAAGUUGUGUUACCGUUUUCAGGUAUGUUUUCCUUUUACCUUCCAAAACAAUGUUAUCUUUCGUAAAAGUUCAAAUUGUAUCCUCUGUAUGAGAUUUGAUGAUCACUCAUUUCAAUGUUAUUUUCAAAAAUUGAAUUAUUUGUUUUAAGGACUGUUCUUUGGUUACCCUUUAGUCUCUAAUUACCUUUCUGACAAACAAUACCUCCAAAAAUCUUACAAUCUUUGCUUCAUUAAAUUCAAGCUUAAAUCAUAAAAAAAUUGUAUUUUCAUAAAGAUCAAAGGAUUUCUACAAGAGGUACAAUUUUGAGAAUGUUAGCUAUUGAGAACGGUUUGAUUUCAAGUAACUUAGUCCUUCGAUAGAAAAAGUAUCUUUUUUGAGAUAUGAUUACUCACCUGUAAUAACUCAUUAUAUUUUUCGUGUACAUAACAAGAUUAUUUUUUUUCUUCUUCUGUAAACUGGAGUCUAAAUGGAAUUAUCUGAAGACCAUUUUCUUUAACAAUAAAAAUUUGAUAUUAAGGUCAUCUGAGAUAAUGAAAUAAAAAUGCUUAUUUUCUUUACAGGUGAUGAUGGCCUAAGUGGAUGGAACUCAGUUCAUUUGAUAAAUUGAAGACAAAAGUGGGAUAUGUGGUUAUUGUUCUCAUGAUUCAUCUUGUAUAAAUCUUUGAGUGGAGAAAAAAUGGUUGCCAUUGAUUGCCACAAGUCUCUUUGUAUUUUAUUAUCUUUUGGUUGUAUCUUGGUAUGUUUUGUAAUAACCUGCUUGGUCCAGUCAUACAGAGUACAAUGCAGUAGGGUUUGUAAUAUUCUUGCUUUGUAGCUUUAAGCAAAUGCUCAUAUGAUUCAGAAUGUUGGAUACUGUUUGAAAUAUUCUGUUCCACUGCUUUGUUAGUAUGUGGAAACAUGAAGCAUAAAUAAAUGGAACAAGUAGAAGAAUCCAUGUUAUUGGUUCUAAAUAUUCUAUUCAUAUAAACAUUUUGUUGAAUUAAUGUGGUUGUUACAUAUAGUAUCUCCUUUGAUAAAACCUGUGCAUAAACAGCAAUGGAAGUAAUGGAUGCUACAAAUAAAUGGAACAAAUUCCUUUAGUUACCUGUCUAUCUGGAUUUUGAAUCCUACUCUCAUUGUUUGUGUUUUAGCCAUUAAUUAAUUUAAAUGGUCCGAAAAUUAAAAUGUGAAAAAGUUUGCCGACACAUAUUGAAUUUGAACUCACUACUUACUGGAUAGUAGCAGGUGCGUUGUAAAUCCUUCUUAAUUUGCAUAAGCAAGAGUAGAAUGCAGCAGGCAUUGUAAUAUUCUCAAUUCAUAUAUGUAAGUGAACACUCAUAUGGCCCAAAAUAUUGAUGUUGAUACCGUCGGAUGGACAUUCCGCUCAUACCGCUCGUAUAUAUGUAAGUGAACACUCAUGUUUAGAGGAAUGUAGUUUGGAAGCAACAGCAGAGCAGAAAAUAGAAACUGGUCUAACAUGCAUAUUUAUUUUCACACAAUUGAACUUUAAUAUGUUUUAAGCUAUAGAAAGAAUGUUGUGAAUUCGUUGAGAAAACCACACCAAUAAAAACUUGAUGCAUGGAGCAAAUUAAUACCAAGUAAUCAAAUCAAGCGGGUAGCAAAUAAUCCAAACAAAAACAGCAAGAGAUAAAAGAGAGAGAGAGAGAGAGAAAAACACAAGAUAUUUGUUUACCCAGUUCGGUCUAAUGAUGACCUAGUCUGGGGGAGAGAGCAGCUCUCCGAUCCACUAUAAUGAAUGAGUUUCUUUACAAAGAGAUAAUGAGUUUCAAGAAUCAGUCUUCAAACCUAAUUCUACCCAAGUCCCAGCCUCUUCCCGUGACCAAGAGACUCAAUCCUAAUAGUGUUUUGUUCAAGGUGAAUCAAAACAAUCCCAACCCUAGAGUUGUUGCCAAGAGAGAUUCUCUAUAAACCCUAGUUUGUUUGUUGGUCUAAACCUUGUUUUUCUACACACUUUUAUCAUCUGAUACAAGGCUGUAUUUAUAGUGGAAAGUAAACCCUUAAAAAACUGAAACAAAUCUAACUGAAAAAUACGUUUUAUUUUUAUAGCGACCAUCGUGGCACGAUGAGUCUUCAUCGUGGCACGAAAUUUCCAGUGUCUUCCCAGGAAUCUUGCUUCAACCAUCGUGACGCGAUGCUUCUCCAUCGUGGAACGAUACUCCAGAUUUCUGAUUUUAAGUUAACUCUCACAAUUCUCCACCUUGACUUCAAAUCAGUGAUGAUGCCAGUUUAACCAUCAAUCACCUUGCUGCUCUCUCCAGUCCUUCAUCUAUGCUUCAAUGAAGUUUAUCAAGUCCAAGCAAUGCUUGAAUCUUGAUCUUGGUAAUGAUUUGGUGAACAUGUCUGCUGGAUUGUCUUCCGAUGCCACUUUCUCUACCAUGAUCUCCUUAGUCUCAAUCAUGUCUCUGACGAAGUGCAAACGAAUGUCAAUGUGCUUUGUCCUUUCAUGAUACACCUGAUGAUUUGUCAAAUGAAUGGCACUUUGGCUAUCACAAUGUAUCUUCAUACAUCCUUGACUAAUCCCCAUUUCUCCAAUCAUACCUUUCAACCAUAUGGCUUCCUUGACCCCUUCAACAAGGGCUAUGUAUUCUGCUUGAGUUGUUGAAAGGGCUACAACUGAUUGUUGAUUUGCCUUCCAAGUUACCGCUGUACCGAACAUUGUAAACACAAAACCUGACAAAGAUUUUCUGGUGUCUACGUUACCUGCAUAGUCCGCAUCCACAUAUCCCUCCAAAGCAUCCCUACCUGGUUGUGACCUUGUAUACUUUAGACCACCUCUCAAAGAUCCAUUCAAAUAUCUCAGAACCCACUUCAAAGCUUGCCAGUGUACUUGACCCGGAUUUGCCAUAAACCGACUUAUCACACUGAUUGCGUAGGAUAAGUCCGGUCUACUACAAACCAUACCAUACAUGAUGCUUCCAACCCCACUUGCAUAGGGAGUACCCUCCACCUUGCUUUUUUCUUCAUCGGAUUGAGGACAUUGCUUUAUAGAUAGCUUAGUGUGGUGACCAAGAGGAGUGCUAACGACUUUAGAAUCUUUCAUUCUGAACCGCUCCACCACUUUCCUCAAGUACCCCUGCUGAGAUAAGAACAACUCACCUUUGUUCCGGUCUCUUAUGAUAUCCAUUCCAAGUAUCUUCUUUGCAUUACCAAGAUCCUUCAUCUCAAAUUCAUCAUUCAAUCUUUCCUUGAGCUUCUGAAUCUCUUGUAUGUCAGAACUUGCCAUAAGAAUAUCAUCUACAUAAAGGAGAAGAUAGAGAAUGACUUUCUCAUUCCUUCUCAUCAUGUAAACACAACUAUCAUAGUUGCUUCUCACAAAACCAGCCUUUACUAGGAACUCAUCAAACCGACGAUACCACUGCCUUGGACUUUGCUUCAACCCGUACAAAGAUUUCUUGAACAAACACACUUUUGUAUUGUCUUCUACAAAACCUUCUGGUUGUUGCAUAUAGAUAGUUUCUUCCAACUCUCCAUGUAGAAAUGCGGUCUUCACAUCCAUUUGUUCUAACUCAAGAUCAUACAUGUUAACAAUCGCCAUAAGUACCCUUAUAGAACAAUGUUUUACCACCGGUGAAAAGAUUUCAUUGUAAUCAAUCCCUUCCACCUGAGUAAAACCCUUUGCUACAAGUCUUGCCUUAUACCUUGGUGCUUCGACCCCUGGUAUACCUUCUUUCAUCUUGAACACCCACUUGCUUCCCACUACCCUUUGAUUCUCAGGUAAUGAAACAAGUUUCCAAGUCUGGUUCUUCUCCAAUGAAAGCAUUUCCUCAUUCAUUGCCUUCAGUCAGUCCUUGUUUUCAUUGCUUUCUAAUGCUUCCCUGAAGUUCUUUGGUUCCGAGUCUUGCAAUUCUUCAGCCGCAUUCAAAGCAUAAUAAAUAAGGUCAGCAUAACCGUAUCUGUUAGGUGGAUUGAUAUGUCUCCUCUCCCUAUCUCUUGCUAGCUGAUAGUCAGGAUUCACUAUCUCUUGGCCUUCACCCUCAUCAGGUACUGGAGUUUGAUCCUCCUCUUCCCUUUCAUCAGUGAUAGGCUCCACCUCAAACUGAAGUUUCUCUGUCCCCGUUUCUGAGCUUGUAUCCAGGUCUUUGCACUUCAUCCCCAUGCGGGUCUCAUCAAAAGUAACAUCCCUGCUUAUAAUAAAUUUUGAUUCUCCAGGUUCCAUCUUCCACAGUCUAUAACCUUUCACACCUUCAGGAUAACCCAUGAAAAUACACUUCACAGCUCUAGCAUCAAGUUUGUCUUGCCUGACAUGGGCAAACGCUAAAGCUCCGAAGACUUUCAAGUUAGAGUAGUCUGCCGGUGUCCCACUCCAAACCUCCAUAGGUGUCUUGAGAUCUAUCCCUAUUGAUGGACAUCUGUUAAUCAAAUAUGCUGCAGUACUAACAGCCUCUCCCCAGAAACUCUUGGACAAUCCAGCUCCCAACAGCAUACAUCUCACACGCUCCAACAGAGUCCUAUUCAUUCUUUCAGCAAGACCAUUCUGUUGAGGUGUGUAUGCCACGGUUCUAUGCCUCUUUAUACCUUUCUUCCUGCAAAACUCAUUAAACUGUUCUGAAACAAACUCCAAGCCAUUGUCAGUUCUCAACACUUUCAGUUUGGUACCAAUCUGAUUUUCUAUAAGUAUAUCCCAUUCCUUGAAUUUUUCAAAAGCAUCACUUUUCUUCUUCAGAAUGAAAACCCAUACUCUUCUAGAAUAAUCAUCAAUGAUAGACAUGAAAUAUGAACCUCCCCCAUGAUUCUUCGUCGAUGCUGGACCCCAAAGAUCCGAAUGAACAUACUCAAAAGGCCUACUAGAUUUAUGCACCCCCACUCCAAACUUCACCUUGUGUUGUUUGCCUAAUGUGCAGUUAUCACAAAAAUCUAGCUUGUUCAAUUUUUCAUUCCCUAGCAAACCUUGUUUAGCUAGCUCCACCAAACCCCUCUCACUGACAUGACCUAACCUCAAAUGCCAAAGUUUAGUUAUGUCCAGAGUGUCAACACUAGCAACCGAUGCAUUUGCUAUUACGGUAGAACCUUCUAAAAUAUAUAGACCUUGUAUUUUAGACCCUUUAGCCAUAACCAAUGCACCAUGAGAAAUUCUCAUCACACCACGUUCAAUUCUAGUGCAAUAGCCUAGACCAUCAAACAUGCUUAUGGAUAUUAAAUUUCUCCUAAGUUCAGGAAUAUACCUCACAUUCUUCAAAAGGAAAUCACGAUCAUCAAACAUUUUGAGUCGGAUAGUACCCAUACCUUGAAUUUUACAAGCCUUAUUAUUACCAAGGCGAACUACUCCACCUUCUUUCAGCUCUAACGUUUCAAAGUACUCCUUUCUUGGACAAAUGUGAUAAGAGCACCCAGAGUCCAAGACCCAGCUCUUUUCAGGUUACCAACUUGUCACAGUUAGUGCUCCAGCACUCUCAUAACCUUCAUCUUUGCUUGCAAUCUGAACGGAUGAAUUUCCACCUCCAUUGUCCUUUCUCUCCGGACAAUCCUUCUUGAAGUGACCUGGAUUAUGACAAAUAAAACAUUUGUACUGUGUUUUAUUGCCAUCACCCUUCGACCUAGACUUUGACCUGGAAUUCUUGCCUUUCCCUUUUCCUCUGUUCUGACUUCACCCCCUUGAGACAUUCAAGCCUUCUCCACUAUCAUCAAAGCUGCUUGGUUAACUCUUUGGUUCUCAAAGCUGCUUGAACUUCCUCCAAAGUGAUAGUGCCCUCUUUGCCAUAAAGCAUAGUAUCCUUGAAAUUCUCAAAGGACCUGGGUAAAGCACACAGUAGGUGUAAGGCUUUAUCCUCGUCUUCCAGAUUAACAUCUAUGUUCGCCAAAUCAUUAAUAAUCUUAUUGAACUCCGUCAAUUGCUCCAUUAUAGGUUUUGACUCCACCAUACGGUAAAAGUAGAGUUGUUGUUUCAGACACUGUCUAUGUGCCAAAGACUUGGUCAUGUAUAAUGAAUCAAGCUUAUUCCACAUAGACACAGCAGUAGCCCCCCUUGAUACUUCUCUCAACACCUUAUCCCCAAGACACAAAAUGAUAGCGCUGACCGCCUUAUCAUUCAUCUCCGUCUUCUCAGCAGGUGUUAGAUGUGCAUGAAGGUGAAAAACACAAGAGGGGGGGGGGGUUGAAUUGUGUUUUCUUUUUCUCUUAAAAAAUACUUCUUCUGAUAAAACUUCAGAAGCAGUUUGAUUGCUUCUGAUGAAAUGAUCAGAGUCAGAUUGCAGCGGAAAAGAACAGAGCAGAGAAAAGAAAGACAAAGACACAAGCAGUUAUCCUGGUUCCUUCCACAACACGGAAGUAGUCCAGUCCCCCUUGCACUUCCAAGGAGAUUUCACUAUAAUCACAAGAUUACAACUGCUCAAUACUUUCUAAGUAUGAGACUUCACAAAACUAUGCUCAAGCACACACGCAAGAGUCUUCCAAUGCUCAAGCACUAAGCAAGAGACUUCUAAUGCUCAAGCACGCAGGCAAGAGACUUCUAAUCAAACAAAAAUACAGAGAAUUGAGUUUGAAUUGAACACUUGAUAUACAAUCAGUGGUGUUCACAAUACAAUACAGAAAAGACUCUAGACUUUGAAUUUCUAAGAUGUAUCAAAUCAGUGCAGAAAUUCAGUGUGCUUUGUAGAAUCAAAUUGACAGAGUUUUGGCGCUUUUGAACUUAUGUAUCUAUGUCUGCAAUCUUCAAGUCUUCACUCCUUUAUAUAGAGGCGUGAAAGAGACGUUGAGAUAAUCAGCACGUCUAAAGAGUCGUUUGAAAUCCUUUGAAUAUCCACCAGUGAUCCUUUGCCUGAUUUGGGUGUAGUCCUUUGAAGAAUAAACUUCAAAUUCAUUCCCAUCUUGAGUGUACAAUUCUGCAGGCAUGGCUGUUGUUUUGUCUUGUAGCGUAGACAGAAAACAGAGUAGUGGAGGUAGUGGUUGUACACUUGUACUUUGUCAACUCUAUUAAUGAGAGGCAAGUGCUCAGUGCUAUCCAUAUAUCCGUUGAUACCUCCCUUUCAAUUCUUCGUUCUUCUUUGAUAAGACUGAAUUGAGAAUCAGCUACUUUGAAUUUUUCAGUUUGAUUAAAAGAUCAAAUGUAGCUUCUGGUGCCAACUUUUGCUUCUGAUGAAAUCUUUUGCUUCUGAUGACUUUCUGCUUCUGAUGACGUCAUCUCUUCAGGAGCAGUUUAGCUUCAGGAGCAGUUUUCUUCAGAUGCUCAGAAUUUCUUUUUCUUUCCAUUGUUCUUCCAAGACCUAUUGAAAUAACUUGAGUAGCCUUUGGUCCUGUACACUUGAACAAUUAUUAGUAAUAACCAAUUGACAAUUUUUAAUACCUUGUUAUCAUCAAAACUUAAUAAGGUUCAUUGUGAAACACAUUUUGUUCCAACAGUGCAGACAUCUGUACUUCUCCCUUUAGUGCUUCAACGCACUUUUGUUGAAUUAAGAUUGCCUUCAUCUUCACCUUCCACAACCCGAAGUCGUUACUACCGGUGAACUUUUCAAUAUCCCACUUCGAACCCAUUAUACUUGGUUAUUGACUUGACCUUUGCCCCACGGUGGGCGCCAAUUGUUGUGAAUUCGUUGAGAAAACCACACCAAUAAAAACUUGAUGCGUGGAGCAAAUUAAUACCAAGUAAUCAAAUCAAGCGGGUAGCAAAUAAUCCAAACAAAAACAGCAAGAGAUAAAAGAGAGAGAGAGAGAGAGAGAGAGAGAGAGAGAGAAAAACACAAGAUAUUUGUUUACCCAGUUCGGUCUAAUGAUGACCUAGUCUGGGGGAGAGAGCAGCUCUCCGAUCCACUAUAAUGAAUGAGUUUCUUUACAAAGAGAUAAUGAGUUUCAAGAAUCAGUCUUCAAACCUAAUUUUACCCAAGUCCCAGCCUCUUCCCGUGACCAAGAGACUCAAUCCUAAUAGUGUUUUGUUCAAGGUGAAUCAAAACAAUCCCAACCCUAGAGUUGUUGCCAAGAGAGAUUCUCUAUAAACCCUAGUUUGUUUGUUGGUCUAAACCUUGUUUUUCUACACACUUUUAUCAUCUGAUACAAGGCUGAAUUUAUCGUGGAAAGUAAACCCUUAAAAAACUGAAACAAAUCUAACUGAAAAAUACGUUUUAUUUUUAUCUUCAGCGCGAUCAUCGUGGCGCGAUGAGUCUUCAUCGUGGCACGAAAUUUCCAGUGUCUUCCCAGAAAUCUUGCUUCAACCAUCGUGGCGCGAUGCUUCUCCAUCGUGGCACGAUACUCUAGAUUUCUGAUUUUAAGUUAACUCUCACAAAGAAUUUGCCAAAAAUAUUUUUGAUUGGGAAAAAUACAAAACCUGAUACAAAAAUCUACAAAUUAAGGAGCAACACUUUUGCGAAGUCACGUUCUUUCAAAAGGAAUGUUGUUAUGCGCCAAUUGGUUUGUGAUAGAUUUUCCACAGUAGGGGUAGCGGCAUUGACAUCAAACACCACAACUUGUUAGCGCAUGUAGUUCAUAGAGCCUCUUCAAUUUCAUCCAAAGAUCUUUCUAACAUUCUUUGUUUGACUAGGAACUCACAUGUUGGCAAAUUUUCAAAAACUAUAUGUGAAAUACAUGUAAGAAAGAGUAUUGCUUAUAAACUAUAUGAACUGACAUUAUAAAUUAAUUACCUGAUCAUUUUUUUUUUGUAGAAUAGAUCAUAAUUCUAUUCAUUGAAGUUUUCUUGAUCAGGACUCCAGUCAUCAAAAAUUUCUUUUCCCUUAUUCAAAUUCAUAUUUAUGUCUUGUUCUGUCUACAAGUUCAUUCAAUCAAACAAAUGACUUACAUGCUUAGACACAAAGUUUCAAUACAAUAGUUUAUAUUAAUACUUAAAUUUUUUCUUUUUGAGGUAGUAUCUAACAAAUUGAAAACUGUUAUACUUCAUUACUCCUCCUUGUUCUGUAGACCUUUGGAGAAACUGAAGGAUUGGUUGCUAUGUGAAAAUCUAUAAGCAGAGUGAGUUUACUGAAAUAUACAACAGUUAGCUGUACACAUUUGACUUUAACUUCUGUAAGUUAUUCAAGAACAGAGCUUUUCUUAACAGCAAAAGGUACUAUACAAAUAUUUCCACAAAAAAUUUAUUUGUUACCAUAUCCAAAUUUUUAAUAAAAGACUUUAUGCCAAUUGAGUUCAUAGUGAUCAAAGUAUUUUCAAGUUAUUUCUAUAAGCUCUCUAAGAGGGCUUAUGAAAACAACUUUUAUCUUAUAUGAAAACAAUUUAACUUUAUUUUAUCUUUUGUUAUAGAAAUAACUUAUUCUGUAAGCACUUAAUUAUGGUUUUAACAAAACAGAUAGCAAACCCAUUUUGUUUGUCUGUACUCUAUAGUCGGAAGUUUUGUAUUGCAUUUGCAUGUUACUGAUUCCACAACUCUAAUGGUCCAAAUGUUACUUCACAUGGAAAAUUUCGUAGUUACAUGAGAGUGACAAUUUAAAACAAAAUUUUCAAGUGAAAAGGUAAUGUAAAAUUUUAACAUGAGAGCAUUCAUUCCCUCUUUUGCAUAGUUAUAAUUUUACUUUUGAUUAAGAAUGUUUUCUGAUAAGUAUUGGUGAAAUAAUAGAGCUAGUGUCAUAUUAAUAAACUUAUUCAUGUCAUGAAUAAGCCUACAUAUAUUUGACUAAAUAUAUAUAUCAUUUUAGGGCUGUGUUCUAAGCAUACAAAGUCUAUUGGUCAAGCUGUGUCAAAGGAGUUCACUCCGGAAAGAUGGUUCUGCCUCAGGUCGACGCAAUUGGUAAGAAUAUUAUUAUCCACCAUCACGAGAAAGAACAUUCUAGAUUAUAUCUGACCUGCAUGUUUCCAAACAAAGAACAUGAAAAUAGCUUUUUUCUUUUUCUGUUUUCAUUUGGAAGUUUUAACUUUACUUCGGUUUCUGUCUAAAUUUCUGAUAAGCUUUAGUUUUUACUUACAUUUAGCCUUCUUUAUGACAAUAAAAUAAAUGAAUCUUGCUGCUGCAGAUGUUUAUUUGGAAUGCGUAUAUAUGUAUGGAUUGUUUAUCAGCAACGCGCCUCAUGACAUGUCACCUUCUGUGGACCGUUCUCUUUUUGGAAUGUUUGCUUUGGGGUAUGGUCGUGAUCCUCCACUCACUCUAUGAGUAACUCUCGUCGGUUAAUCCGUUUCAUAGCUCUUUAGAUUUUAAUUUUAUCGAUUCAACUGUUGAAUUAUCUUAACGAAAAUGUAUAUAUUGUUUGAAAAGUAUAUUCAAGCAAUAAUGAAUACCUACAUUCAGCAAGCUUCCAAAAUGCAAUCAGUACCUCCUCAAGAAAUGCCUUUCCCUAAUUUUUUCUUUAGAUGAUUGAAACAAAAAUUGAAAUUUCAAGAGCAAAUUACACAUCAAAAUAUUAAUAUCUUUUCCGCAGCAGAAUUUCAUGUUCUUUUCUUAUGUGAACAUCUGCACAGUUAAUCAAUUAUUUGUUACAUGUACUAACAUGUUUUAAACUUUUUGUAAAAAUGUCGUCGUGCGCUUGGCUUAGUUGGUAGGGACAAUGCAUAAUACAUGCAAAAUCCAGGGUUCAAACCCCGGCCACCACAAACAAAAAACUUUUUAUAAAAAAUAUUGUUCUAAACUUUUUCAAUUUUCAAAAUAUGAUCAUAUAAAGAUAUUAACCGCAAAUGAUUGAAAGAAGUGGCCCUGCUCAAAUAACUAUGCACAAAAUUAUUAUUAUUGGACACCAUAUUUUACUAUGUCAUUUUAUUGUUGUUCAAUAGGUCCUUGGAUCGCAUAAAGGCCUCUCAACGGAUUAGGUUGUAACCUCUGGUAGUCUUUUUUUUUUUUUUUUUGCAUGUGUAAAGUUCGAUCGAGUCGUAGCUUCCGAUUGGUUUAUUUUCUCUUUAAAAAAUGUAAAUAGUUGAAGAGUUUAUUCAACAAUCAUCUUAUUAUUUGUGGUGGUUGUGUCAAGUCUUUAAAAUAUAGUGAAGAUAAGAGGAAUUGUACUUAGUUCAGAAAAAAUCUAUGGAAAUGGUACAUCGUUGAAACUUCAAAGAUGCAGCAAGUUGCAAUUUAAGUGUGCAACUAUUACUAUUCAGCAACAAUUGUGACUCUUAACUAUAUGCACAAGCUAAGUCUUCUUGAGUCUUCAUUACUCUUAACUUUCUUUCCUCCUUUCAUGCAAUUUCAUUUACAUAUUCUUUUUUUACUUUCCCUGCUUUACUUUACAAAUCAUUACUUAUCUGUUACUUGUGGUAACAUAUUAAUUUUCCAAUAUCUUCAAAAAAUAUAAUAAAAAAAAAUAUUUAAGGGAUAUUAUAGGAAAUAAUUGAAAGAAGUGGCCACAAAUAACAACAAUUCACAACAUUAUUUUUCUCUGAAACUUAUUUGACUGAGUAUGUGUCAUGUCUUCUUUUGGGCCCAUACAAUAAUAUCAUACUUUCUUAGAAAGUGUGUGUUUUGAAAUAUCAUUUACAUUCAAACCUUCAUUUAGUAAAUGCUAUAUUUUUCAGCAAUGAUAUACUCAUCAGUUAUCACAUUUAGAAAGGUUAUCAACGUAAUCUCUAGUAAAUUAUUUUUAAAUUUUAACACAGGUGAUAAGAAAAAUGACAAUAUGAUACAUUUAUUUUUAGUAUAUGAGAGGAAUUUAACUAGAAAUUGCAUAUUUGACUCACUUUCCUAAAGUAAAAAUGUAUAUACAGGAUCUGCUAUUUAAAGAUUUCGAUGCUUUUAAUUGAGUGUGUCCACCAAUCUUUUCCUUUUUUCUUUUGGCCUCAAUUAUUUUGUGGGAUGUGUCCAAUAUUAACACUGCUGAGCUUUGCUUUCCAGCUUUCAAAUUUUGUUUCUUUCCAAUAUUAACUUUUCCUAUAUGCACUCCCAACCAUUCACAAGCAAGAAAUCUGCAUCCUUCUUCAUCGACAAAACCUUUACAAGCUAAAAUAUUUGAGGGAUAUUAUAGGAAAAUUUUUUGAAGCCAUCUUACAUAUUAAAAAUGGUUUUAGACACAGAGUCAUCCUAAAAGAAAAUUAGUUUGAAACAGAACUAAUAAAUUGAACAAAUAGCUAAAAUUUUACGAGAAUGAAAGUUAAUACGUCCAACAUUGAAGCAGUCUUGCAUUUUUUUUCCCUUCCAUAAUAACAAUGAUUUGGUUGAAAAAGUAUAGUGAUUUAAAAAUGACCGUCCUUUCAAAACAAAACAAAAAAAAUUCAAGACUGCUUCAAAGUUUAUAAGCCUUGCAAUCCACCAACAUUAUUUCGGUGAAGGUAGCUCAAACUAUAUUGACCGAAAGUUUUCUACACCCAAAAUAAUGUUCACCUGGAAUAAUGUUCUAUGCAUCUUGAAACUAAUGGGAAAAUGAAUCUCGGUGGACAGCAAGGAUAAGAAAAUUGUGAGUCUCACAAAUUUGUGACAUUGUUUGUUGAAUGAGCAUUUUGUUCACAUUUUUAAUCAAGAAGUCUCACAAAAUCCAUCCCAUAAAGAAUUAAUCGAAGUCUAUCAAUUUUUGAAUACCCAAAGACAUUUUAUAAGUUGUGAGAAAUCCUAAUUGAAUACCAAUGGAUUUCGUUGCAUUGAAAAAAAAGUCUUGAUUGUCUUAAUUGAAUACUACAAGAUUUAUUUAUAUUUUAUAAAAGUUUUGAUUGAAUACCACAAGACUUUUUUAUAAUCAAAAAGUUUUUUAAAAUUCCUUGAAAUUUCAAUCCAAAACACCAUCCUUAAUUGAAUACCACAAGAUUUAUUUAUAUUUUAUAAAAGUCUUGAUUGAAUACCACAAGAUUUUUUUAUAAUAAAAAAGUCUUUUAAAAUCCCUUGAAAUCUCAAAUAGUUUCAGACUUGGUACAACUCAAAUAGUUCUUCUGAAUUUCGAAUAGUUCUCAAGAUUCUCUGUUUUCUUUUAUCUAAUAAAACUUUUGAUUAGACUGUUAUCCCAUUAUUUAAUAUUUAAGAUUUAAGUGUCAUUCUCAAUCUAAGAAGAAUCACGCUCUGUAGGAUUUGAACCUACGACAUCGGGUUUUGGAGACCCGUUCUACCGAACUGAACUAAGAGCGCUUUCUUUUCAUAAACUAUUUUUUACAACAAGUACUUAUUUUAUUUAUAUUAUGCUUUUAAUCCAGGCUUCAGACCAACCAUAAUUCAUUUGUUCCGAGGAAAUGGACAAAAGAAUAAAAAAAAGAAUAAAUGGAGAAUUGCUCUAUCUAACUGGUGACUGGUUUCAUUCAUCUACCACCAUGAACAAUACUCUUUCGCGAAUGUAAGUACAAUAUUUCUUUUUCGCAAUUUACAUUUCAAUGAAGAACUCUGACUAUGAUAUCAACAUUCUGAGCGAUACAAAAUUAAUAAAUUUCUUUAGACAAAUACAUCCAAACUCAUAUCGAGGAUGAAAAAAGUAGCGCGGAAAACUCAUAGCAGAAUCACUUGUUAAACAUUAACAGACAAUCUAUACAGAUUGAAACGUCCCUGUUUGGAUAAACAACUUAUUUUGCACCUUAUCUCAUAAGCGCUUACCAUAUAAGUGCUUAUGAAUAAGUUGAACAUGUCAUAUAAGUGCUUAUGAAUAAGUUGAACAUGUCAUAAGCGCUUACCAUAUAAGUGCUUAUGAAAAAAGUAGCGUGGAAAACUCAUAGCCAAAUACAAUUGACAUUAAUGGUUGAACCUUCCGCUCACAUCACUUGGCAUUAAUACAUAAGUUUUUAAAUAUCAUAUAGAAUCCUUAGCGAAGACUUUUCUUAAUAUUUUUUUAUUUAGAUUUGUGAAACUAAACUGAAAUUUGAAGGGCAGAGAAACACAUCAAAAUAUUAAAAUCUUGUCUCCACACCAAUAUUUCAUUUUGUCUUUCUUUUGUUAUUUGUACAUUGGAACCAUUCAUCAAUGGCUUGUUACUGAUGAUAACAUAUUGUUCUAAAUAUCCUUAAAUGAUACUCCCUCCGUCCCUUAAUACUUGACACAGUUGACUUUAUUACGCAUGUCAAUGCAUAACUUUGAACUUAAAUAUCUUGAAUAAUAUAUUAGGAAAAAUUAUGAAAAUUUGAUAUUUUGAAAAUACUCAUCGAGACGAAUCUAACGACAACUUAUAUGAUGUUAUUUAUUGAUAGAUUUUUUUAGCAAGUGUACUAAAUACUAUCGAAGUAGUAAAAAUAUCGUUCCCACGAGGACUGUGUUAAUCUCAAUCUCAAUUUAGCAAUUUAGUAAAUAUUUAGGAUGUAUAAAUUAUUUUGUUUAUAGAUUUGAUUUGAUUGCAUAAAAUUAAAUAAACAGAAAAUAAAGAUAGUUUUGGAAAAUAUAUAUGAGAGAUGAGACUAGGUCUUUUGAAUCAUCUAUGUUUCCUAAUUGGUAUACUGCACCUAUUCUUAUGAAUGAUUUUCUAGUUUCACGAUAGUUAACAAAAUAGUCCUAAUCAAUCCCUUGACUUAGAACCCUCUUCUCAAACUACAGCCCCUAAUUCCUUAGGUGGUCUAAUAAUAUUUGAAGGUGUAAGCACGUUAACCUAAUAUCACUAACAAAUGAUUAUCCAUUCCUAGACUAACCCUGUUUAUUAGAACAAUUCAAUUAUGUCUAAGUAGAAAGUUAUGGUCAGUAGUCAUUCAUUCUCACUAAAUCAUGCUUAUAUUUGAUCAGGAUAUAAAAAGCAUUAAGAACAAUUGAAUUGAAUAAAAACUAGAUUAUCAUUCACAAUAAAUAGAGUUUCAUAGCAACAUGGUUCAAUUAGGGUUACAAGGAAUAUCUCAGAUCUAAUCAAAGGAAAUUAGCUAGACAUAAUCAAAGAAUUAAACAACAUAGUAAAGAAAAUAAACCAAUAGGAUUCCGUCGUUGCCGGCUUAGCUUCUAAUUUUCUUUCAAUCGAUGUUGUUCUUUUUUUGUUUCCAUAUGCAAGCUUUUUCUUUUUCUCUCGUGCUGCGUGAAUGCCUAAUUCCUCUCUUCCAAAACGUGGCUUCUCUGUACCAAGCGUCCUCCUUUUUUUUGCUGCUCUCCUCAUAUAUAUAUAUGCCAAUAAGUAAAGAAACCUAAUUCUUCAUUUGUUUCUUUCCGUUAGUAACAACACAUAGAAGCCCAAUUCUUUUUUUAUGCUAGCGACACCUCCUGUUUUGCGAUCUUUUUGAUCAUUUUCUCUUGCUUUCAUUUCUUUCCUUGUGCCAUAUGUCCCUAAAAUCGUGUCACGAAAUAACCAUCGUAACGCGUUUUAACCAAUGUCAAAUUAACUUCAUUCUGUGCUCCAAACCGUGACACGUGACACGAUUUUGCUUUCUUCAAAAUCUUCUAUUUUUCUUGUUUUCUUUGUUGUUUAAGCUUGCUUGUGAACUCAAAAUAUCAUGAAAAUGACACUAAAAACAGUGAAUGACUGACUGUCAUCAUUUAUAUUUGUAUAUUAGUUGAAAAAUACGGUCAAAGUCAUUUAGGUUAAAAUUAAAAAAAUUUAAAUAGGUCAAGUAUUAAGGGACGGAGGGAGUAUAUUAAUAGGAAAGAGGUGGCCCUCAAUUAUUAUCAUUGGGUCCAGCAGUUCAGCUUCAUUUUGAAUAGCCAAGGGGAAAAUAAAUUUAAGGACUAAUUUAAUUCUCUUUUUUGUUUGAGUUUAUAUCGAUCAAGUCAUUAUCUCAGCAGUAAAGACAAAGAGAAUCGUAAACUUUUAUUUCUAAAACCCAAUAACUAUGGUCAUUAGAGUUUCGAACAAUUUUAAAAUACUAGUCGAUCCACAGUCAGACUAUAUAUUGAAAUGUUCCACAAUAAAAUUUAUCAUUCAAGUGUUAGCCGACCCUAGUUUUCUAGUGGGAGAAACUCCAACUUCUCUCUAAACUUUCUUUCUCCUUUGUUCAUCGAGGAGGGGUGGUUUUAGGUCAUUUUGACCUAGAAUCACCCCUCUACAUCUUUUUUCCCCUUUUCUUUCAAUCUAAAUAAGUGGUUUUCACGUCUAUCAAGUUUUUCCUUUUGUGUUUUUGUGAUUUCGUCGUCUAAGUGCGGCGUUGUGUUGUUCGUCGUCUUGUGCGGCGUUUGAUUUCGCGUUUUGUCGCGGUGUUUGCUCAGUUCCUCUUGAAAGAUCUACAUCAGUCAAUUACAAAUUCAACCAAUGAUUUGAACGAUAACGUUGCAGAUCCAGAUGCAUGAGUAUUUCGGCGACUUAAGUUUUAUCAUAUUAUUUGUAGGCAUUUUGCCGUUGUAUGCUAUUAACUUGGGUGCUGUGAGUUUGUUCGUAGAUUCACCCUUUACGUUUUUAGCUAUGUUUGUAUUUGAUGUACUCUAUCGAUUUGAAUGAAUGAAUAUCGUUUUAUUUUUGUCAAAAUUUUUUUUAUCAUUCAAACUUCAAAGAUGCCAAUUGCUUUUAAAGUGUGCAACUAUUCUUUGUAUAUCUAUUAUUUUGUCUGAUGUGGGUCCAUUAACAAGCAUUAUUUCAUUCACAUAUGAGUCUUUACUAUAUGCACAUGCUAAUAUCCUCUCGAGUCUUAACUCCUUAAUUGCAUUCACAUAGCUCUUACUUCCAAUCAUUUCUAUAACUAGUAUAUAGUGACCCGUGCCAGCACAGGGAAAUAAAAAACUUUUUUGAUCAAAUGUAUAGAUUUUAAAUUCGAUAUGAAAAAAAUAUCAUCUUAAUUUUGUAUAUAUUUUGAAAUAUCUAAACAUUGCAUAUAACGAUAAAAAUAUUUGGAUUAUUAUACUUGUACUAAUUAUUUGUAGUAUAAGAUGCACUCAUUUUUAAACUUAGCAUAUGUAAUUUUAUUGCAAAAAUACGUCGACGUACUGUGUAAUAAUAUUUGUUGACAAAAUGUAUUUUAUUAAUCAUAAAAACUAAAAAAUAUGUUUUUUUUUUUUUUAUAUAAUAGUCAUUGUCACAUGCAUACACGUAGUCGGUAAAUGCAAACGUUUAAUUUUUUACGGGUGUGUAUAAAUAUAGUUUGGGCUACAGAAACACCGAUUGUUAUUUGUUUUUAAUUUUUACAAAACAAAUGGUGUAAUGUAAAUAAUGUAUUUUAGGGUAACAAUGAUGUAAAAAAAAAAUGUUCCGCGGAUUGUUAAACCUGAAAAGUGCAUGAAUUAAUAGUCAAUGACAGGAGGAUCUGCUUAUAUAGAAAUUGCAUGUCUAUAAUGACCCGUGCCAAGCACGGGAAAUAAAAAACUUUUUUGAUCAAAUGUAUAGAUUUUAUACUAUGUUAUCUUAAAGUUAUAAGUGUUGUUAUAAUUUACAUUUGAUAUGGAAAAAAAAUAUCAUCUUAAUUUUGUUAAUUUUGUAUAUAUUUUGAAAUAUCUAAACAUUGCACAUAGCGAUUAAAGUAUUUGGAUUUAUUAUAUUUAUACUAAUUAUUUGUAGUAUAAGAUGUACUCAUUGUUAAACUUAGCAUAUGUAAUAUUUUUGCAAAAAUACGCCGAUGUACUGUAUAUUAUUAUUUGUUGACAUAAUGUAUAUUAAUCAUAAAAACUAAAAAAAAUGUAUUUUUUUUUUAUAUAAUAGUGAGUGUCAGAUGUAUACAUCUAGUCUGUGAAUGCAAACGUUAAAUUUUUUUACGGGUGUAUAUAAAUAUAGUUUGGGCUACAUAAACGUCGAUUGUUAUUUAUUUUUAUAUUUUACAAAACCAAUGGUCUAAGUUAAAUAUUGUAUUAACGAUGUAAAAAAAAAGUUCCGCGUAUUGUUAUACCUGAAAAGUGCAUCAAUUAAAAGUCAAAAGCAAGAAGAUCUGCUUAUAUAGAAUUUGCAUGUCCUGUAAUGACCAGUACGUCUUACAAAGAAAUUAAAAAAAAAAAAAAAACUUUCAAUCAAUACGCAACUUUAGUUUUCUAAAUUAUAGCAACAACAAUUCUAAAACAUAACCAAUGAUCAUACUUUUUAAAAAACUUCACGAUACACAACAUUUGUGGUCUCCUUGAAAACAUUAUUAUCUUCAUCCAAGAUGAGCAGUUUCAAACCUUUUCUAGAAGUAACUCGAGAGACAACGACAUAGAGUUGCUCAUGCGUGAACACGGGCUUAGGAAGAUAAACUCCCACUCGAGAUAAAGAUUGACCCUGACUUUUAUUUAUUGUCAUUGCAAAAUAAAACGUCAAUGGAAAUUGUCUGCGCAUGAAUUUGAAGGGUAGUCCUGGAUCACUCGGAAUAAGAUUCAUCCUGGGAAUGAAUACGUUGGUACCUGCCCUUUUUCCUGUAAUUACGGUAGCAGCUAUCAUGCUCUUCCCUAGAUGUGUAACUGUCAGCCUCAUACCAUUACACAGUCCAUUGGCCCGAUCGAUGUUUCUCAUCAGCAUAACUGGACAUCCCACCUUUAGUUUCAACCGGUGAUUUGGAAUUCCAGAGCUCUUAAUAUCAUUAAGGAAUUCCGUUGUGAACCACUUGAUUUGGACAUCAGAAUUUUCACCCGAUCAACAAACAUAAUCAAAGCUUAAAUACUCUUUCUCUUCACCUGGAAUCAGUGACAUCAUAUAUUCGUUAACAUGCUCAACUGAAUCAAGCGUUGGUGCGAGUAUUCCCCUUUCUUGGAAAAAUAGCGGGUCACCAAGGUUAUCAUUCAAAUCGAGAUACACAAAGUCUGUAAGUGACAUCAACAGAUUUGUUGCGUCUGAUAUGAGCAAAUCUUCAGGAAUUUCUACCUUCAUUUCACCAUUCUCCUCCGAAGCGUUGUUGCCGUCUCCAAUUCAUAGUAUCCACUUGCCAAAAUUAGCAAUUUCUUUCUGCUCUGUAGGUACCAAAGAUGCACCCAAUCUCAUAUUAACAGUAAGCAUUAACACAUUAAAAUAAGCUCAUAUCUUUGAUGAAUUGAUUGAUGCAUCAACAAUAUCCUGCCUCGUUCCUUUUCGGACAACAGGCAAUAUCUGCCUGAAAUCACCACCUAAAACUAUUGUCAUUCCAUCAAAUGGUUUAAACUCGUUUAGGGAAUCAUUCUUGGACAUGAUACCACACAUUGAUCGGUCAACUGCCUCAAAACACCAUCAGUGCAUCAUUAGAGCCUCAUCCCAAAUUAUCAACUUUGCAGCACGCACCAAGUCUGCCCUAGGACUAUCCUUUUCCAUCGUAAGAGAUGAUGCCUCAUAAUCUCAAUAGGGACUGUCAGCGUCAGGUGUGCGGUUCUUCCUCCUGCUAAUAGAAGAGUCACUAUACCGCUAGAUGCAACAUUCAAUACAAUUAACCCCUUCGAUCUAACAGCAGUCGACAAUGUUUUCAUAUAAAGGUUUUUCCAAUACCACUGUAACCAUAUAAGAAAAAGAAACCAUCGUCGUUAGAACCAACGGACUCCAUGAUCUUUUCAUGCACAUAUCUUUGUUCAUCAAUCAGCAUCAGUAACAUAUCAGCAUGUGUCUUUUCCAGUUCAUCUUUGUUGUAAUUUAGCUCAUCAACGAUAAGCUUGUUUGUGAAAGUUGGCAUGUCUGCUGCGUUUUGUAUGGGUAUGGAUUUGAUGUCAGUAAGCGACUGUUCGUUUUCCUGAAGCAACAUUUCAAUUUCAAUCAAACAAAGGUUCUUCAAGUCAUCGUCACCGAUACGCAGAUCUGUAUAUUAAAUGUAAAGUCACGAAAUUAAUAUUAACACCUUUGCAUGCAUUUGUGUGCACGUUGAAGAGAAAGAAAAAAUAUUAGCUUUAUAUGAGAAUCCUUUAUAUUUAAACUUAUCAGCCUAAAAAAUGUAGAAAAUGUUGAAUGGUAUCGUAGAGUUAUUAACUCUUAGUUUUUUCUUUACUAUAUCCUAAAAAAAGUACCUUUUAACUACUUAAACUACUCUAAUCAGCCUUUACUAUAUCCUAAAAAACACACCUCUCGAAAACAACCCUGUCAUCAAGGUUGGAAUGUGUUAAAUUUCUUAAUGUGUAAUAGUCUUCAUAUGUAUCACCCUUAUCCCUAAUUUUUAUUAGUGAAGUACUGUUUUGAUUCUCACUUUAAUUUGAACUAUUUGGUUCCACCAAGAUAUUUUACUCCUAGCUAGGUCCAAAACCUAUUAAUUCUUCUAGUGUCUCUUUUGCUACUUUUCUAAUCUCAUAUGUCAUCUUGUUCCACGUAUCAUUUUCACUUAUAUGUAGCUUCACACAACCUUCCUUCAAAAUCUUUUGCAGGAAAACACUUUGGUUUUGAUCCUUUAAAUGUCACCACUUGAUCCUUGUUUCUCAAUCAUGGCCUCUCAUCUUCGCUCUUAUCUUAACCCUUACAUCCAUAACCAAUACUAUAUGUUGGAUGAUCAAACUCUCCAUGUAAAACUUUAAAUUCAAACAAAUAUUUAUGUCAUAAUUCCUAAUAAGAAAUAAAUCUAUUUGAGAACAUGAAAUCCCACUCUUGUAUGUAAUAAAUUUCCUUUUUAUUUUCCUAAAGUAAGAUUAAAAGACAACAAAAAAAUCUAGGACGAAUUUACCCAAUGCAUUUAUCUCCCCUAGGCUAUACCCUCAUUCAAGCCUUUAUAACUUAUCAAGCACUUCUUACAUGCCCAUUUAGAUCCCCUCCUAGAAAAACAUUUUCUCCUUGUGGUAUAUCUUGAAUUUAACCUUUCAAAAUUUAACUUUAGAAUAUUCUUCCAAAUCCACCUAAGAUGGAUAAACACUCAUAACAUUAAAGAUGUCUUAUUUCCUUUAAAAAAUAAAAAAUAAAGAUGUCUUAUUAAACUUAAAAUUUGUAGGAUACAAUCAAAUCUCACAUCCUCUUUACAUCCACAAUAUCCUUUUUCAAUUCCUUAUCCACAAUAAUGCCUACAUCAUUUCUCGAUCUAACUUUUCCAGUUUAUCAAUUUGAACUAUCUAAUUCUUUCGUCUUUUCACCUACCCACAUAGUUUUUUGCUGGCACAUAAAAUUAAUCUUCAUUUUAGUCAUAGCGUCAACUAUUUCCAUAUAUGUGAUCUCAAAAAAAAAAAAAAAACUAUUUUCAUAUAUGUUCAAGUAAGAGUACCUUUAUUCCAUGUUCUAAAACGGAUUAUACUCUCAUUAACUAACUUCUUUACCCACACUCGUUCACAAAGAUGUGGAGACUCUUGCUUAUUUUUUACUGCAUUCAGGCAGCGAUGUACCCAUCCUUGCUCAUUUAACUUUGUAUUUGAGCUAUACAACGUGUUUCUUCUACGCAUUGACCCAGUUUCACACUAUUAUAUACUUGGUUCAUAUAUGCCUCAUUAAUAUCAAUAGGGACUGUUAGUGUCGAGUGCGCGGUUCUUCGACCUGGUAAUAGAAGAGCCGUUAUACCGCUGAAUGCAGCAUUCAAUAUAAUUAAUCGAUUAAAGAACAGAAAAUGUGAACAAAUUAAUCUCGGGAGCGUAAAGUAGCCGCUGCUCCCCCCAAUAUUUUUUUUCUUCUUUCGUAUACUACUACAAAUGCAGCACUCAACCGCUCACCCUUUGCGACUGUGAACAUGUUAUCUCUCAUUAAGCCUACUUCUCAAGUCACUACGUAAUUGUAGCAUAAUCUCCAUCACGUGAAACGAUCACGUCGUAGUGACACUUUUUUAUUUCAAUGUAUUUUAUAUGACAUGAACACUAUAUAAAUAUUUAAAUAUUUUAUGUAUGUAUAAUACUGAGAUUUGGUUAAUCCAUUUUUAAAUUUUCGCUGCUCAUGAGCAAGAUCCGCCACUGGUUGUUAGAAUAUUAUUCUGUUUCAUCCAAAAAGACAGGUCAUAUAACCUUUUUGACAAAUAUUCAUCUAAAUUUGUUUAAGAAAUCUUCAGGGUUAAUUGUUGUCAUGUAACAUUUUUAAGAAAGCUUCAUUUUAUGUUAGAUCAUUAAAACAGAUGAUUGAUGUAUAAAGUGAAAGAUUUACUCGCAACGUCUCAACAAAAUCAAUUCCUUAACUCAGAUUUUCUUGUUUGGAAUAAACAGGGACAUAGAUGAAAACUCGGAAUACAAAACAAUUGAGAUGAAUGAAUAGCUUUGGGAAAGAUUAAUGUAGGCAAUUUUCUUGUUUAAAUUCACAUAUGGCAAUUUCUCUUCGGGAAAGAUUGGCGCACAUAAACUAAUUUAUUGAAUAGCUUUUUCUGUGUAAAUAGUUAAGAAUGAAAUCUCUUUUGAAUUGCAAUCUCCCAAUUAUAUUGUAAAUGUUUAAUGUCACGGUAUAAAACAAUAUGAAAUUUAUUGACACAAUAUUUCAAGUACUACCAGAAAAUUCCCCCCUUUUUUUUUCUUUCUUUUUCUAGACCACAAAAAGGCCUUGUAUUUUUUCGGUACAUCAAUCAAUACUUCACUAAAUAUGAUAAAACCAAAAAUAUUCUAUUUAUGAAAACUUAAUAGAGAAUUUCAUAUCUGAUAUAACUUGACAUUGCAAAUAAAUUACACAUCAUCAAUGAAUCUUAGGCCUAAUACGAAAAGGUAUCCUUAUUGUGAACGCUUCGAGACGAUGACAAACCCUUUUUGCAAAAGGUUGAAGAUUAGUACAUCACCCUUUUCGAGACGUAAGCUUUUCAGGAUAUAUUAACCUCACAAGAACGGUACAACUUGAGGGUCCACAAAGUUUGAGAUAUGUAAGACAUGUUUCUUUCAGGAAUUCUCCAAAAAUAAAAUCAUAUAGAAUCUUCUAAGACAAUAAAAGAGAAUAUAUUAGUAAUUCAGGUGGGUCGAUAAAUCAACUAUUACGAAGAAACCAAUUAAAAAAUGUACUCCCUCCGUCCUAAAUUAUAAGCAAAAAAAAUUCAUUUUCUUUGUCUCAAAUUAUAAGCAAAAAAUACAACUUUUAUCAUAUUUAAUUAUGUUUUUUCAACAGAUUAUCUUUUCCAAAGGAAAAUUAAAAGCAAAGUGCAUUCAAUUUGCUCUAUUUUUCAUUUUCUCUAUAAUCAACUACCAAUGAAAAUUGUUUUUACAUCUUCCUAUAAAACUUAUUUCAAAGAUAAUACAAAAAAUUAUGUUACAAACUACUAUGUUUUAGUUUUCUUAAUAAGUGUGAUUUUUAUUUUUCUUAUAAUAUGGGACGGAGAGAGUAUUAAAAUAAAAAAUCUUAACCAUGGGUGAUGAAGUUGCAUUACGACCAGUAAGAUGGCAGAACUGUGGUUAAAAGAAUAGAAACAAAAAAAAUAAGACUGAAAAAAAAUAAGACAUAAUAGAAAAGGGGAUAUAAAAAUAUGAAAAAAAAAAUUAAGUUAAUCAACCUUAUUGUCCAUUAGAACCAUUUCUAAGGAGAAAGGAAGUUGGUCAUUUUUCAUAUCUGUCACAAACCAAAUGCGAACGACUCGAACCUGAUAUUUCAGUUUUCUUUGUAAUGGGAUAUAUCAGAGAUCAAGUCAAUCUUUGGGGCCAUUUCGAUUUAAUGAAGAGACACAAAAAGUACGCAAAGAAAAAGAAAUAAAAUAGAGAGACAACUGUAAAAUUGGAGUUGUGGUGUGAGAAAAAUGUUUGUCAAUACAAUUUAUAAUAAUUUUUAGAGGACAAUGAUGUAAAAUAACCACAUUCAAUUCGAUAAAUGAUAUCAAUCUGCUUGUAGCCGAAAAUAAAAAUUCAAUAGGUCAUUAGGUUAUUUAUUUUUUUUUUUUGUGUUUGAUUGCAUCCUUUUUUUUUUUUUUUGAUUAAGUGUUGGAUUGCAUCCUAAAGUUGCUCAUUAAACCACACAAAUCAAAAUCAAUAGGUUAUUUAGUUUUAGAAAGUUUUCAUCCGAUUUUAAUAUCAAUAAAUUCCAAAAUAUUGUAGCCGAAAAUAAAAAAAUCAAUGGGUCAUAAUGUUUUAUUUUUAUUGCUUCAGAUUGCAAAUAAAGUUGCUCAAUAAACCACACAAAUCAAAAUCAAUAGGUUGUUUAGUUUAAAAAGUUUUAAUCUGAUUUUAAUCCCAAUAAAGUCCAAAACCUUUUUUUUUUCCGGUCAAAUAAAAAAGCUACACAUCUAUGAGAAAAAUAUACAAUUUGAUAAGGUAUCAAUCGAUCAAUGUUACAAUAAAAUUUUGUAUUAGAUAAACUAUUAUUAAAUUUAUAUAAUAUAGAUUUUACUACUUAAUAAAAAAAAAAUUACGGAUUGGCCAAAAAAAAUCAAUUUGAUAGGGUGUCAAUAGGUUAAUGUUGCAAUAAUAUUUUGUAUUAGAAAAAUUAUUAUUAAAUUUAUAGAUUUUAUUGGUUCACAAAAAAACCAAUUUGAUAGGGUAUCAAUCGGGCAAUGUUACAGUAAUAUUUUGUAUUAGAAAAAUAAUUAUUAAAUUUAUAUAAUAUAGAUUUCAUUAGUUCAUAAAAAAAGUUUAUGGAUUGGAAAAAAAAAUCAAUUUAAUAGAGUAUCAAUCGGUCACUGUUACAACAAAGAAUUGUAUGAUUACAAUGAUUUUGAGAUGACACAAUAUACAAUUAUAUUGCACAAUUAUAUCGCCCAUUUUUGAUGGAUGAGAAACCGUUGUGAAAGAAAAAAAAAUAAAAAUGGAUUGAUUUGAUUUCGGCUUAUGUGGCCAAACUUUGAUUUGAUUUAUGUUUAAUGCAUAUGAUUUUUUUUUUCUUGUGGUAAAUGCAUAUGAUAUUUUAGCAAUUGCAUGAAAUUUAUUUUGAGCCAUCUUUAUUCUUCGUAAGAUAAAACCAAAAUGAUGCGAUCAUGUUUUUUGAAUAAAAUCUUAGAGAAGCAUUAACAGUAGAAUAAUCAAUAUAUAUUCUUUUUUUUUUUUUUGAACAAAUCAAUAUAUAUUCAUUUGUUUAUAUUGUUGAUUACAAUUGUUAUAAAUAACCAAUUAAGAUGUUUAAGCUUAUGAUACAAUCUUUACAUUUUUUAUUUAUACAAAUAAUUGAAUCAUACGAUAUAUAUAUAUAUAUAUAUAUAUAUAUAUAUAUAUAUAUAUAUAUAUAUAUAUAAGAUUUAAAAAAGAUCAACUAUAUGAUUCGACCAUUGAUUCUUUAAAUUUCUUUAUGCAAAUGGAGAUAUUGGGAACGUAUGUGAAUGGAGAUACCACGAACUAAUUCAAACAAACUAUCGACUAUAUAAAAAAGAUCUAAAAACAUAACAAAGUCGAAUGAGAAAUAUCAGACAUGAAAUUAAUUUUCGGUGUUAUUUGGAUUGUAUAGAAAUAAGAAGAAGAAACAACAAAUAGAAACAACAAAUAGAGUUGUGAUGUGAAAAAAUUGUUAAACCAUAGGUCUAAUUUAUAGUAAUUUUUACAGGAUAUUUUGGUAAAAUGACCACAUAUAAUUUCAAAUAUUCAUUAAUUUCACUUUUUUUUUUUGUCUUGCUUUAACUUUUUUCUUUUUUUCGGUUACUUUUAUUGCCUCACCAUUUACAUAUGGACGUUUCCUUAACUGUUUUUUUUUUUGGCUUUUCAUCCAUUUUUGAUUUUUUUUCGGUUACAACUUUGCCUCUCAACAAAUCCUCACAUUUAUAUCACUUUGAUUUUUCCCUCAAAAAAAAAAUCACUUUGAUUUUGGAAAAAGAGAAAACUUAGGUACAGUUCCUUAGGUGCUUUUCAUAUGGUUCUUAACUAAAAAUACAUAUUUUUUUGGAUAUAACAAACUUUGAGAAAAUUAUGGAUUUGAGAAAAUUGAAUUUAGUUAAGAACCAUACGAAAAGCACCUAAGGAAUUGUACCUAAAUUUUCUCCUUUGAAAAAUCCGUUUUUGAUUGUAAGUUUUUAUAUAGUUGACUAUCAAAAUUAGAAGUUUUUCUUCUUCUUUUUUUUUUUGCCUCAAUAAAUAUUUCUUUAAUUUUUUUCCCUAUUGUUAAGGAAAUCAAAACAUAUCGUGUUUAAUUGUUUUAAUGCAAUUACAUAUAAAAUAUCUUUGACAUAGUUUUAAACAAAAUAUAUAUUUUUUGAAUAAAUUAAACAAAUAAAUUGUAUCACAUUAUUAUUAUUAUUAUUAUUAUGAAAAUAAAAAUUAAGAUAUUGAUUUCAAUGAAAAAUAUGAUGUUAUUUAAAAAAAAAUUAAAAUUGUCUGACAAUAUUAUUAUUAUUAUGAAAAUAAAAUAAAAAUUAGUUAAGUUCAUUAAUUCGUUAAUUUUAUUAAUUCAUAAAAGCAUAAAAAUGUGAAUUGGUUAAAAAGAAACAUGAGUUGAUAAGGUUAUAUUAUUUUUCAAUUUUUUUUUGUUUGGUUUAAAGCUUAUAUAAGCUAUAUUAAAUCGUAUUUUUAUUAUUUGGCAUAUAUCAAUUAUUUGAUCUCUUUGACAUUAAAAUAUUUAAAUUUUAUUAUUUGUUUUAAUAUAAUAUCUGAAAUUAAAUAUUUAAAUUUAAAAUUAUUUGAUUUAAAUCUGUAUUAUUUGAAUUCAAAAUGUUUGAUUUUUAAUUUAAUAUGAAAUAUUAGAAAUAAAAUUGAAUUUGAAUUUGAAAAACUUCCUUUUAUUCAUAAGCAUUAAAUACAAAUUUGUGAGGAUGAAUGUGGUGAGAGUAUUUUGUGAGGAACAAUAUGAUGAGAGUAUUUGUAAAAAAGAAAGGGACAUAUGACAACACCAAAACAAUAGUAAUUCAUUUCCAUAAAAGUCUAUGAAAUGGAUCCUAAAUUUAUAUUAUAUAGAUUCAAUCUCCAUAGCUCUUAAUUACCUUCAAAAUUUUGCUAUUUACGUGUGCAGCUUUAUCAACAAAUGAAUUAACCACAUAUUUAAUAACAAGAUGUCCAAGAUAUUUCAAAGAUGCAAGUUGCAAUUUAUGCGUGCAACAUUUCUUUGUAUAUUUACUAGUGUAACGCCCCGUGCCAAGCACGGGAUACAUUUUAUUUAAAUUUUUUUAAUAUGAUUUAAAUUUUAACAGAUUUUUUAAAUAUUAUUGUUUUUGUUUCUUUUCAUCCAUAAUUUUGGCGUUAUGUGGUAUUUUAUCUUUGUAUUUAAAAUUGAACAAUAAAUAAUCAUUUAUUGAGAUCAAAAAGUUAAAUUUUAUAGAUGACUAUUUUUGUGAGAGUGAUAAAAUAAUCAACAAAAGUACAAUUAAACCCAAAAGAUAAAAACACUAUAAAUAAUUAAUAUAUUUCUAAAAAAUUAACUAAUUAGUAAAUGGAUAUGAUUACCUAUGGUUAGCUUUGGUUUGUCAGUCAUUCAAUAUAUCAAAUGGAUAUGAUUACCUAUGUUUUAAUUUUUCACUCUUAAUAAAAAUAUUAAUUUUUUACUUAAUCACAAUGAUCUCUAUGAUCGCAAUUAUAAAUAAAAAAAAACCUAAAUUCAAAAUUUUAGUUACAUCUAUUAUUUUUAUUGGUUUCAUAAAUAAUAUUCAUUGACAUUAUUUUUUUAAUUUAUCAAAAUAAGCACAUUUUUGAAUAAAAUUUACCUCAUAAAUAUAUGUAUAUUUUGUAUUUCAUUAAAAAAAAUUGAAUUUUUAUGUUAAAUUUUGAAUAUAAAAAAAGCAUUAACAAAUCAUGUUUGGUUUUAUAUUUGUGAACAAAAAAUAAGUUUAAAACACAAAAACAAUAUUUUUAAAAUAAUAGGUUAUCGCUAAUUAUUCACACUUAGGGAAACUUAAUUUUUGUAUUUACUUUAGAAUUUGUGUAAAGUUUAAGACAUAAGUAAAUUGUAAAUAUGGAAACUGUAUAUUUUUUUUAUUGAAGUGUCAAUACAUGCAACAAAAACAAUUUGUUCAAUUGAAAUUGAAAUUCCCAAGACAAUAAAAGAGGUGCCCUGCAUCACCAUACAAAAUAACAUUAUACCAAAAGGUGUACAAACUUUACCAAAAUAGAUCUGUAAUAAAAAAUAAAAUAAAAAAACCGUAUUAACAUUCUUCAACUCCUCAAUAGUGGUCCUAGGAGUAAGUAAGAGAAACUCCUCAUUUACAGGUAUGUGAGAUGAAUUUGGUAACUGGAUCAAUCCCGAUGCAGGAGAGUUUGUAUUUGCAUUAAGAAAGAGUAAAUAGUCAAUUUCCCCCCUGAAAUUGUAAAUUUCAUCAAUUACCCCCUGAAAUUAACAAAACUUCAAUUACCCCCCUGAAAUUUCACAACGUUAGUCAAUUUACCCCUUCCGUCAAAUUUUUCUGUUAGUGAACAUGACGUUUUGCAAAUACCCCCCUGAAAUUUUGCACUUAUGUGCAAAAUGCCCCCAAACUUAAAAAUUUAUAUUAUUUUUUUCUUAAAAACAAAACAAUUAAUAGUUAAAUAUUAAAACUAACUAUUAAUUUUGAAAUUUGGGAAAACUACAUGCAUAUAUACAUCAAAAUAGGCUCCAAAAUGGAAAAAAAAUAUGUAUUUUUUAAAGUGACAAUAAUGGGAUGAUUUGUGGAUUAAUAUUGAGGGUUGUGUAGUUUAAAUGGUUUGAGCAAAUUGUUGAAGGAGUUGGAGGAGUUAAAAGACUAAGAUGGUGAAGGAGAAAAUAUAAAUUUAAAUCUGAUUAUUAAUUUGUUUAUAAACCUCUAAAAAUAAUAAUUUGUCUAUUAGAAAUAACUAUUAUUGUCACUUUAAAAAUACACUUUUUUCCCUAUUUUGAUGUAAAUAUGUAUGUAGUUUUUCCAAACUCCAAAAUUAAGAGUUAGCUUUAAUAUUUAACUAUUAACUGUUUGUUUUUAAGAAAAAAAUAAUAUAAAUUUUUAAGUUUGGGGGGCAUUUUGCACAUAAGUGCAAAACUUCUGGGGAGUAUUUGCAAAACGUCAUGUUCACUAACAGAAAAAUUUGACGGAUGGGGUAAAUUGACUAACGUUGUGAAAUUUCAGGGAGGGUAAUUGAAGUUUUGUUAAUUUCAGGGGGGUAAUUGAUGAAACUUACAAUUUCAGAGGAGAAAUUGACUAUUUACUCCCCUAAGAAAGCUAUAAUAAAAAGUAUCAAUCAAUAAUAUUAUAACUUAAGAAGAAAAAAUAUAUAUACCUUUUCCUUAGUUCCUUUGUUUCACCAAUUUCAGGAUUGAAUGUGAUUCUAGUGGAAGAAAAUGCAUUUUGCAAUGCUGGUUUUCCUAUCAUUAAGAUUCAAAAGUAUAUGAAUCAAAUAUAUAUAUUCGUAUAAACAAACAAUCACAAUUGCUAGUCAUAAAUUAUUACCUUAAAACAAUUUAACUUUUGUCAACAUAAUGGCUACAACAACAUUUUGAGAUUCAUCGGACGAUAGAAAAGAGUUCAACUCUUCAACAUACUCUCCAAAAAGAGUACAUUUAAAACGGUACCUAUUUAAAAUUGUCAAAGAUUAUACAAAUAUUAAUAAAAAUACUAUAAAAUAGGUCUUAAAAAAUUACAAUUACAAAAAAAAAAAAAAAAAAAUCAAACCUACCCAUUUGAAUCCAAUUCAAUGACAUUCAUUUUAGUUUUUACACCAUCUCUUUCGUACUCUCUUUCAACUCCAACUCCAAUCAUGACUCCAAUUACGUCUGCAUAUAUAACACACAUUAAAAUUUCGAUCAAAUUAUUAUUUAUUAUUAAAAGAAUAUAACGUACAAUUGAAUCAUAUUAAAUAAAACAUUUUAUUAAUUCAAUAUAUAAAUUAUUGUGUUAUUUUUGUAAGAAAAAAAUAAUAUUUAAAAAAAUCUACAUGAAGAAAAUUAUAGUCACUUACCAACUAAGUAGUUGUUGUCGUAAGAUUCAUUGAAAACAUCAGGUGUAGGUGUAAACGAAUACACGUUUAUUGGGACCAAAACAGUUUUAGAUAGUUUGACUUUUGUGAAAUUCAGUUUGUAUUCGUUGCGUGAUGGUCGAUACGGACCACUGUUUGCUAGCAACAUCAAAUGAGGAAAUCGUGAACACCAUUCCCUCUUGGAGUUGCUCCUUGAACUUGUAGAUCAAUGUUCUUCGUAUAGACGCACCAAUUUGAUCACCCUAGAUAAAAAAGAUGAGAACACUAUACUUUAAACAAAAAAAUACUAAAAAAACAAAAAAGAAAAACGAUAUGAAAAAGGUACCUUUUGAUCAAUUAGAACAAACUCCAUGGAAAAUGGUAGUUUUUUAUUUUUGUAGUCUUGACCAAACCAAGCACGAACAACCCUCACAACCAAUGUCCACGAUUGUUUUCUUGGCGAAACAUCAGAGAUGAAGUCGUGUUUCGUAGACAUUUUCAUUUGCAAUAGAAAAAUUACAGAAAUAGUUUAGAAUAUAGAUAUCAAAGCACCAAAGAACAGAAAACGAAAAACUAUAUUUUGUGAUUGUUGUGUACUCAUACCCAAAAUCUCUACUAUUUAUAUAGAAAAAUAGUACCAUAACGGUUAAUAUAAAUUAAUUAUCAAUUUAACCGUUUUAAAAUUAAUAUUAUCAACGUCUUUAAUAUUAUAAAACGUGCAUUAAACGAUUAAAUUAUAUUUCAUGUAACGUACAAAAAAUUAACUUCAUAACAUUUGAAAUUUAAUUUGAUAUUUAUUAAGAUCUUAUAAAUUAUUAUGUAAUAUAGUUUUGUAACAAACAAAAAUUAAUUAUAUAACCUUAAAAACUAAUUAAUACAAUUAAUUUUUUAAUUAGUAGGUUAAUGCCUUAGUGUAACGUCCCAAAAUUCAAAAUAUAAUUUAUUCAGUUUAUUUAUUAUAAUUUUAUAACCAACCAAAUUUUGAAUGUUACAUAUAAAUGUUAAUUGAAUACUAAUUAGAUUAAUAAUUAUUUGAUUUGUAACGUUCAAAUUUUUAUUGUAAAAUAUAAAUUUUAAUCGAAACAGUAAUUAUAUUAAUCAUUAUCUGAUUGUAACCAACUAUUUACUUUAUGUACAAUUUAAUGUUAAAUAAAAAACGGUUUUUAAUAAUAAUUAAAAUUAUUAAGGUUGUAUUAAAAAUUAGGAGGAAUUUCGGGAACAUAUGCCAAGUAGGCUUUUGAUGAGAUGGACAUCUUUAAAGGAAAGGAAUUUAAAAUAGGCUAUUUCUAAGAACUCUAAAUUGUUAGUAUAAAGAUUAUUUUGUCAGAUGGAGUUCCAUAAACCAUUAUUGAGCCAACAAACAAGUACUAUUAUUAGUUAUUACAACCAUUGUUGAGCCAACAAACAAGUACUAUUAUUAGUUAUUACUACCAUUAUUGAGUCUUAACUCCUUAAUUGCAAUUACUACUAUAUCCUUGAAUCUUCAUUGCUCUUAACUUUCUUUCCUCCUUGAAUCUUCAUUGUGGUAAAUAUUAACUUUCAAAUAUCUUUAAAAAAUAUCAUAAAAAAAUAUUUAGAAGAUAUUAUAGGAAAUAAUUGAAAGAAGUGGCCUCAUAUAAUAAUAAUUCACAACAUUAUUUUUCUCUGAAACAAUAUUUGACUGAGGAUGUGUCAUGACUUUGUUUUGGUAGGUGGCACACUUUUAUUGACCAUUGAUAUAUAACAUUGAUACUUUAAUGGUACACAAGUGGAAUCCGCAAUAAUAUCAUCUCUUCUUAAAAAGUGUGUGUUGUUAGGAAACAUGGCAUCCAUGAAAAGAAGGAGAGAAAACUAACAAACUCUUUGUAUUGAUGGAAAUGAAAUAUUACAAAUGAGUGGAAGUAACCCUCUAAUAAGGUGGUUACAAGUUAUUUAUACUACUUUCUACUCACUACUAGAACUAAUAUGCCACUAAUCUCUAUUUCUAAUUUGUGUUUUGAAAUAUCAUUUACGAUCAAACCUUAUAUUUAGUAAAUGCUAUACUUUUCACAAUGAUAUACUCAUCAGUUAUCACAUUUAGAAAGGGUUAUCAACAUAUUAUAGAUAAGAAAGGUUAUCAACAUACUCAGAUAUAUUUAUUUUUAAUUUUAACACAGGUGAUAAGAAAAAUGACAUAUGCUACAUUUAUUUUUAGUAUAUGAGAGGACUUUAACGAGAAAUUGCAUAUUUGAAUCACUUUCCUAAAGUAAAUAUUAACCACUGCUGAGCUUUUGCUUUCCAGCUUUCAAAUGUUGUUUCUUACCUAACCAUUGAAAAACAAUGUUAUCCAUUCAGAUAAGUGUUCUUGAGUCUACCCUUUACUAUAUGCACUUCAAGCCACUCAAAAAUAAGAGAUUUAAGGUUUGGAGUUGGUUACGUAAAGUGAAUGUAUUAGUACACUAAACGUCUAUAGUACUCUACAGGAAUUUCUUGUAUUUUUUAUUUUUGACUAAAAUUGAUUAUUAUUUGCUUGCGAAAAAGAUUAGUGAGAUAACAAAAAAAGAAAAUAUUUUGUUAUAUUUUUUGAUUUGGAAAGACGAAGUCUUUUGCCUCCGUACCCGCGAAGGAUUAAAAUCACGUAGUUCGGGGUAAAAAGUCGAGUGAUUUGUUCGAUGUUUUUUAAUCGUUUUUGAAAAGGUUUUAAAAAAUAAAAGCCAAAAGGCAAAAUGAAAAGUUGUUUAGUGUUUUUUCAGUUUUAAGAAAAAAGUUUAAAUAUGUUUGAAAUAGAUUAAAGUUUUUAUUAAAGAAAAUAAAAAAGGGAAAUUCCUUGAUAAGAAUCAAGGGUUUUUUAGAAGAAAAAAAAAAUAGUUCUUUUUUUUUUUAAAUUUGUUUUGCGACUACUUGAAUAUUUUAUUGAUUUUUCAAUAAAAGCCUAAAAGAAAUAAAAAUUGAAAAUAACGACGAUUAACGCGCGAGGAAACCGUAAACUACCUAAUAUGAGAAAGUGAAGUUUUUGAGUCCUAAGUACCAAUAGAUGACUAUUGAAUCCAAUAUUGAUAAGUCUAUUUUUGAAAUUGAGUAGUUGUGAUCAGCAUUAUUGGAUCCAUACAGAACUUUUCAAAAUAUGGAUCAAUCAUUUUGAGUGCCAAAGACUAUCAAAGUCUAUGCUUUUCAACUACAUUUUUAUAUGUGAAUCAAUCAUAAUUUUUGUAUCAACUACAUGAAUCAACCAUAAUUUUCAACGUGAGUUGAAUUAAUUAUCUAUUCAAUUGAAUUAACCACAUUUUUAUACAUGACUAACUAGGUGUCGUAAGUGUAUGACAAAAUAUGUGCAUGAGGACUAAUAUCUUCUUUGGAAUAUAAAAGUUUACGGUCUUCAUAUUGUCACUGGCCAUAGAGUCAAGAGGAGGACAGUGAGGUUUUAUUUCUAGGCGAGUUUUGGCAUUGGGCAAUUGUCAAAUUGUCCUAUUUUAGAUCAAUUUUAUUUUAUUUGCUAUUAGUUGUACAUCCUGAAUUUUUAUAUUCCAAUUUAUAACCAUAUUCAAUUAUAAUAUAUUAGUUUUAAUUUUAAUUUAACGGAGACUAAAAUAUUUUGAAGGGACAAAAAUGUCAUUAUUUAUAAGAAUUAAAAACAAAUUUAGUUAUAUUUAUAAGCACCAAAAAUAUAUUUAACCCUAAUUAAUAUUAAAAAGUUUUGUGGAUGGGAUUAAUAUUAAGAUACAAACUAAAUUUAUUUCUUUACAAAUAAUGUAGUAAAUAUAUAUUUACGCCAUAUUUUUUUUAGCCUAGAUUUAAACAUGUCUAUGUUUUCAAAUUUAAAAAAAAAAAGUUUUCAAAUUAAAAAAUCAUUGAGAAUGAGCUGGACCUAUUAGAUUUUUAAACGGAAGAUUAAAAAAUAAUGUAUUUACAAAUAAAUUAAUUUGAGUCAAAUUAUAAUUGAGUAAGGCUAUAAAUUAGAAAUUUUUUUUUUUCUAAGGAACAUGAUCAUUAGAGUUUUAAAUAAUUUUGAAAUAAUGGUCCAUAAACCACUAAUGAUCUUUGCCGACAAACAAGCAUUAUUACUAUUACUAUUCAUUCACAUGUGAGUUUUAUUGAGUCUUACCUUUACCAUAUGUACUGCAAACCAUCCAAAAACAGUACUGUUGUCGGUUCAUUCAUAUGCUAAAUCCUCUUCAGUCUUAACUCCUUUACCAUAUCUCUAAUACGAUGUCCUUACUUAACAAGGAUCACUCCUUGUUAAGGACACUCAUUGGAAGAAAAAAAAACGAGUCUCCGUUAAGGAACAGACAACUAUAUAAGAAUCUUUCUUUUCCUAAACAACUAACGGAUCCUACGUUUAAAAGAAGUAAUAAAAUAUGCACUAUUUAGUCCCACUUAUAAAAAAGUAAUAUUUUUCAGCAAUCAUAUACUUAUCACCAAAUGAUUAUUACAUUUAUCUCUUUUGUUGGGUAAUACUACAUUUAUAAACACAUUCUCAAUAAUAUUUCAUUAUUUUUUAAUUUUCACACAGGUGAUUAGAAAACUGAUAGUAUGAUGGUAAAGGAAUAAAAGUGUACAAUUAAACCGAUUUGAGUGUGCAACUUUUUCUUUUGCUUUGUAUCAAUUAUUUUGAGGGAUGUGGGUCCAAUAUUAAACAAUGAUGACCUUUGCUUUCCAGCUUUCAAAUUUUGUUUCAUACCCAACAAAUCAACCAUUCAUUCACAUGCAAUUAUUUCUAUCAUUCAAUCUUCAUAGUUCUUAAUUUCCUUCAAAAUUUCAUCUAAAACUUUUAUCCUUGCUGCUUUACUAUAACCAAUCAGAGAUGGCUGCAGCUUUGGUUGGAGGUGCGUUUCUGUCUGCUUCUGUUCAAACCUUAAUGGACAAACUAACUUCACCUGAGUUUCGUGAUUAUUUCACAAGAACAGAGUUGAAUGAAUCAUUGAUGUAUGAGAUGGAAACAAGUCUACUUACUCUUGAGGUUGUACUAGAUGAUGCAGAGGAGAAGCAGAUCCUCAAACCCAGAAUCAAACAAUGGCUGGAUCGGUUAAAAGAUGCAAUCUAUGAUGCUGAGGAUUUGCUCAAUCAAAUCAGCUACAAUGCCCUACGAUGCAAGCUGGAGAAGAAACAAGCUAUCAAUUCUGAAAUGGAGAAGAUUACAGAUCAGUUUCAGAACUUGCUUUCAACUACAAACUCAAAUGGAGAGAUCAAUUCUGAAAUGGAGAAGAUUUGUAAAAGGCUGCAAACUUUUGUCCAGCAGAGCACCGCCAUCGGCUUGCAACACACUGUAAGUGGUAGAGUUUCUCAUAGACUGCCUUCAAGUUCAGUGGUAAAUGAAUCUGUCAUGGUGGGUAGGAAGGAUGACAAAGAGACAAUAAUGAACAUGUUGCUAUCUCAGAGAGACACAUCCCAUAAUAAUAUAGGUGUUGUUGCAAUUUUGGGCAUGGGAGGUUUGGGAAAAACUACCCUUGCCCAACUUGUUUACAAUGAUAAAGAAGUUCAACAACAUUUUGAUUUGAAGGCAUGGGUUUGUGUGUCUGAGGAUUUUGAUAUUAUGAGAGUAACAAAGUCUCUCCUUGAAUCUGUCACUUCCACAACUUGGGAUAGCAAUAAUCUUGAUGUCCUUCGAGUUGCGUUAAAGAAAAUCUCGAGGGAAAAAAGAUUUUUGUUUGUGUUGGACGAUCUAUGGAAUGACAAUUGUAAUGAUUGGGAUGAGCUAGUAAGUCCCUUCAUUAAUGGAAAACCUGGAAGCAUGGUGAUUAUAACAACGCGCCAACAAAAAGUUGCUGAGGUGGCACGCACAUUUCCUAUACAUGAACUAAAAGUACUAUCAGAUGAAGAUUGUUGGUCUUUACUAUCAAAGCAUGCAUUGGGAAGUGAUGAGAUUCAGCAUAAUACAAAUACAGCCCUUGAAGAAACAGGCAGGAAGAUUGCAAGAAAGUGUGGAGGAUUGCCAAUAGCUGCUAAAACACUAGGAGGACUUCUACGUUCAAAGGUAGACAUAACAGAGUGGACUUCAAUUUUGAACAACAACAUAUGGAACUUGCGAAAUGAUAAUAUUCUUCCUGCAUUGCAUUUGAGUUAUCAAUAUCUUCCCUCUCAUUUGAAAAGAUGUUUUGCAUAUUGUUCAAUUUUUCCAAAGGAUUUCCCACUUGAUAAGAAGACAUUGGUUUUGUUGUGGAUGGCAGAAGGCUUCCUUGAUUGUUCUCAAGGGGGAAAAGAGUUGGAGGAAUUAGGUGAUGAUUGUUUUGCUGAAUUGUUAUCGAGAUCAUUAAUUCAACAAUUAAGCGAUGAUGCUCGUGGAGAAAAGUUUGUCAUGCAUGACCUUGUCAAUGAUUUAUCUACAUUCGUAUCAGGAAAAAGUUGUUGCAGGCUUGAAUGUGGUGACAUCUCUGAAAAUGUUCGUCACUUCUCAUAUAACCAAGAAUACUAUGACAUUUUCAUGAAGUUUGAGAAAUUAUACAAUUUCAAAUGCUUGCGAAGCUUUCUAUCCAUUAACACGACGAACAAUUACAAUUUCUUAUCCUCCAAGGUGGUUGAUGAUUUGCUACCAUCACAAAAACGGUUGCGUGUUUUAUCACUAUCAUGGUAUAUGAACAUCACCAAGCUACCAGAUUCAAUUGGAAAUUUGGUGCAGUUACGGUAUCUAGAUAUCUCCUGCACUAAAAUCAAAAGCUUGCCUGAUACAACAUGUAACCUUUACAAUUUACAGACCUUGAAUUUAUCACGUUGUUCGAGUCUCACUGAAUUACCAGUACAUAUUGGAAAUUUAGUAAGUUUACGUCACCUUGAUAUAAGCUGGACUAACAUAAAUGAGUUGCCUGUAGAAUUUGGGAGACUAGAAAACCUUCAAACUCUCACACUAUUUUUAGUGGGCAAGAGACAUUUAGGGUUAAGUAUCAAAGAGCUAAGGAAAUUCCCAAACCUACAAGGAAAACUUACCAUCAAGAACCUGGAUAAUGUUGUUGAUGCCAGAGAGGCACACGAUGCAAACCUGAAAGGCAAAGAGAAAAUUGAGGAGUUAGAACUGAUAUGGGGAAAACAAAGUGAAGAGUCGCAAAAAGUGAAAGUUGUGCUCGAUAUGUUGCAACCACCAAUAAAUCUAAAGAGCCUGAAUAUUUGUUUGUAUGGUGGGACAAGCUUUCCGAGUUGGUUGGGAAAUUCUUUGUUUUCUAACAUGGUAUCUCUGCGCAUCACUAAUUGUGAAUAUUGUAUGACACUUCCACCCAUAGGGCAGUUACCUUCUCUCAAGGACAUAGAAAUACGUGGUAUGGAGAUGUUGGAGACAAUUGGCCCGGAGUUCUAUUAUGCCCAGAUUGAAAAAGGAUCUAAUUCUUCCUUCCAACCAUUCCGAUCCCUUGAGCAUAUAAAGUUCGACAACAUGGUCAAUUGGAAUGAAUGGAUUCCCUUUGAAGGCAUAAAAUUUGCUUUUCCUCAACUUAAGGCUAUAGAGUUAUGGAAUUGUCCAGAACUAAGGGGACAUUUGCCCACCAACCUUCCUUCCAUAGAAGAAAUUGUAAUAUCAGGUUGUUCUCAUCUAUUGGAAACACCAUCUACUCUGCAUUGGUUGUCUUCAAUAAAAAAAAUGAAUAUCAAUGGGCUUGGUGAAAGUUCCCAAUUGUCAUUGCUUGAGAGUGAUUCUCCGUGUAUGAUGCAACAUGUAGCGAUUCACAACUGUUCUAAGCUAUUAGCUGUGCCAAAAUUGAUUCUGAAAAGCACUUGUCUUACACACUUGAGACUCUAUUCUCUUUCUUCUCUCACUGCAUUUCCCUCAAGUGGACUACCCACUUCAUUGCAAUCACUUCAUAUUGAAAAAUGUGAGAAUUUAUCCUUCCUACCUCCUGAAACGUGGAGCAAUUACACAUCACUUGUGAGUAUUGAUUUACGGAGUAGUUGUGAUGCACUUACAUCCUUUCCACUUGAUGGUUUCCCUGCGCUCCAAACACUU